RNAcentral lists this long non-coding RNA (93584 nucleotides) under Hordeum vulgare. RNAcentral describes it as "long non-coding RNA (HVUL_LNC005891)". Lineage: Eukaryota; Viridiplantae; Streptophyta; Magnoliopsida; Poales; Poaceae. The record is from RNAcentral.
AGUUAGGUAUACGAGAUUGUAUUCCGUAACGAGUAAAAAGAGACUUCCCGAUAACGAGAUUAUAGAGUCAGGGCCCACCUGUUAAUACAUCAUCACAACAAGAUCUUGUAUUCCGUAACGAGUAAAAAGAGAUUUCCCGAUAACGAGAUUGACCUAGGUAUGGAGAUACCGACGAUCGAAUCUCGGGCAAGUAACAUAUCGAUGGACAAAGGGAAUUGUAUACGAGAUUGAUCGAAUCCUUGACAUCGAGGUUCGACCGAUAUUGAUCUUCGUAGAAUAUGUAGGAACCAAUAUGAGCAUUCAGGUCCCGCUAUUGGUUAUUGACCAAAGAGUGUGUGGGUCUUGUCUGCAUAGUUUCCGAACCCGUAGGGUCUAUACACUUAAGGUUCGGUGACGAUAUAAGCAUAAUUGAGUCAUUGUGUUGGUGACCGAAAGUUGCUCGGAGUUUCAGAUGAGAUCUCGAACGUGACGAGGAACUUCGGAAUGGUCCGGAGGUGAAGACUGAUAUAUAGGAUGAAGGUCAUCGAAGUCCGAAAGUGUUCCGGGGCACACCGAGGAAGUGACGGAAUACCGAAAGGAAUUUUGGGAGGGCCCGACAAUUGUUGGGGGGCCUCACGGGCCAAGGAGAGGGGGCACCGCAGCCCACCACAGGGUUGGGCGCAGCCCCACACCCCUGCCCACUUCGGCCGAAGGGAGGGAGGCCUUCUUCUAGGGCGCCGGCCAGCACAACAUGGGUGGCAAGGCAACAAGUGGGAAGGGCCACCCCAACCCUAGCCGCCACCCACCUUGGACGCCAUCUCCUUCUCCCUGCUGAGCUGUCACCACCUUGGCCCCUAGGGGAAACCCUAGGGUGCCAUCUCCUUCUCCCUUCCCCUAUAUAUAAAGAGGUAGAAAGAGGGCAGCAACAAGACAUCUUGCCACGGCGCUGCUCCUCCUCUCCCUCGUAGUUCCUCUCCUCUAAACAUGGCGCGACGAAGCCCUGCUGAGCUGUCACCACCAUCACCUCACCAUGUCGUCGUGCUGUCGGAGGACUCGGGCUGCUACUUCACCAUCGCUCGCUGGAUCGAGGAGGUGAAGGCGUCAUCAAGCAUAACGUGUGUUGAACGUGGAGGCGUCGUCCGUUCGAUGCUUGAUCAGGAGUUCGUGGGACGGGUCGUGAUCGGAUCGCGAAGACGUACCACUACAUCAACCGCGUUUUUGAACACUUCCACUUAGCGAUCUACAACGGUAUGUAGAUUCAAUCUCUCGUCUCAUAGAUGUGCAUCUUCUAGAUCGAUCUUGAUGAGCGCAGGAAUUUUUUUAAUUCCCAUGCAACGUUCCCCAACAGUGGCAUCAUGAGUUAGGUCUAUGCGUAGAUGACAUCACGAGUAGAACACAAAGGAAUUUGUGGGCGUUGAUAUUCAUAUCACUUCCCUCCUUAGUCUUUUCUUGAUUCAGCGCUAUUGUGGGAUGAAGCGGUCCGGACCAACUUUACUCUUCCACGUACGAGAGAUCGGUUCCAUCGACUGACAUGUAACUUUGUUGCAUAAGAUGGCUGGCAGGUGUUUGUCUCUCCCACCUUAGUUGAAUCGAAUUCGACAAAGGCGGUCCUUAUAGAAGGUUAAAUAGCAACUUGCGUAUCACCGUUGUGGUUUUGCGUAGGUAAGAAGCGUUCUUCCUAGAUACCCAUAGCAACCACAUAAAACAUGCAACAACAAAUUAAAGGACGUCUAACUUGUUUUUGCAGGGUAUAUUGUGAUAUGAUAUGGCCAAAGACAUGAUGAUACAUAUUUGAUGUAUGAGAUGAUCAUGUUGUAAUAGUUAAUAUCGACUUGCAUGUCGAUGCUAUGGCAACCGGCAGGAGCCAUAGGGUUGUCUUCAAUUAUUGUAUGACACGCAUGUUAAUCAUUAAGCGCUAUGUAAUGCUUUACUUUAUCGCUAAAUGGUAGCAAUAGUAGUAGAAGCAUGGUUGGCGCGACAACCUUGAUGGCAACAGGAUGAUGGAGAUCAUGGUGUUGUGCCGGUGAUGAUGGAGAUCAAGCCGGUGCUUCGGAGAUGGAGAUCAAAACCACAAGUUCAUGGCCAUAUCACGUCACUUAUGAAUUGCAUGUGAUGUUAAUCCUUUUAUGCACCUUGUUUUGCUUAGAACGACGGUAGCAUUAUAAGGUGAUCCCUCACUAAAAUUUCAAGAUAAAAUUGUAUUCUCUCUGAGUGUGCACCAUUGCAAAAGUUUGUCGUUUCGAGACACCACGUGAUGAUCGGGUGUGAUAGACUCUACGUUCAAUACAACGGGUGCAAGAUGGUUUUGCACAUACGAAACACUCGGGUUAAACUAAACGAGUCUAGCAUGUACAGACAUGGUCUCGGAACACAAGAGACCGUAAGCCCAAACAUGAGUCAUAUAGUAGAUAUGAUCAACAUGAAGAUGUUCACCAUUAAAACCACCUCAUCUCACGUGAUGAUCGAACUUGGGUUGGUGGAUUUUGAUCAUGUAUCAUUCGAAUGACUAGAGGGAUGUCAAUUUGAGUGGGAGUUUUUUAGUAAUAUGAUUAACUAAACUCAUUAUGUUAAACAAUAUUUUAAGUAAUCUUUGCAAAUUUAUGUUGUAGAUCAAUGGCUCCCGCAGUAGCACCCCUGAAUUUUAAUGCGUUUCUAGAGAAAGCCAAGUUGAAAGAUGAUGGGAGUAACUUUGUAGACUGGGCCCGAAAUCUGAGGAUUGUCCUCGCGGUUUCCCAAAAGGCUUAUGUCCUUGAUGCACCGCUUGGUGAUGCACCUAUCCUCCUGGUGACUGAAGACAUUAUAAACGUCUGGCAAGCGCGUUCUCCUGACUACUCAAUACUUCAAUGUGCAAUCUUGUAUGGCUUAGAACCGGGACUUCAAAGACGUUUUGAACGUCAUGAAACAUAUGAGAUGUUCUAGGAGUUGAAGUUAACUUUGAAAAGAAUGCCCGGAUCGAGAGGUAUGAGACCUCUGAUAUGUUUUAUGCUUGCAAGAUGGAGGAAAACGAGUCUGUCAGUGAACACAUACUCAAAAUGUCUGGGUAUUUCAACCGUCUGCUGAGUUGGGAAUUGUUCUCCCGCCAAAGGGGCAAUCACUGACAGAAUUCUUCAGUAACUGCCACCUAGCUACAAAAGCUUUGUGAUGAACUAUAACAUGCAAGAGAUGAAUAAAUUAGUCGCCGAGCUGUUUGCGAUGCUGAAGGUCGUUGAGUCAAAAAUUCAGAAGGGAACAUCAAGUGUUGAUGGUCAAUAAAACCACUAGUUUCAAAAAAAAUGACAAGGGCAACAAGGGUAACUCCAAGAAGAGUGACAAAGCAAUUGCCCCUCCUCUGAAGAAACCCAAGGCUGGACCCAAGCCAGAAACUGAGUGCUUUCAUUGCAAGGGGACUGGCCACUGGAAGCGAAACUGCACCAAAUAUGUGGCCAACAAGAAGGCGGUCAACACCAAACAAGGUAUAUAUGAUACACGUAUUAUUGAUGUGUACUUCACCAACUCUCAUUGUAGUGCCUGGGUAUUUGAUACCGGUUCAGUUGCUCACAUUUACAACUCAAAACAUUAACUAUUGAAUAAACAGAGGUUGGCGAAGGACGAAGUGACGAUGCGCUUGGAAAAUGGUUCCAAGGUUGAUGUGAUCGUCGUCGGCACGCUCGCUCUUCGAUUACUAUCGGGAUUAGUGAUGAACCUGAAUAAUUGUUAUUUAAUGUCUGCGUUGAGCAUAAACAUUAUAUCUGGAUCUUGUUUACUGCGAGACGGUUACUCAUUUAAAUCACAGAAUAAUGGUUGUUCUAUUUAUAUGAGUAAUAUAUUUUAUGAUCAUGCACCCAAUGUGAAGGGUUUAUUCUUAUUGAAUCUCAAUAGUGAUAGCACACAUGUUCAUAACAUUGAUGUCAAAAGAUGUAAAGUUAAUAAUGAAUUAAUGAUAGUACCACUUUCUUGUGACACUUCCGCUUAGGUCAUAUUAAUGUAAAACGAAUGAAGAAGCUCCAUGCUAAUGGACUUUUGAAAUCACUUGAUUUUGAAUCACUUGACACAUGUGAACCAUGCCUCAUGGGCAAGAUGACUAAGACCCCGUUUUCUGGAAUAAUGGAGCGAGCAAAGUUUUGAGAAUCACGACUCAAGUCUUAGAAUCUUAUGAUCUUACGAUCCAAACUAGCCCUCCGAUUCUACGAUUUUGCUCAUAGAGUCUAAGUUUCUAGGAUCCUGUUAGUUAUGAUUCUACAAUUCACGAUCCUACCAACAGAGCUCCGAUCCGGUUUAGAAUCUCGAUUCUCACAACUUUAGGAGCGGGCAAGUGACUUGUUGAAAAUCAUACGUAGUGAUGUGUGCGGUCCGAUGAGCAUUGAGCCGCCUGGUGGAUAUCGUUAUUUUCUCACAUUCACUCAUAACUUAAGUAGAUAUGGAUAUAUUUACUUAAUGAAACACAAGUCUGAAGCGUUUGAAAAGUUCAAGCAAUUUUAGAGUGAAGUGGAGAAUCAUCGUAACAAGAAGAUUAAAUUCCUACGAUCUGAUCGAGGAGGAGAAUAUCUGAGUUAUGAGUUUGGCACUCAUUUAAGACAAUGUGGAAUUGUUUCACAAUUGACACCGCCUGGAACACCACAGCGUAAUGGUGUGUCCGAACGUCGUAAUCGUACCUUAUUGGAUAUGAUGCGUUUUAUGAUGUCUCUUGCCGAUUUUCCGUUAUCAUUUUGGGGUUAUGCGUUAGAGACAAGUGCAUUCACUUUAAAUAGGGCAUCAUCAAAAUCCGUUGAGACGGCGCCAUAUGAAGUGUGGUUUGGCAAGAAACCGAAGUUGUUGUUUCUUAAAGUUUGGGGAUGCGAUGCUUCUGUCAAAAAGCUUCAACCAGAAAAGCUGAAACCCAAAGCGGAGAAAUGCGUCUUCAUAAGAUACCCAAAAGAGAUGGUUGGCUACACCUUCUAUCUUAGAUCCGAAUGCAAAGUGUUUGUCGCUAAGAACGAAACAUUUUUUGAGAAAGAGUUUCCCUUGAAAAAAUUGAGUUGGAGGAAGAUAGAACUAGAUGAGGUUGUUGAACCUUACUUUAACUAAAGAGUAGCGCGGCGCAGAAAGAUGUUUCUGUGGAGGCUACAUCAAUUGAAGAGGAAGCUGAUAAUGAUGAUCAUGGAGCUUCGGAUCAACUUGCUAUCGAACCUUGUAGGUCGACAAAGGCACGCACCGCUCCACAGUGGUACGGUAACUCUGUCUUAACAGUCAUGUUGUUGGACAACAAUGAACCUACGAGCUAUGGAGAAGCGAUGGUGGGCCCGGAUUUCAACAAAUGGGUAGAGGCCAUGAAAUUCGAGAUAGGUUAAUGUAUGAAAACAAAGUAUGGACUUUAAAAGUGUUACCUGAAGGGCGAAAGGACAUUCAGAAUAAAUGGAUCUUUAAGAAAAAGACAGACGCGGACGGUAAUAUCACCAUCUAUAAAGCUCGACUCGUGGCAAAGGGUUUUUCACAAGUUCAAGGAGUUAACUACGAUGAGACAUUUUCACCCAUAGCGAUGCUUAAGUCCAUCAGAACCAUGUCAGCAAUAAUUGCAUUUUUCGAUUAUGAAAUUUGGCAGAUGGAUGUCAAAACAACGUUCCUUAAUGGUUUCCUUAAGGAAGAGUUAUAUAUGAUGCAAUCGGAAGGUUUUGUCAAUCCAAAGAAUGCUGACAAAAUAUGCAAGCUCCAGCGAUCCAUUUAUGUACUGGUGAAAGCAUCUCAGAGUUGAAAUUAACACUUUGAUGAGGUGAUCAAGGCGUUUGGUUUACACAAAUUAUGGAGAAGCUUGUAUUUGUAAGAAAGUGAGUGCGAUCUCUAUAACAUUUCUAAUAUUAUAUGUGGAUAACAUAUUGCUGAUUGAAAACAAUAUAUAAUUUUUGGGAAGCAUAAAAGAAUAUUUGAAUAAGAGUUUUUUUAAUAAAGGGUCUAGGAUAAGCUGCUUUCAUAUUAAGCAUCAAGACCUAUAAAGAUAGAUCAAGACGCUUAAUAAGACUUUCAGAAAGCACAUACCUUGACAAAGUUUUAAAGAAGUUCAAAAUAAAUCAGUCGAAGAAAGAGUUCUUGCCUGUAUUGCAAGGUGUGAAGUUGAGUAAGACUCAACGCCCAGUGACUGCAGAAGAUAGAGAAAAGAUGAGUGUCGUCCCCUAUGAUUCAGCCAUAAGCUUUAUCAUGCAUGCAAAGCUAUGCACAAGACCUGAUGCCAGCCUUACCAUAAGUAUGACGGGAAGGUUUCAAUUCAGGAAUGAAAUACUGGAGAACGAUCAAGAGCCUUACCAUAAGCAUGUGGACAGCUUGUCUUUGAUUUUGGCAGGGAAUUUACAUAUAUGAAAACAAGGGCCAACGGUGAGACCUUACAGUUACACAUCAGAAUUAGAUGGCCGCUCCAUCAAGUAGACUGCAAGUAAAAGCAUUGUUUGCCAGCUCUAUUUUCUCAGCCUUGAUAACAGCACUCAGUUGAAGGGGUGCAAAGCUCCGAUCAGGAAAGUAGUUACAACCAUCAGCUGCCUCAUAAAUUAAGCCAUCUGCAAUCUAAAAUACAUAGGAAUAAUAAAUUGUACAUAUAAUGUCUUCAUAUCAAUAGGUGGCAGUUUUAUGAAUGUGUCCUAAUUAUAACACAUGUAUAGAGGUAAUACACAUAACACGAAACCACAGUAAAUUUAGAUUUAAAGAUGUAUAGAGGUAAUACACAGAACACUAAACUGGCAAUUUUAUGCAUGUGUCCUAACACAUCUGCAAUCUAAGAUUUGGGAAUUUUCUCAAUACACAUACAAACUGAUCGGAGAUGAAAUAAAAUGGACGUUUAAAGUUCAAUACCUUGGCAGUGUCAAUUUGUAGCAGGUAUAGAUCAUUUUGCCUGUGGAAAUAAUUCUUUAGCGUCAUCUUCACCUACACCAAGUCAAGGAUUAAAUAAACGUAUCUUUUGAGAAGGACCAACACACACACAAACAAAAGGAUGAAUGCAUAUGAUCCAUAUUUUCUGGAAAAAGAAAAGACUCCAGAUCAAGUCACGCCACUGAGAUAACAGGGAUGAUAUGUAACAAAAUAAAAUUUGAGAUAGCCUCCUAGAACAGGCAUAACACUGAUUAGAUUGAAGCUGGUACAGUACAAGUCAGUGCUCAACAGAUAUUACAACACCUGAACAUGCGUGACAGUUCAAGGAAGUGAAUGGGAGACGGCCCUUUUAUCCAGUUGGUCUAGCAUGCUAGCGCAUUCUCAAUGGGAGAUGGCCACUGAUCAGUGGGGUUCAGCUGGGUGGUUUGCUCUUGUUUCCAUCCCGUUUUUCUGUUGCCAUCAAUCGCUUUGUUCGGUUGCCUCGCAGUUUAUUGGGGAUCAGUACAUUAAGCUGCACCCUAACCUGUCCACAAGUGCUGCUGCUGAACUAGAUAGCCUCCGCCAAAUUAUCUGCGACAUUCAAGUAGCGGACCACAAUUCCAAGACUGGUCAGAGAUUGGGAUGGUUAUUAAAUGGCAAACUGCUCUGUACUACUAUCUUCUACAUGCUACUCAUAUGAACCAUUCCUGAACCUUUUUCCUCCCCCCCUCCUUCUGUUUUCUAGCGUUUUCUUAUGUUGCUUUGUUGAACCCCAGACUCUGGUCUCUUUGGAAUAUAUAUAUGGUAGACUGAGGCCUACCUUCUUAUCCCCGAUUAGAAAAAACAGCCUAGGACGCAUCGUUUCCUAUUUUAAUUUAUGAAUCAAUCUGAUUUUUCUUUUGCUAUAAUAUGUUGUAAUGUCACAUUUCUUUUCAAUAGCAGCAUUCUGCAUCGCGUUCCAUAAAUUUCAAUUGCUUGCUACUCCCUCCGUUUAAGCCUUUUUAGAGAUCUCGAUAUGAACUGCACAUGGAUGUAUAUAGACGUAUUUUAGAGCGUCGAUUCACACAUUUUGCUCCGUAUGUAGUCCGUAUCGAAAUCUCUAAAAGGUCUUAUAUUUAGGAAUGAAUGGAGUAGUAUAUUAAGGAUCAUUACAAUUUACUAAUACCAACCUAUAUAAACUGAAAGAGUCAAUCAGAAAAGACAUCUAGUAUGAGCUAUUGGGCAUACUCAGAGCAAUAGGCCCCAAACAUCGACGAGGCUAAGAAACCCAAAGUUCUGUCAAGACACCCAGGCAAGGAAAUCAAGGGUUCUCGAUCUCAGAUCAACGGAAUCAUACAGGAAAUGGCACCUCCCGACAACAUCCAUGGUUAAGCCGGAAGUCCAAUUUAAGCAGUACAGGGAGAAAUCUACUGACAGAUCAGUCAGAUAGAACAAUAUCUGUAGCGGAGAUCUGACGAAGCCGAGAGAUCUGGAGAGAAAGGGGAUGCAAGACGGAAGGAAUCAAAUUAGCCGGGGGUACCUGGGCGUGGUCGCUGAGGUGGAAGCAGCUGGUGGAGCGGUCGAGGUCGCCGCCGAGGGUGCAGCCGGUGCGCUGGAGCUCCGCCCACUCGCUCCCCGUGCUGAUCCGGUACACGAAUGCUGGCGGCGGCGGCGUUGCCAUUGCGGUCGGCCCGCUAACAACUGUGUUGUCCAAAGCGAAAUGAGUGGGCCGUACGUGUCUGGCGGUAAAAUAAGAGGGUGUUUGUUUUCACGGAUUUAUUGGUUUUGGGACUUAAAAAAGUCCCUAUAAGUCCCACCUAAAUCAAACACAAAGGGCUUAUUGAGACUUAUUAUGGUUAUUUGGGACUUAUCAAAUAAGACUCUCUAAUAGAAAUUUAUUGAGACUUAUUCUGGUUAGGCCCGCGGAAGUCUNGGGUGUCUGGUUCCAUGGAGUUUUCUGGUCCUGCUGGUUCAUGUUGCUGGUUCAACCCGGCAGUACCGUGCCCAUGGCUGAUGACCAGUUUCCUGUUGACAUUUUGGCUGAUGAUGAUCCAUAUUGACUGCAGGUUACCGCGCCAUGGCUGAUGAUGAUCUCCGCGUCCCAGGUGACCGUACCAUGGCUGAUGAGGAGGAGGAGCAGAUGCCUUUUUUCUCUCAGUUCUCAUCCGCCGGUGGAAAUCUCGGGAGGAGAAUGGGUUUCGGGCGUUUCUUGGAUCUCAACAGCAACGUCGACGACUUCCCGGAAUUGGGCUCGUACGAGCAACUCCUCUUCGACUAGUCGGCCGGUCAUGGCCUUCCUCCGAUCGGACCUGGUCGUGGUAGGCCCAUGCCCCAGGGCGGAGGAGGUCGCAGCCGGUCUCUGAACAUCGGAGGUCGAGCCGGCUCUCACCUGCGUCCGUUCGUCGCCCCGGCCGCAGUUGUCGUUGAGGGAGGCGUCAUAGGCCGUGGGAGGACCGUGUCGCGGGUCACCGGGCGCGGCGUAGGUCAAGCCAAUGCGUCCUCAUCUAUCGGCAGUAAAGGAAAAACUGCGGGGAAGCAACGUGUGUCGUCAACUGCUGCGUUUUCAGAAGAUGUCGACGAGAAUGAAGGCUUUGAAGAUGAAGAUGACAACAAUGGUUUUGGAGAGGUAAAUUUUUAAAUUGUGUAUAUAGUUCUUUUUUUGUAUCAGCGUUAAAAUUCAUCUUCUUUUUGUGCUAGCUAAUUGUGUGAACUUGUUAUUUUUAGUUUGAAAUGUCUACUUGUUAUUUUUGUUUGAAUUGUGUACUUGUUAUUUUUGUUUAGAAAACCAUUGCAAAGGCCGAUUGGACAGACGCGCAUAUUACUAUAUUUUGUAACAUCGCCUGUGAGGAAGCUAGGGAUGGGCACUGUGUGAAUGGUGUUUGGACAAGUAGAGCAUACAGUAACAUGAAGAAAAAAAAUUAUCAGCGUGCGGGCCUCCUGCAUAGUACCAACCAAUUCAAAAAUUGCAUUGCUAGACUCAAGAGCUGCUAUACUGCUUGGGUGUGGUUGGGGCAGCAAACUGGUUGUGGCCGAACUGGAGAUGGAGCUAUAACCGCAUCAAAUGAGUGGUGGAAAAAAAUAAUUAAGGUACAUACAUUAUUUUUCAAAUUACAUCUGAAUUGCUCACACUUGUUUACAUUAUUCAGCCUUGUACUAAUUAUCUAACUAAUGAUGCAGGAGAGACCAGAUGUCAGAAAAUUCAAGGGUGGCAAUCCUGAGUAUUUGGAUAUGCUAAUAGAGCUAUUUCAAGGUGUGGCAGUUGAUGGAUCAUCAGCUUAUGUGCCCUUAGAUGAAGAUGAUGAAGAAGAAUAUGAUGUUGCCGAUGAUGGAAAUGAGGAGAGUCCAAUGAGCACCACCAGCAAGAAGAGGGGGAGCAGCGGCGGUGAACAGUCAGCUUCAAGCCCAGGAAAGAAACUCAAGAGCCCAAUGGUGAAACUAAUGACAGGGCUCAUCAAUACUAUUAACAGUGAUAACACUUCUGACAUGAUCACUGAAUAUGCAAACAAAAGGCAGGAAGCAAAGGACAAGGCAAGAGAGAAGAAAUCAAACAACACUAAGGAAUCCAUUACUCAUUGUCAAUUGUUGGUAGUUCAAUGUGGUGCAGAAGAAACAAGUGUUGAGUACUUCAUGGCGACUCAACUUUUUGCAGAUGAGGCAAACAGAGUCAUAUUUGAGAACAUUUCAACUAAUGAGGCUAGGCUGACUUGGUUGAAGAGGUGGUGCAUGAUGAAGAAGUUGUACUAGUGUACUAGCUAUCUUGAUUGUCCUUUUUAAUAGAACUAUGUAAUGGACCUGUGUUGUGUGACCUUGUUAAAUGACCAUUGCAUGUUCAAGUGUUUAAUUUGCACGUACUAAUGUUUUCAAGUUCAAGAGGUGGUGCAUGAUGAAGAAGUUGUACUAAUGUUUGCAUGUUUCAGGAUGAUGACAUCAGUGUUGAUGGAAUAAGCAGUGAUGAUGGGAGCAGCAGUGAUGACGAAGCACUGAUGUUGUUCAUGCACCAAAAAAGAAAGAGAAGAAUGAUGCAGAUGGCCUGCAUGAUUGGUAUGUACCACUUGGACUCUUAUUGUAACAAAGGACCUAGAAGAGUACCAAUAGAGUCUGGGCAUGAUUGGGUUAUGACAACACUACGCAACGAAAUGGCCUGUUACAACAUGUUUAGAAUGCACAGACCAGUGUUUGAGAAAUUGCAUAGUGUGCUUGUUGAUUCCUAUGGUUUGAAGUCCACUAAAAGAAUGUCAUCAGUUGAGUCUCUAGGCCUGUUUCUAUGGAUAGUAGGUUCCCCUCAAUCUGUAAGACAAGCAGAAAACAGAUUUGUUAGGUCAUUGGAGACAAUUGUAAGGAAGUUUGAUAAGGUUUUGGCAUGUCUGAUCAAGCUUGCAAAAGACAUCAUCAGGCCAAUAGAUUGUCAAUUCAGGACUGUGCAUUUAAAAUUAAGAUCUAGAAAGUAUGCACCGUUUUAUGGAUAAUUGCAUUGGUGCAAUAGAUGGUACACACAUACAAGUUGUGGUACCAGUUGCCACUGCUGCCCAGCAUAGGAAUAGACAUAAGGAGAAGAGUCAGAAUGUGAUGCGUGUGUGUGACUUUGAUAUUAGAUUCACAUUUGUCCUAGCUGGUUGGCCAGGAUCAGUGCAUGACAUGAGGGUCUUCAAUGAUGCCCGAUCCAGAUUUGGUGACAAGUUUCCAAAACCUCCACCUAAUAAGUUCUAUCUUGUGGACUCAGGGUACCCAAAUAGACCGGGUUAUCUUUCACCAUACAAGGGUUUAACCUAUCAUUUCCAGGAGUACCGUGAUGGCACAAUGCCUAGAGGAAAAAAGGAACACUUCAAUUUCACUCAUUCUUUACUUAGAAAUGUCAUCGAGAGGUGUUUUGGAGUCCUGAAGAACAAGUGGAGGAUUUUGUUUCACUUGCCUAGUUAUCCACAGCAGAAACAAAGCAAAAUAAUUGUGGCUUGCAUUGCACUGCACAAUUUUAUUAGACAAAGUCAACUCGCCGAUAUAGAUUUCGACUUGUGUGAUCAAGAUGAAAAUUAUGUACCAUUGUCUAUGCCAACGACUACAACAAAUGAGAUGGACAGUGCUGCUAUGAAUCAAUUCAGAGCUUGAGUCGCUGAUGGGUUGUGGUCCUUGAAACAACAAUGAUAUGAAGAAGUGUUCUUCGCUUAUGUAAUUUCUGUUAUCCCGGUUGUUAUGUACUCUGUCUUAUUUUGGUUCUUAUGAACAAGUAUUAAUUCAUUUGUAUGAACAAGUGUUAUGAACAAUUAUUAUUUUGGUUGUCACUAUUCUGCAAUUCAUUUGUAUGAACAAGGGUUAUGUGAACAAGUGUAUUUUAUUAGGUGCAACAUGAACUUAUAAGUUCCUGUAAACAAACAGGUAGGGACUCGGGACUUAUAAGUCCGUGUAAACAAACAGGUAGGGACUUAUGACUUAUAAGUUGGGACUUAAAAAAGUCCUAGGACUUAUGAAACAAACAGGGCCUAAGCUGAAGCGGAGGAAUAGCACUAGCAAAACGUCAUUCCCACCGGCGAUGUCCUUCUCCUCCGCCGUCUCCAAGCUCCACGCGAGAUGCCACUCCCUCUCCGGCAGUCUCCGCCAUGAAACAACUACACACCCAUCCCCUCCUCUCCGCCUACCACCAUUGCAGCCCCUCCCCGUACCCGAAAAGGGAAAAACGAAUUACGUGCAUACCGGCUGCAAAUCAAAAUCUGCGCGUACCCAGCGCUGAUGGGUGACACGUGUACAAGCACAACAUCUGACGGUUGCCUGGUCGGCUGAAAAUACAAACAUCUCACGGCUGAAAAUACAUUUGUCUUUAAAGAAAGAUCUAAAAAACUAGAAAUGCAAUAGCGAGUUCGGACACCCUGCAAGACCCAUCGCAACCACUCGUCAUCGAGCAGCUUACCAUGAAACGAAAAUCCAAUGACACAUGCAGAACCAACUAUCCUAAACGGAACAUAGUUCAGAAUAACAAAAUGAUGCCGGUCGGAACCUGAGGCUCACGAGUGAGCAAACAGCAAAAGCUCGCGCAGGAGACAACAUCAACAGAAUACAGUCCAAAAACAAGCAAGUUUCUGAAAGCAGCAACCCAAAAAUGCAGGCAUCAAUCCGUCACCGCGUUAAUUGGGGCUGCGCAGGUCCUCAUCAUAGUUGAUGCAUUGGUUCUGAGCAUCUUGGUUCCACGUUCCAUUGCUUCGCGAUCAGCUCCAUUUAUCAAACAUGUCUAGUAAGUUAGAAAACCACAAGCAGAGAAGACCACAUCAAAAGGAGUCUUCAUUAUAUUUUUUUGCUCGAAUGUAGCUCGAUUUUGACUAUUCCACAUGGCACAGCAUAUCGCAGCUAAACCAAAGGUAUAAAAAAUUUCAUCAUCAAGUAGAAAAAUAUAGCACCAAAAAAAGUAUUUGACAUAAAGUGUAUGGGCAUAAAUUAGUGCGAGAGACACAACCCACCGUUCUUCAGAUCACCCUGACAACAGGACAUGUAAAGAAGAGGUGUUGGGAGGUUUCCCCGACCCUACCGAAAGAGCAUCUAGGGUUAUGUGCCCACUUCCACCUCUUCAUGACAUCAAACGACAUCUUGGAACAGCUGUCAUAAAUUUUUUUGUAGCUUAAGAGGUAAUUUGGAGUUCCAAAUCCACAUGUAAUCACACACAACAAUAUAUCUUCCAAACACGCAUAAAUUAAUUUGCUCGAGAAGCGGUUGCUUCUCCCUAGAGUCCAAGCUAUCUGAUCAAUUCUCAAGAGAAUGAACAUGAAUCAAUUAUAGUUUUGAGCUCCAGCCAGUCAUCUAACAAAGGUGGGUAAAGGGGUCUUCUAAAGAAAUCAUCUCAUGUACCAUUCUUCUUGGGGAUAUUUCCCACGGAUAUUACCCGGCAUAAGGAAUGACCCGGUAAUAUAUCAUGCCAUUCCUUGACCUGGAUUAUACAAGACAAUUCUUGAAGACACCAAGUCAAAGACGAAGACCCCUUCGUGGGCGGGCUCAUUGCAUAUCGUGGGCCGGCUUGUGGAGAAUGUCUGGGUGAACUGAGAAGUUUAGGCGAUAGACCAGAACACGGGUUAGGGGAUACGACCAGGACUCUUUGUAACCUUAGGGGCUUUACCUAUUAUAUAAAGGAGACCCCGGGAACAAAACAAUCAAGGAAAAAAACCUCGUGAGCUAGGUUAGCGAUUCCGUACCCUUGUAAUCGAGAUCAUCAUCAUCAAUGACAUUCAAGCAGGACGUAAGCUUUUAACUCCAUCGGAGGGGCCGAACCUGGAUAUAUCCGUGUCUUUUCAUUCUUGAUCACCUACAUCCAAGCAACCACCUAAUUGUGAUGGCUCCUAGACUUAGUCCUUUCACAAGGACAUCUGUCGUGACAAAACCACGAUAGUUGGCGCCCCACCAUGGGGCCAAUGCACGGUGGUUUGAGUUCUUGGAGGGAGCUCUCUUAUGGAUCAAGGGAUAUGUGAUCGGCCGAAUGACGAAGAGUCGACACGGCAACUCUACAUCAACGAUUCUGGCUGGGGUUCCAAGGCCGACUCAAUCGAGUUCGGGUACCGGUCCCCUUUGGCAAGAUCCACGUCUUCACCGGCCAGAUCGGUGAAUCCAAAGUCGAGCAGGACAUCUCCACUGACAAUGUCGAGCCAGCUCGCCGCUCCCAACCCAGCCCGGCACAACCCGCCCGGAAGCCCGAUAUCAUUAAGACUGCGAGAUCUGAGCUCAAGCUGGAAAUCUUCAUUGACAUCAACGAGCCAGCUCGGUGCUUCCAAACUUCGGGCAUUCGAGGAGCCUUCUUGAAGUUUUAUCCAAAGUCUCUUUAAUAGAUGUGUUUCUCGUUUAGGAGUUCUUCGAAUUCAAAGAUCCUUUAUUUCCCAAACUUCUACCUUAACGUGAAGCAAUUUCCUGGUCCGAAUUUCAGCGGCGGCCUGGCCCUACUCUAACAAUCUUCGGCUACUUAAUAAUUGGCGUGUUGUCACUUUUUUUGAAAGAUCCAGGGUUACCGGCUUCAUUGAUUUAUGAGAAAGCAAGCGGGAAAACAGUGGUGAUGAAGCAAUAAUGCUUACAAGAGGUGGCCCAAAGACUAAAAACUAAAAAUAAAGCACGUCGUCGUCUAUCUCACUACAUCUUCCCCAAAGGAGGGCUCAAGACAGCGUGCACCCUCCAGUCGCCACGGUUCCAGGCUUCCCUUGAUGGCACGUAGGACAUCUUCAGUUCGCAGCAGCUUAUUUUUAAAAAUGCAAGCAUUCCGCUCCUUCCAGAUUUCCGGGGCAAUCAUCAACAACAUCGACUUGAGACCCUUCUUAAAUCCAGCCGGUGAGAGAGCAAUCAGCCUCUGGCAGUGCCUGAGGGAGCCGUGGUGCAUCUUCCGCUUUUCCUUCAAGGCUGCGCGCCGACCAUUGUGGACGCCGUCUGUCAGAUCGAGGAGGAGAAGGGGCAGUCCCGAAGGAGGUGCAUUGAGUUCUCGAAGUUUUUGACGCGGUGGGAGCAGAAAUAUCCAUAAUAUCCAUUUGGCCACCCGUACCGCUGCAGCUGGUGAUUGCACCACAGUCUGUCAUGAUGCACAACUUGGGAGAUCUCCACUGUGUGUUUGCACAACUUGGGCCACACCUUUGAGACGUCCAGUCAGGAGAGUUUAUGGUGCCCCGAAACACGCGGGAUUGUAUAGACAACCGCCCGUUGAUCACCACGCUAACUUAAUGCACCAAGCUAGGAAUAUGCGAGUUUAUUGCUAUCGGACUCAAACGUCUGAUUACCAUAAAAGGUUUGACCAUAAAGAGAAUACAUUUCACAUCCUCUGCAGUCCAUACUGCCUUGCGUCUCUUUCGCUCAGCGCUCUGGCGUAUCCAAAUCCCCUCACACAAUCGCGCACAACAUCCUCUCGCCAUGGCGGCCUCCACUGCAUCGUCAUCAGACUCCACCAGCCUCCUCGAGGGGGAGUGGAAAAGCUGCAUCAUGAACCCAACCGCAAAUGGACCGGCUCACCGAGCUAGGAUAUCUUCCUCCACCCCAAGUCGCAUUUGCCCGUGUCAGCCUGGUGGCCCUCGAUGAUAAUUUUUCUUAGGAUCCAUCUCCCGAGCCGCGGGAGCAAGAACAUGUAUGCUUCAUUCCCUUCCUUCUUAGGGGCGUAGGCUUCCCACAAUUCACACUUUUUAAAGGGGUCUUCUGCAUUUUUGUGACAUCCAACUUCAUGGCCCGUCCGCUAAUUCCAUCCUCCAUAUUGCGUGCUUCGUUACUUUAUAGCAAAAGGGCCCAUGCGUUGCAACGGGAGAAAAAAAACACCACCUUCAAUAACGAUGACCACAUUAUGUUCAUAUCUCAUUGCAUGAUUUCGAAAAUUUGUUCACAAAUGCAAGAAAAUAUUCCUUCCUUUAAUUUUAUUCACAAUUCACAAGUUGAAACAAUGUACAUAUUUUUUUUAAAAUAUCAUGGUUGUCAAAAAACUUGGUAACUCAAAGAAUUAUUCUGAAUUUCAAGAAACAUUUUUUUAAAAUAUACUAUAAUAUUCCAAUCCACCCCCACAAUUAAUUCUUCAAAAUUCACUCAGGUAUAUAAUCAGAAAGACUCUGAAGCAUUAGUAUUUAACUGCAUACAUUCAAUCAUUCGUGAACAUUUUUACAAAUUUGGGAACAUUUUUAAAAUUGAGAUUUUUUUUACUAUUUAUAAACAUUUUUCUGAAAUUCCAAACAAUAUUUUAUAUUGCGAACUUUUUUAUGUAUUUUCUUGUGAAUUGGUGAAUAAUUCAAUUUUUGAAUUAUCAAACAUUUUUUUAAUUGCAUUAAAGAAAUUGCUCAAAAUGAUGGAAUUUUUUUGAUUCACGAAUGUUUACUCCAAAAUUACGAUUUUUUUAAUAUGCAAACAUUUUUAAAAAAAUCCUGAAUAAUUUUUGACUUCGCAAACAUUUAAUGUUUUAUAAAAUUUUUAUGUAAAUAUAAUUUUUUUCAAUUGCGAAAGUUUUUUUGAUUUAUUUGAAUUAGAAAAAAUAAAAAGAAACAGAUAAAUAAUAAUUAAAGUACUAAAAAAACAGGCCCCCGCCCAUGGGCUGGCCCAAAUGGAUGUGUUGUUUAUUUUCCAGCGAGCAGACCGUAGUAUAGCUGGUCCCUAUGCUUUGGCCGGCCCAUGCUAGGAUUCCUAUAAAACGUUUUCUAUAAUUUAUCGGUGGCAUUGGUGGGUAAUAUUAGACAAUUUUGAAGGCAAUAUAAAUGACGUACCACAGAAGCAAUAUUUGCUUUAUUAAUACUAGCAAAAAAAUCCGUGCGUUGCAACGGAAGAGAAAAUAACACACGCUUUGAACGUAAUAUAUUAGCACAUUUGUGUUGUCGACGAUGACCUCAGUGCUCAUACAACGAAAACGCGUUUGAAUGUACAAUCACUCGGAAUAAGAUGAGAAAUAUGUUGUUUCUUCCCACGAGAUUUUCCGAAGAUGUGCAUGUGUGGUUAACGAUGUUUUCUUUCCUCUCGAUUUGGUUUUAAUUUAAUGGAUAUUUAUUGCAAUUCGUAUGGUCGUCGGAAAGAGAGAGAAAAAAGACAGUGCAUUACAGAUUAAGUUUGCACCAAAAAUAAUAUUUAAGAAGUAUUCAACAGCUAAAAAUAACAUCCUAUUUAGAUUCUACACAUUUUUUUAAUCAAAUUUCAUAUAUAACAUGUUAAAAUCGGAGUUACGGUUUAAAAGAUAUGGAUAAUUUUGUUUUAGAUAAAAUAUGGAUUGAUUAACUGGAAAGUCAGGUUUUUUUUGUUAAAACAAAAAAACGUUUCGGCUGACUUAAAUAGGGACGACGGGUUGAUUACGUGAAACAUCAGGGAGUUUUCUGUAAAAUGCAAAAAAACGGUUCAGCUCUGCCUAAAAGAUGGACCGCUGGUUGAUUAUCUAAAACUAUGAGGACUUUUCUGCAAGACAACAGAAAACGGUUCGUUCUGACUUAAAGUUGGACUGCGGGUUAAUUAACUGAAACGGCGAGGGCUUUUCUGUAAAAUGACCGACGACGGACGACAGAAGCGCUGCGCGCUUUAUUAUUAGGGGAGAUUAAUAGGUAAAGAUGUGAGGCGUUCCUUGGCUAUGAGUGACACUUUGACCUAUGGCUCAAGUACUGUUCCGUCAUACCCGAGGUACUCGAAAAUGAAGUGUGGCGGGGCCGAAGUGUGUAGGGUGGCUGUGUCUAGUUACCUAGCUUGUCGGCACCCUAAAAGAAGCUAAAUGAAAAUUGGUCCGAGGAGUACAUUCCCAAUGUACCUAUCAAAGAUCCUCCCCGCAAAGGCAUCGUUUCUUUCUCACAUGAACCCUCGCGAAAGAGGUACAACUGCCGUUCGAGGACCCGAGCUCGAGAGGGAGUUAUAGUGAUUAGGCUCGCUGCCAAGGUGACUGUUUUACAUCACCAUGGGUAAACCUUAUUUGAUGUCACGGUGAUGGCGCUUAUCCGAGGAAUUUAGCAUCUACAAUAGUGUGCCCACCCCAUGUGGCAAUAUACCCGCGUCCAUGACUUGUCCCAUGCCAUUGGAGAUGGGUCCACCCAUGGUGAUGUAAAACACCAUGGGUUUAAUGGAUCGCCGGGAUAAGCUCCCCGACCCGUCAUCUGGAAGGCCGGAAUAGCGAGUGUGAUCUGGACCGUCCAAGGACUCCAAUGCUAGCGUCAUGUACCAAGAUGAUGUCUUCUAUCGGGAUGGAGGUGAUGGUGAGGAAAUCGCCGUCAUCGUCAACCGCCCGUGCUCGAUCUUGAUCCAAAGUAAUGUGGUGGAGACCCUAGGCCCGACUCCAAACAAUCGAGCAACCGACACUGCUCGGGCAGCAGAUAUUUUGGUCGUCCGCCGUCGAAAGGUUGUUGAACUAAGCAUCAGAGGCAAACCUCCCAAAGAGCCUCAACUCAAGCUCGUCCCCAAACCAAAAGGAAUCCUGACCUGAACAUAUAUAGGCGAGGUUGGUACUUCUAAGCAGGUACCUUGCAGGCCUCCUGCUUCCUCAAUGCAAAGAUUGUGUCAUUUCCUCACAAGGUUAUUUUUAUUAGGAGAUGCCAUGAUACCCAUCUUUAUAUAUAGAUCCAACCGUGCCGCAACGGCCGGAUCAACAGUUCCUCCUCCUCUAACGGCUUCAGGGGGAGCCUAAGGUUCCACCCAAGAAGAGUCCUCGGCGAUGUUGGCUACUCUAUUUGAGGGCGAGAGCAUGCUACACGUCAUCGGGAAAGAAAAGAUUUCCUGAACAACAAUGCUUUCACAACCUAGCAACAAGAAGCUCUUCGUUUCGCGGACGAGUGUCGUGGACAUUAAAAUUGGGGGCAAUUUGUCUAAAUCAGUUGUAAAAAUUUGAUAAAAUUCUGAUUUGUGAUGUUCUCUGUCACAAGCGUGAAUGUUGGGGUAAAAGAUGGAAUUAAGUCUUAUAUAUUUCGUGCCACAUACAUUGAGAAAACAUGCACUUAGAUAAGAGAUUAUAUGGUUGGUGACCACAUACAAUAAAAAAAGAUAUUUGAAAAGGAGGCAUGUUUUUUUUGUGUGGGUGAGGCAUGUUGAUUUCUGAGAUGCAAUAAUUAAAAGUAUUUCCAUGAAGUAAUAAUAACGAAUUGUGGAGUUCACAUGAAGUUUCCAAUAAAGUUAUUGUACAUUUGAUUAAAAAAAUUAAGUGUUGCAGUUGAUAGUUUGUCUAAAAAUUAAUGUAUUGCCAGAGACACACAUUGUACAUUAACACAUACUAACUACUACGGCGGAGGGAAGAUGACUCGGGUAACCUAACAGACCGUCGCUAUCCAUGACUCAUCGUACGAGUUAACAUGUACUCCCUCCAUUCUAAAAUAUAAGACAUUUUAGAAAUUUUACUAGAAGACUACAUACGGAGCGAAAUGAAUGAAUUUAUAUUCUAAGAUAUGUCUAUGUACAUCCAUAUGCAGUUUAUAAUGCAAUCUCUAAAAGGUCUUAUAUUUAAGAACGGAGGGAGUAUUAACUACUAAGGGGUAAGGAAGAUGGCUCGAGUAACCUGACAGACUAUCGCUACCCGUGACUCAUUGUAUGUUAACACAUACUAACUACUAAUGCGUAGGGAAGAUGACUCGAAUAACCUAACAGACUGUCGCUACCCAUGAUGCAAUUAAAAAAAACCGGUAGAAUUAUAAAUCCCUCAAAAAAAGGUAGAAAUAGAAGAAUUUGGAAAGAGGGCUAAGACAUGGUUGUGGGAAUAAAGGUGGUUGGAAGGAGGGGUGAAUAGAAUAAAAUCCUGUCGUGUUAUUUCUUGAUAUAUGUAAUUACUAUGUUUUUCUCGUUAUUCGGUGGCAACACUGGGACAUUCAGCUAGUUUUAGAACCCAUAAAUAUGUUUACAAGAAUAGAAGAAAGGACAUAUGCUACCGGCUAACACCACACCACCACCGAUUGAAAAGGAAACUAAUAUGAAAACACCUCACUUCUGCAUAUGAAUGAUAAAUUCCCUCGAUAAAUCAUUGAUGAAAACGCACAACAAUGGUUGGCGCCAAGCGAGACGACUUCCCGGCUUGCUUACAAUCCCACCUACUACCUAAUUUUUGUUUUGUUUUGAGGGGUUUCAAUCCCACCUACCUACUCGACCUGCCGCAUCCAGUGACCCCUCCGUGGGCACGACCCGGUUAAAGAGAGCUGAGCACGAGGCCCAACCUUCACCGAACGACAGUAGACAACGAUGCAUCAACAGCCAACGAGUGCUAUACUACAUAUAUAUGACCAGGCUUUGUAGCAUCAAUCAGAAGCCUCCCUAUAGAGAAACAGCAAGAUAGCUAGCUUCAUGCAUUAGAGGUUUUCGUCAGCUGGCUAACUAGAACUCUCUCACAUGCUCCUCCACUAUUCAAGUGCGCAUGCCACAGACACACUUGGCAUGUAUCGGUCGGGAGUUCAUUGUUCAUAUAGAUACAGAGUGAGUUGCAAGAGAGUUGGACAGGUAGAUUUGGAUUAGUUCGUAUAUAAGACGGCCGCACGUACGGAGAUCGUUCAGAUGGGGAGCAAGAGUUGGCAGGAGUCGAAGGUGCUGUGGCACAUCGCCUUCCCUGCGAUCCUCACGGCCGUGUUCCAGUUCUCCAUCGGCUUCGUCACCAUCGGCUUCGUCGGCCACAUCGGGGAGGUCGAGCUUGGCGCCGUUACCGUCGCUGUGAACGUCAUCGAGGGCUUCGCUUACGGUGUCUUGGUACGCAUCAACCCAGGCAGGCACGCCGAUUACCAUGCAUAUAUUCUUCAUGUUUAUGAAUGUGUAUAGACAUGUUUUAAAAGUAUAGAUGCAUCUAUCUUGUUUCGUAUAUAGAUCACAUUAAAAUGUCUAAAAAAUAUAUUUAAGAAACGAAAGAAGUAUAUGCUAGCGUGCAUUCCUACUUGCUACCUACUCUCUCCGUUCCAUAAUAUAAGUCUUUUUAGAGAUUUCACUAGAAGACUACAUACGGAUGUAUAUAGACAUGCUUUAGAGUGUAGGUUCACUCAUUUUGCUCCGUAUGUAGUCUUCUAGUGAAAUCGCUUAAAAGACUUAUAUUUAGGAACGGAGGGAGUAGCCACUAACUCUGUUUUAAAAUAAUUGAACUUCUCAGUUGCUCCUAGGUCAAACUUGUUUAUGUUAUGCCUUGUCAUUCCCACUUGCUAGCUAGCUACUAACUCUAUUUGAAAAUAAUUGAACUUCUCAGUUUCUCCUAAGUCAAACUUGUUUAUGUUAUGCCAAGUCAUCGUAUCAUAUUUUUUUAAAGAGUUGGUCAAAUUUAAAAAUGUUUGACUUGAAAAAAACCUAGAACUUCAAUUUUAAAUAUGUUACAUCCUACCAUUUGGUGUUAUUACACCCACGUCUUACAUACUACCAUAUGGUAGUAUAUAUACCACUUUACCAUUUUUAAUAUAUUCAUAUACUAUAUCUAAAAAAAAAUUAAAUGACCUACAUGUUUGUUGGUUACCCAUGAGCAGGGAGGUUUGGACUACCUGUAUGUGAGGGGUUGGGGCCCUGUAGGGUAGCAACGCCAUCGUAAAAAAUCCAUGUAGAUGAGUGGUUAUUGAGAAGACGAUCGAUUAGAUGCCGAUCCAAUGGCGGUAGCCACCGAAGAUGAAGAUUUUGAGGGUGGUGGAACGGUGGUGUGGUAGAGAGGGAGAAAGUGAGAACGAAGAGAGGCUUAGGGUUGACUGCUAACAGAGUUAAAGAAAAAUGAAAUAAACUAAUCUUUACCAUGGGCUUGUAAUGGUAAAAGAGGAGUGACAUAGUGGAUUGUUUUUCCACGCAAACUAGUCUAGUGUGUUCCACACACAGAGUAUGCAUGAGCACUGUGUGGUGUGAUGGUGUCACUAGCUACAACACGGUAGUUAUUCAAAUAUUUGUAAAAAUGCCUCUAAAGGUUCAUAGAACGCUAGAGAAAAUCUUGACAGUGAAUGAUAAUCUCAUGGUUAUCCGGAGUCGACUGACAAGAUCUUUGGAGGCGUUUUGCGGAAAACACCCAAAAAACCAAAAAAAAACAGCAAACUAAAAAUCAAAUGGACAGAACCCACCUAAAACCAGGCACCCGUUUGACUACACGUUGCGUGGCGAGGAAUCAAACUCAAGUAUUCAACACCUUAUGUAUAGAUGAGUGGUUAAUUGGGAAGACGUUCGAUUGGAGGCCGGACACAAUGAAAAUAACCACCAAAGAUGAAGAUGACAAGGAUGAUGGACCGGUGGCGUCGUCGAGAGGGAGAAAUGAAGAACCAAUAUAGUUUAGGGUUGACCGUCAAAAGAGUAAAACGAGAAAUGAAAUACAUUAAUAUUCACCGCACGCCUCCAACGGUAAAAGAGUAGUGACUAGAGUGGAUUUUCUUUCCACGCAAACUUGUGUAUUGACUUCCACACACAGUAUAUGCACCGUGUGGUGUGAGUCUUGUGACGAUAUGUCGGUGAAACCCAACACGAGUCACGGCCUCGUUUGAAUUUUACUCUUUCCCGCGCACGCAUAUGUUGCAACUACUCAAACCACGCGCUAGCUAAUGACGCAAGGGGUUGCAUUUGCAGGUUGGCAUGGGAAGCGCGCUGGAGACGCUGUGCGGGCAGGCAGUCGGCGCGGGGCAGGUGGACCUGCUCGGCGUCUACAUCCAGCGCUCCUGGAUCAUCUGCGGCGCCACCGCGCUGGCACUCGCGCCGACCUAUGUCUUCACGACACCCAUCCUGCGGGCGCUCCACCAGCCCACCGCCAUCUCCGCCGUUGCCGGGCGGUACACACGGUUGGCUCUCCCGCAGUUGUUUGCCUACGCCGCCAACUUCCCGCUGCAGAAGUUCUUCCAGGCGCAGAGCAAGGUCUGGGCCAUGACUUUCAUCUCGGGCGCAGGGCUCGGUCUCCACGUCGCGCUCAACUACCUCUUCGUCACACGCCUCGGCCAUGGCAUCUUCGGUGCCGCCAUGAUCGGGAAUUUCACCUGGUGGAUCAUCAUCGUUGCCCAGUUCACCUACCUCGUCUCCGGCUGCUUCCCGGAGGCGUGGAAGGGGUUCUCUGUGCUCGCCUUCAAUAACUUGUCCGCCUUCGUCAAGUUGUCACUCGCCUCCGCCGUCAUGCUCUGGUUGGUGCAUCUUUCAAUUCUAGGCUUGCUACACGAUUAUAAUUUAUAAUUCAAUCAGCAAGCAGAUUAAUUUGAAUUGUGUGCACGAUGUGUUCUUAUCUAGCUUGGAGCUGUGGUACUACAGUGCAGUGCUCAUCCUUGUGGGUCUCCUGAAGAAUGCUCAACUCCAGGUUGACGUCAUGUCAGUUUGGUAAGCAGUUUUUAUCUGACGAACCUGCACCUAACUAACUAUGCACACAACGUUUCGAAGAGAUAAAUCGGGCACUUUUCAGCCAUGGUAGUUUCUAGUCAAAGAUUAGUUAAAAAGUGUUAGUUUUCGGCACGAAAAAGUGAAGUAAUAGUUUGUAAGCAUGGGUCGAUGAAAUGUGGUAUUUUUUUUAAUUAAAUACUCAGAUUAAAAGGUACUCUCUCCGUUUCAUAAUAUAAGAACGUUUUCCAAGCUGUUUUGAAAAACGUUAUGAAAUUAUGGAACGCAGGGAGUAUAUAUCCGACUCUUUUUCUUACGUGAUCAUUUCUAACUUUUUUGCAGCAUCAAUUACCAGCUCUGGACCCUGAUGGUUGCAAUAGGCUUCAAUGCAGCAGUGAGGUAUAAAUAGUGCACGCAACAACACAAAUAGUAUAGAAAUAGACGUACAAAAUUCAUUAGUAAUUUUGCUAAUACGAAAGUUCUCGAGAUGCAGCGUUAGGGUGUCGAACGAGCUGGGCGCGAACAGGCCUAAGGCGGCCAAGUUCUCGAUGAUCAUAGCGGUGUCGACGUCCGCCGCCAUCGGGGCGGUCUUCCUGGCCGUGUUCCUCAUCUGGAGGACCGAGCUGCCACGGUUCUUCAGCGACAACGACAAGGUUGUGGGGGGAGCAGCAAAGCUUGGCUACCUUCUUGCAGCAUCCAUCUUCCUCAACAGCAUCCAGCCUGUGCUCUCAGGCACGUACCACUACGCCAAUCAGUUACCAAUUUUUAUUUUACCCAGUGAUCCCAAUGACAAUUGGAACAUCUGGCUUUGCAGGUGUGGCGAUAGGAGCAGGGUGGCAGACGCUUGUGGCGUUCAUAAACAUUGUGUGCUACUACUUGUUUGGCAUCCCACUGGGAGUCCUCUUUGGCUUCAAGCUAAAACUUGGUGCAAUGGUAAGGGCAAAACCAAAUCAACUUCAAAUAUUUAUGGAUACUUAAUUAAUUAGAACGGCCAAUCUGAUUCUAACCUGCUCUGAAUAUACAACAAUGUAUCUCUGCAGGGGAUUUGGGUGGGCAUGUCAAUUGGCACGCUGCUGCAGACUGCUAUACUUCUCAUAAUUUGCUUCCGAGCCAAGUGGGAGAAUCAGGUGUGCAGUACUACACUAGUAUCACUCGAUCUUAGUCCCUUUUUUCUAUGGAUAAUGACUCGAUCGUAGUUGAGCAUAUCUUUAUUAUAUAAGAAAUCUCUGAUCUUUUUACGGUGCAGGCCAUGUUGGCCGAAGGGAGGAUAAGGAAGUGGGGAGGAAGCAGCGAAACACUGCCGGCGGCCACAUCAACGGCGACAAACGAUAUCACAGAUCAAUAAUCAGAUGGUUCCUGUAUUCAGAUUCGACAAUGCUAUUUAUAUGUACAUGAAAACACAGGUAGAUAGAUUAUCUGUACUGUUAAUGUUAACGGGAAGUCCGUCCUCGUUUCGUUCGCUCACGUUAUCCGGAUCGAUUUUUUUCCCAGUGGAACUCUGUUUCAGAUUUCCACUCUGGAUUUUUCCUCUCUCGUCCCCGUCGUUUCUCUGCUUAUAGCACGCACGACCUGCAGUUGCUGUUGUUGCCACACAGCCGCCAUAUCGCCGUUGUCGUUUCUCCAUCCAGUAGAACCGCUGCAACAACUUUUACAAUUUCAGGUUUUCGUAAAACGGAGAUAUGUGCUUGCAAUAAUCAGGUUUGGCAGGAGCGUAUACAGAGAGAGGCUAAUAAAGUACAAAAUGAUGGUGAGUUGUGGAUUUGAUAGAUGUUUGGUGGGCUUGCCGACGCCAAUGCAGGAUGAUGUACGGUUGAGGUGGUGUGAAGCUGGGUGAAACCAUGUCUUGGCCUUGUGCCGUGACCAGCGAUGGCGGCGGCUGUGGCCGUCAUUGACCUUUUUAGAGGCAUCAUUGCUUCGUUCUCCCACCCCUCCUGCGCGGAUCUGGCCAGCUCGGCCUUUUCAGGAAAACUUUGAUCUGUGAUCGGACGAUGACGGCACCUUGGUGUCGUAUUUCCUGAUGAGGGCUUCGUCUUGGGAGCUUGGCGUCGGCGAGUACGACCGGUGGAUGGCGGUUGGCGGCGGGUGUGACGUCGAGGCUUCUGUGGAAACGAUGAUGGUGAGAGUGAUGUGGGUGGCGUGACAAUGGUUGCGGUAGUCGGUACUUCUUCGGCGUGUUCACGGUUUUGUCUCGGUUUGUUACUUGCUAUGGAGUCGAAGCUGCGGCGGCGGGGCCCUGUAGUAUACGAUGACUCGCAGCAGGUGGACCGUUCGGUGAUCUCCCGUGGCGCCAGCCGUGCCUGGUUUUGUCAUGCAGAACUCUUCGUCAGAGUCGAAGUUGCGUCUUCUCGACGCGGGUGGUUGAGAUUUUGACAUAGAUCUUCAUGCAUCUUCAUGUGUCCUCUUCAAUGUGGGUUGAGUCGACGAUCGUCUACGGCGGAGUCAGAGUCGUUUGCUAAGAGUGUAGGGAUGACAAUGACGCCUACACUUAAAAUAAUGUCUGAUGUUUUAAGAAAAUGUUUGGUAUUUUCAAAAAUGUUCAGUAUUUCCCAAAAAUAUUUUAAAUAUAAAUUUAUUUCUAAAAUUUUAAACUAAGUUCACGUUCAAAAAUUCUUAAAUUUCGAUAAUGUUCUUGAUUUUAAAAAAUGUUACAAACUUCAAAAAAUUGUCGUUCUCCAAUCACUGUUUAAUAAUUUAGAAAAUGUUCUGUAUUUUCGAAAAAUGUUCUUGUUUUUCAAAAAAAUCUUGUCUUUCAAAAAAUGUUCGUGUUUUCAAAACUUGUUCGCCUUUAUGAAUUUAUUUAGGAUUUUUCAAAAUUGUUUUUAUUUUCAAAACAAAUCUCAAGAAUAAAAAAUGUUCAGGCUUUAAAAAAUUGUUCGGGGUUUUUCAAAAUUGUUCUCCAUUUCGAAAUUUUGUUCUCCGGAUUCAAAAAAGUCAGUGCUUUAAAAUAUUGUUUGAGGUUCCAAAUUUGUUCAGAAUUUUUCAAAAUUAUUCUCGGUUUUAAAAUUUAUUCUCAAGAUUAAAAAAAUGUUCGUGCUUUAAAUUUUUUCUUGUGUUUACAAAUUCCUUCUCCAUUUUAGAAAAUACUAGCAAAAGAGCACGUGCGUUGCAACUGGAGAAUGCAAGGCCCGAGAAUCGGACUCGAAGGCAUAGAUAUUCUAAUGGUGCAGUAUUAUCGAACAUGUCAAAUAUGUACCUUAGGAUCCUUGUGCAUGUCAGAUAGCAUUACGAAUUUUUGUUCAUGUUUAACUCACUUUUCUUCUUCUUACUCCAUCCAUUAUCUUUGUCUCCCUUGCUUGGGUAUCUAGGAACAUCAAAAAUACAGUAUAGCUUAGAAUUUAUCGAGAUGCAUUGAAUCCUUUAACAAAGGACCACAUCACUGUAAUGACAAAAACUCAUGCAGUCAACCAUGUCAUCUCAUCUGCAUUAACUAAAGUAUGAAUCAAAUCCUCUAGUUCAGUUGUAACCAUAAAAGUAAAACAGAACUGUAACGGAGCAAAACUAAGACUCAUUAACUGAUGGAAGUUUACUCGGAUUUCCUUUUUUGUGGAAUCGUUGUUGGACUAACAAAAUAGUAAACAAUAGUAGCUAGCUUUCCCGAGAAAAUAUCAAAACCGCAAUCUGCAUCAAUUACCGAGGAGAAAAUUGGAAAUUUGCCACUUUCAAUAUAUGGGUUCUUAAAAUUGUCAUUUUCAAGAUUGGCUUCGCACAUUUGCCACUCAGCUCGUUGGCUCCUUGAUUAUCAUGCCACUUUCCUCCUACUUUUGAUUUUCAUUUUCCUUUAACAUUUAUAAGCAUUGGAAAAGACCAAACCAGCCCUGAUGCAUAUACACGUACUAUCCAAAUUUCAGUUGACACUUUGAAGCGGAGGACAGCGUACCGGCCACCUAGAAUACCGGGUGAUCUCGUCAAUGCACACUGCUUCACCGAUCUCCUUGACGCAGAGUGUCGCAGAUCGUCUAGAGUCUAGAUGUCGCAUGCCGCGAAUAUUCUCAGCGUCCCGAGCAGGACGGCGGGCUGUGCAGCUAUGGCGUGCGCGGAGACGGCGCGAGCAGCAAGCAGCCUAGUGGCGCCGGCGGGGGCUGCUUCAGUAGACACUCUUAUCGACAUCCUCAAGUAGUUGUCUGCUGUUCUCCAAUUCAGUGCUAGCUGAACUUCAGAGGAGAUCAGAACCUGUAGCCGCGGGCUGGCUCGAGUGCCCGCGGUGGGCCUCAUCGGCCGUGUAGUAGGCUCUCCUCACGAGCUCCUCGNNNNNNNNNNNNNNNNNNNNNNNNNNNNNNNNNNNNNNNNNNNNNNNNNNNNNNNNNNNNNNNNNNNNNNNNNNNNNNGUCGAGAGACGGUGGUGGGGGCGACACUUGACGGAGCAGGUGACCGCCGCCGGCAUGGCUGCUGGUUGGCUUGGCGAGCUGGGGUUCAGCAAGGGGAGUUGGUGGAGAUUGAAGAAAGAGGCCCCUGGACUGCGGGUUAGUUUGGAUUAAAUAUAGGAUGGUUUGUGUAAAAUGUAAAAAACGAUUCGUUCUUUGACUUAAAUCCGGACUGCGGGUUGAUUUUAGGAAACGUCGAGGGCUUUUUUGUGAAUGCCGUGGUGGGUUUUCCGACGGAAGCGAUAGCCGCUUUAUUAUUUUACUAGCACAAAUGUCCAUGCGUUGCAACGGGAGAAAAAUAAAAAAAAGCACGUACGUAAGGUCUUAGAUUAUAAAAUAUGUACAAAGAAAGAACCUAGUGCAAGUAUAUCAUGUCCAAAGAUUAUAACAUUUUCCAAAUAUUGAUGCUUAAGUUAACAUGUUACAAUACAAAUAGUCGGUACGAAAUAAAGACAAAUAUUGAUUAGCAUUGUAUCCUAAAUAGUAUUUUUUUAAUAUUUAAUAUGUAAAUAACAAAAUAUUCAAACUCUACACAUUUUUCUAAUCAAGUUUCAUAUAUAACAUGUUUAAAUUGGAUUUACGGUUUAAAAAAUAUUGUUAUUUGAAAAUAAAUAUUUAUUCUAAAUGGACUUCGAGGUUAUUAACGCAUAUGUGAGGGGUGUAUGUAAAUUUUUUAAAAAACAAUUCGUUCUGAAUAUAAUUUGGACUGUGGGUUAUUUAGCACGAAAGUAAGGGGGUUUUGUGUAAAAUGUGAAAAAAACGGUCCAGCCUCACUUAAAAACGUACCGCGGGUUAAUUAGAUGAAACUACAGAGGUACUUUUGCAAAAAUGCCACGACGGACGCCAGAAGCAGUGCGUGCUUUAUUAUUAAGGGAGAUAUAUAAAAUAUUCAUGUUCUCAAAAAAUGAUUGGGAAAUUCAACAUUUUUUCGUUUUCAUAGAAUAUGAAAAAAAGAAAAAAGAAAGAAAAACGAACCAAAAAAAGAAAUAAGCAGAAAAGGAGAAAAAAAAAACUGGUCUGGCCAAGUCGGGCGACCACCCUGUGAGCCCGAGCGACUCCCUGCCCGCAGAAUGCGCUAGGAGCUCCGAACGUGGGACAGGGGGAUUAUUCUAGUACAUGCAGAUUUUUUUUCUUUAAAAUAUCUCAUUCGGCCCAUUAAUUUAGUUUGGUUAAUCUAGUUUAUAAUGGAGAGUAAUCAUGCUACGACUUGCUGCUGCAGGUGCAACAGGAAAAUUGCCUGAAAGCUAAAAUCUAGUUUAGACUCGAGACUAAUCGUAUUACUGUUUUUCUUGCCAAUUGUCUUCUUUUCUGAGACAUCAAAGGAGCUUUAUUUAUAAAGGAAUAGUUGUACAAUCGCUUGCCAGCGAGCUAACCAGAAUAUUUUGGGAGUGCAGCAACCACAAGCCGUUGCGGAGUUACAUUCUUGACAAAUAGGUUAAAGCAAUCUAAAGGCCUGUUCGGAUGCCCUCCGCUCCGCAUCUUCACUCCCGGAGUUGGAGGAGAAGUAGUUAAAAAUGCAGAGUAAGAAAAGAGAUACUUCACAGAUUCUCAGAUUUAACGAAGUUGGAGGCUUGCCGAACAGCUCCUAAGAAUAUGAAGACAAACAAACUCCCUCUCCCUAAUUGUUUGUGUAGCAUGUAAACGUAUCUUUUAACGGUUUUGCUAGUUCUCAGCUAGCUGAGUUUUUGUUUUGGUCUCAAUCACCUCUAUACCCAGUACAUUAAUACACUCAGAUUUGUACGCGUAUAAUUUUUUCCUAUUUCUGUCAUUGUUUUUUGUGUGUGAGCUAGUCAAGACUGGGUCUUUCUAUGGUUAGGACCAUUAUUGGCUUUUCAACGCUAAUCUUCUUUUUGCCCUUUUUUUGUUGGUCCUAUGCUACAAGUACUUGUGGGAGAGAAGCCGGUGAGCUUCUUUUUUCUUUUUUGAAUUUCAUUUUCUGGUUCACGUUAUCAUUCGGUUUUAUUGGGGGGGGGGGGAUUUUUUAUUUACUGUUUCUCUGUUCAUAUUUUCCUACUUUGUGUUUUAAUCUUUCUUUCUUGUACAUGUAAACACUUUGUAACCAAUUUAUUCUACUCCUUUUCCUUUUCCUAAAUAAGUGUAUUCAUUUCAUUAAACUUAAUGUUCAUGCGUUAUCAUAUAUUAUAAAAUUGUCUAUUUAGGGUUUCAUUUACCUAUUUAUUACUUUCUAGUGUUUUUUAACUUUAUAGUCCGUGUUUUUUAAUGUCUUUGGUGUCUUUUUUUUGUUUUCAAUUUUAUAUUAGUGACAUUAAUAUUCAAAGUCGGGUCGCAACUGCAAGACUUAAAAUGUGACCGUAAUUGUAAAUAUUCAAAGUCGGGUCGCAACUGCAAGUAUUCAAAGUCGGGUCGUAACUACAUGUAUUCGAAGUCGGGCCGCAACUGCAAGUAUUCAAAGUUGGGUCACAACUGCAAGAUUUGAAAUGUGGUCGCAACUGCAAAUAUUCAAAGUCGGGCCGUAACUGCAAGUAUUCAAAGUCGGGUCGCAACUGCAUGUAUUCGAAAUCGGGUCGCAACUGCAAGUAUUCAAAGUCGGGUCGCCGCAACUGCAUGUAUUCGAAGUCGGGUCGCAACUGCAAGUAUUCAAAGUCGGGUCGCAACUGCAAGUAUUCAAAGUCGGGCCGCCGCAACUGCAUGUAUUCGAAGUCGGGUCGCCGCAACUGCAUGUAUUCGAAGUCGGGUCGCAACUGCAAGUAUUCAAAGUCGGGUCGCAACUGCUUGUGUUCGAAGUCGGGUCGUAACUGCAAGUAUUCAAAGUCGGGUCUCAACUGCAUGUAUUCGAAGUCGGUCGCAACUGCAAGUAUUCAAGGUCGGGUCGCAACUGCAAGUAUUCAAAGUCGGGUCGCAACUGCAUGUAUUCGAAGUCGAGUCGCAACUGCAAAUAUUCAAAGUUGAGUCGCAAUUACAAGUAUUCAAAGUCUAAUCGCAACUGCAAGUAUUCAAAGUCUGAUCGCAAUUGCAAGUAUUCAUAGUCGGGACGCAAUUGCAAGUAUUUAUAGUCGGGUCGCAACUACAAGUAUUCACAGGCCGCAACUGCAAAUCUUAUUUGUGCAGCAACUACAUGGAAAAGCUAGAAUCAAAUUGUUUUUUACUAAGAAAAAUAUAAAUUAUUACAUCACAAUUCAUAUAAUAAGGACACACUAUUUUUUUGUACAAAAAUGUUUAGUGGUCAAAGUAGUUGAAGCUAACAAGCCAUUACGUAACUUUUUUUGCUCAUUCUUUUUUUAGUUUUAUCGGCGAUUUUUUUAAAAGAUGCGACGUGCAGCAAUAAAAACCGAACGAAUAGUUUUUGAACAGGCUAGAUGAAACGCAUAGCAAUGACUACUAAAAAUGUGACAUGUCAUCCCAAAAAAAUAAAAUGAUGGAUUAAAUGAAACAAAAAGGAUAAAUACAAAAAUACAAUGAUAUUAUGUAAAUGAGACCAUAGAAAAUCUCAGCUAGCUGAGUUCUAGGCACUGCCAUAUUUUAAAGCUGUUGCAGGGGCGAGGAGCUGUGACAUUCUUGGUGCCAGUAGUAUCAUCAUGAAUCGGGGACCAUGAACAAUCAGUUCUUCAGAGAAUGGAUCAAGCCAGAACUUCUACAAUCAAAUGCUUUGAGUUCGAGGGACAAAAGAAAGAAUGAAGUUAUAAUUUUGGGGUACGUAUAUCCUACACUAUGUGUCCGUCUCCCAGUCUAACAAUCUUGUACAAGUAUUUUGUGCUGCAAAUCGGAGCAUACCAUCUACCACUGUAUGCCUAACGAUUUCUUGAGAUGGAUAAAUCUAUCAUAGGGGAAAACAUUGCGCCUGUUCAGUCAGUUCCCGGCCUCAUUCGUCCCUCCGCUCGGGGCUGAAGGCGGUGAUGGACCCCUCGGCAGCAUGGCGAGCAGAAGCGGUGCGUACUUGUCGACGAUCGCCUGGUCCAUCACAUCGCCGGUCCUAACGCCGGUUGCCCGGAGCGGACGCGCGGCGGAGGCUUCUUGUAGGCUGACGAACAGGAGAAGCAGCAGGAGGCAUGUGGCUGCGCGGCUGCUUCGGUCGCUGGAAGAAGAAGCCAUUGUUUCCGGGGCGACGAUGAGGGGAGGAUCGAUGCAGGGAACCUGGCAGUGAGCUGAGCUGAGGACAGAUGUUGGAGCUGAGCUGAGGCCAGAUGUUGUGUUUAUUAUCUGCGUUUGGUCUGGAGCUAUAUAGAGAGUGAUGGCAGUGUUGGGUGGAAGGGGUCAAACGGGGAGACUGAGGUGGAAGUGGCUGGGAAUGUUCUCAGCAAUCAUUUUUGUGUUGACUUGGUUAGUGAACAGAGGACGACUCUGCUUCUUCUGCUAUGGUGGAAAUUUGGACUUGAGAGCAGGGGUUGCCUUCAUUUCAGCCGGCGCCAACGGGGAAAAGAUGUGGGGUUUUCAGCGGCGAAAGAGUGCUCGGGUGUGGCAGCCCAGCCCGGCAACUGACUCGUGCUAUUGGGGGAUCCACUCCGCUUCCUCCUGUAUCGUCCGAAGCGCCGCCGCAGAAAAUUCCUACACCAGUCAUGGCGCUCUGUCAGCAGCCUUGGUAAGGGAUGGCACCCACCGGAUUUGGGUAGGGAUGGAGCCUUUCUAUAUACUUAAGCGUUUUCCAUCCUUAAACGUGGUUUCAAAUUUUAUCCAUCAUCGACUCACAUGUAUAAUUAUUUUCCAUAUCCAUCACAUGUUAGGGUAAAUGGAUACUGACGGAUAAAAUUAUUCAGAAUUACAAUACAUCAAUUCAAAUAUUACAUAGACAUAACAACACCUUAUAAUAAUAAUGUAUAAACAACAACACUUCAUGACAACAAGACAUAUAGUAAACAACAACACACUCUAGAUGGGGGCUAGCUGCGGGAUUUAUGUACACAAAGUACGUUUAAUACGUGGAUAACUAAUAUUUACAACCUAUUUUUUAAAUAAUAUAUGGGUACAUGGGUAUACAGAUAUGGGUUAUAUUAAGGCCCUGUUUGAAACCACCCAGAUUAUAUAAUCUGGUUUUUAUAAUCUAUUCUAUUUCCAAACAGGACAAUUUAUAUUGUAGAUUUUAUAAACUAGAUGAUCAGAUUAUUAUAAUCUCAUAAUCUGCUCUACCCCAGCUAAAAUAAGAUUAUGGAUUACAAAUGACGUGUUACCCUUGUAAACUUCAAGAGAAUUACGCAGUGCCACCGCCACUUUCCUAUUUUUCCUUGUAAACAGAGGGCAAACAUGUCAUUGUACAAUUUAAAAGUUGGUUUACAGUUUAUAUAAUCUGGCCUCCAAACAUGUCCAUCUGGAUUAUUUUUAUAAACCAGAUUAUAUAUUCUAUGUUCAUAAUCCAGAUUAUCAUAAUCUAUUAUGGUUCCAAACAGGGCCUAAACAGUACCCCUACCCACUAUACCUGGUUGGGUUUUGAAUUUUUCCAUUUAUAUAUCCAUGGGUAUGUUUUUAUCCAUACCCUUAUCAUAAUAAGGUUGUUACCCGUCAGGUACGCGGGUAAUGGGUAUCCAUUGUCAUCCCUCAGCCUUGCCCUUGCCGACGUUGGCGGAGGUGCCGCUAAGCGACCACUCCAAAUUGAUCUUGGCGAGCUCGUCGUCGAGGUAGCGCUGCCACCAUGCGGUCGUCUCUGUAGUGGUGAAUGACCAGUCAUGGGGCAAGGCCUCCGCGAGAUCGGGUACGUCCUCACAUGAGGACCCAUGUUGGUGCCGCGUUGGACUUGGCGAAUGCGGACACCGGCAUUGCUCCACUCUUGUCGCGCCACCUCCCUUGCCUCCCUAUCAUCCGCCGACACAACGGCUCGUGCGACGAGUAGCCCCCCACUACCACCAAAGUAGUGAAGGAGGUGAUCGCACGCCUUGGUGGUUGCAGGCGGCAGCUCCUCCUUAAUAGCCAUGCCGCACUAGGCGCGGUGGCGAUUAGGGCGCAGCGAUGCGGUCGUAGCGGCUGUGUGGAGGUGAUGGCGGUUCGUCCUUUACGUGGAGUCUGAUUUGGACGUCGCGGUGCGCACGUGGGACACCGCCUUGAUGUGGGCCCGUGUUGUUAAUGCAUUGAAGCAGGCCCACAAUGACAAUGUCGACACAGGACCACGGUCCCGCAGCGAUCGAUUGAUCAUGAGAUCAAGCUCCUGCUAGUACUCGUCCUUCAUCAUCACCGCUGCGACAAGGAGGCGUGGCUCUUCGACGCCCGUCGCGUCCUGAUCGUCCAUGUGAUCGGAGAUGAUCACGAUCUUCUCCUUAUCGUAGGAGCUAGUGGCAGUGGAGGCCGAGGGCCCCGGAGAGCGAGGGCGUCGGCGCCAAGAUACGGAUACCUAAGAUCCAAAGCCCCGCCUCCUGCCGGCGUGAAGAACCCGGACACGGGCAUGUAUGAGAUAGUGACUCCAAAGCAAAUGGUGAGGGGAGAGUGCAUCGAAGAGGAGCGGCGAGGUGGGUGCGGUGUGAACGGCGCCGGAGCACGACUUUCAUAGGCGCGACGGUGAGGCGAAUGGACAUGAAGCCGACUUUAAUGCGGCGCAACGAUUGAAGUAUGCUUUUUGGUCGCUACGUCUGCAUUGACCCGACCAUGUCUCUCUGACGUCCAAUCUAGAUCGGUGAUGGCCGAUAUGAAUGUGCGACAACCGUUUCGUUCAGAAGAGGGCACGGACGUGGGAGAAGGCUUUGGAUGAAAUCGGGAUAUCGCAAAAAUGCGUGAUAGUGAUCCGGACAUCUGCAUAGUACCCAUGAUUUUAGGUUGUAGAAAAAGGGGCGUCUGAGCCUGUUCGUAGACCGAUGAAAAAUGUCAAGACCCGGACGGAUGCCAGCGUUUAAGGAUCCGACAUUUUACAUCGUACUUUCUUUGUAAACAAAUAUAAGAGCGUUUAGAUCACUAUAAAUACAAUUGUACGUCAUUACGGAUAUGGAUCCACAUGUGAGCAGUGUACAAACAGCCGGUCAGCCCAAGGGUCGGUCGGUGGUAUGGGCGACCGCGACUUGAGUGGCUAGGGUCGUUUGACGCGUUCCAUACUCCGAGAGUCCGAGUCUGUCCGAGCACUUCGCUCCCGUACGUGCAAGUGCAGUCCAUCGAACGCACCGCAUACGUGGUGAGGCGAGGCUGCCAAGUGAACACGGCGAAUUUAUUUCUUGUUGACUCGGUGCUCGCACUCUCGACUGAAGCGUAUACUUUGGUACCAAGACUCUGGUGGCAGCGUUAUCUACUUGCCCGCGGCUGGGGUUGGGGCUUCACUUGGUUGUCACUGUUCUGGCUGGCAGUAGUCGAGAAAAGACCGGUGUGGUAGAAGUAUAAUAAAACGAGUCAGCGGGAUAUAAGAAAUACAGUAGUAUAUUUUUGUUUAGUUAGAGGAAAGAGAAAAGAGGAGAAAAGGUAAGCAGACUCUUAGUUAAAAACCAGCUCCAUCACGUGUUUUUAAGCAUUUUGUGAGAAUGAAAGGUGAAUCGUAGAUAACAUGACAAUGGCUUAUAGCCAGCAGUUGGCUAUACUAUUAACCAUGUUCUUAAGCAUGGCCGAAUGCCACGCGGUGAACCGUCCCAAUCACGAUACCACGAUAAACAGGGUGCUGUCAGAUUGGCCGACACGCUUGAAAAGAUUAAAGCGGUGUCUAGAAGGCUUCUUUACCUCCACAAAGAUUCAAGGUUAAUAUAAUUCACAAAGAUCUCAAAGCAAGCAACAUCUUGCUAGAUUCACAAAUGGCUCCAAAAAUAUCAGAUUUUGGAAUGGCAUGAAUAUUUGGUGGAAACUAGCAUCAAGCAAACACUACCCUGGUUGUCCGUACAUAGUAAGUAAUUGAAUAUAUUAUCCACAUCUCAAGAUCUAGUUUCUAUUUUAUUUAUUUUAUCUAAAUUAUGAAUUAUUUUUUUAUGUAGGAUUAUUUAAACAGUGGUUAUAUGCCGCCUGAAUAUAUGAUUGAAGGUGUCUUUUCGAUGAAAUCGGAUACAUAUAGCUUCUAUUAGAGAUUGUAAGUAGCUUGAAGAUCAGCUCAACGCAACUCCACUAGUUAACUUUGUUAUCCUUACAACUUACGGAAGUACAGAAAUUUGCAUAAUAAAAUUUUAAAAACUCAAACAAAACAUAGCAACCUGACCAUAAGUUGAUUACUGUGGCUCGGGCAUGGAGAUUAUGGCAAGAUGGAAGGGCAACCAAACUUGUGCACUCUUCGGUUAUUCAGAGUUGUCCACUACUUGAAGUUCUACUAUGUAUUCAUAUGUUGGUCUCUUGUGUGUUCAAGAUUGUCCGGAUGAUUGGCCACUUGUCAUCGGUUACAUUUAUGCUAGGGAAUGAAGGUGCAUUGCUUCCGGCCCCAAAGCAGCCCGCAUAUUCCGCUUUACAAAUUUAUGAAAUUGAGGAAUCAAGAGAAAACAUGGAAUAUUAUCUAAAUGGAGCGAGUAUCACAACAAUAGAUAGUCAUUAGAUGUUUAAGCUAUGCUAUAUAUUUUCAUUUUGACAAGCCUCAAGGUCUGGUUUUAGUGAAUGUAACGGAUGGUUUCCUAUGUGGGCAGUGAGUGUUUUGGUAGGUGGAAAGGUUGUGAAUUGAUAUCCAAUGUAUAGAGAGAAGAACUACGGCAUAUAAUGCUUGGGUUAGUUUCGAUGACUUAUUUGGAGAUACCGAUACAUUAUCAGCAACUCACAAAUGCCAAAUGAAAACACAUUCAAGAGAGACCGCAAAGAAUAGUAAGUAGUUGAAAAGGCAAACUUCUAUCUCUAGGUGAAAGGUUGGUCCUCAUAAAUUCAGUACUGAGUAACAUGGUACAUAUAUGAUUUGCUUAUUUCAAUUGCCGAAAGGAGUAUUACAUAGAUUGCAUUACUUCCAAUUGAUAUUUUUUUUGGCAAGGAGAUAGCAAGAGAACGAAAUAUCGACUAGCUAAAUGGAGUGUGGUUUGCAGUCCCAAGGACCAAUGUGGGUUGGCCAUUCAUGAUCUUGAGGUCAAGAAUAGAGCCCUCCUUGGCAAAUGGUUAUUUAAGUUAUUGAUGAAAGAUGGUGUUGGAGAACCCUUCUAAGAAUAAAAUAUGUGGGUUCAAAGGGCGUAUCCCAAGUAUACUAGAAGCAUUGGGAUUCUUUGUUUUGUGCGGUCUAAUGGCAACGAAGAGAUAUUUAUUUUGAUGUGGUUCCUUCUCGAUUAAGGAUGGCUUGGAAAUUAGAAUUUGGGAGGAUAAGUGGCUAGCAAUGUUGUCAAAAUUGCGAGUCAAGUCUUAUAAUCUUACGACCUUUACGAUCGAAACUAACCCCUCCGAUUCUAAGAUUUUGCUCAUUGAAUCUAAGUUUCUACGAUUCUGGUAGUUAUGAUUCUAUGAAUCACGUUCCUAUCGACGGAGCUCUGAUCUGAUUCAGAAUCUCAAUUCUGACAACUUUGGUAGCUUGGUAAUGCUACACUUCAGGAACAAUAUCUAACUCUAUAAAAUAUUGUGGAUCACAAGGGUGAUACUAUUGCCAAGGUUUUGGAAUCAUUUCCACCAAAUGUGAAGUUCAAAAGAUAUUUAAUUGGUCCUAGACUCCAAACAUGGAGCAUACUACUCCAGCGGUUAACCAUGAUACAAUUUUCACAAGAUUCUGAUGUAUUUUGUGUGGUCAAUUCUCAGUGGAGUCUAUGUAUAUAGCUUUGAUCCAUUCUGAUGUGCCAGAUGAUAAUAACAAGAAGAUAUGAAAGAUGAAGAUACCUCUUAAAAAUAAAAUAUUUGUAUGGUAUCUUUGUCGUGAAGUCAUUCUUACUAAAGAUAACCUUAUUAAGAGGAAUUGGCAUGGAAGUGUGCGAUGUGUAUUUUGUCUGCAUGAUGAGACAAUAAAACAUUUAUUUUUCCAAUAAAAGUUAGCCCGUUCUAUAUGGCCAGUCAUCCAAAUUGCUUCUCCCUUGUAUCCUCCUUGUAGUGUUGCUAAUAUAUUUGACAAUUGGCUACAUGGGAUUGAACAGGGGUUCAAAAUUCUUGUAAGGGUGGGAUAGCUUGUCAUGAUUUGGUCGCUCUGGCUAUGUAGAAAUGAUUAUAGUUUUAACGAUAAAAGGACUUCUCUUAUGCAAGUUAUCUACGGAUGCGCCGGGACGCUUCGUUUACGGUCCUCUCAACAACAAGUGAAAAAUUAAGACCUUUUUACGAAGGUAUGUACACAAUUGGGGGACACGGAGAGGAAUAAUUUUACCCUACAUGGGUGGAAGCAUAAUCUUAGUAUUGGGCCACCUAUGGUUUGGCAUUAUACAGAACUUAGUUUCGUUGUAUUUUGCCUUCUUCCUUUAUUUUUAGUUGGUGCGAGGAUUUUAUUGAUUGUGUGCAUCUUAGUUAUGUAGAGACCAAGCUUAAUCGACUCCGAGGGCUUACAACUCUAGAGAGCUUUGUGAUAUAGACUAGAAGAUAUGGGCGCGUUUUGCUGCAUCGAUGGUGUUGUUAGACUUAUAUAAAACAAAUACCCACUAUGUUUCAAAAUAUAAGGUGUAUUACUUCACCUUUUGAGUUUGAUCAAAUUUGUAUAGAACUAUAUAAAAACCAUCAUGUCAAAUCAGUAUGACUAGCCUCAUCAUGAAAUCAAUUUCCAUACCUUUUUGUUCAAUAUUGUCAAUGUCGGUUUUUUGGCUAUGAACUUGGUCAAAUUUAAAGAAAUUUGACUUUUCAAAAAAAACUGGCACCCCUUAUAUUUUGGAACUCAUGGACUAUUUAGUUUGGCGACUCAAAGAUGAUGAGUGUGCUUUAUUUUAGUUAAAAUAUGGCGAUUUAAUGGGUCUUUCAUGUUGUCGUUUUGUGUUAUUGGUUAAUCAACAUAUAUUUAUGUGAAGAAAUUUCUACAUCGAUGGCUGCCUGUACGAUAUUGAUGCUACAACAUUAUAUGAUGGCACUUCUUUUUUCUAGAUUGUGGGAGAGUGUGCGGUAUUAAUAUGUUUUUAUAGGACAGUCGUUGCUCAUUGAUUUGAAAAGUUGUUGACCCCUUUAGGAUCAUAAACCAAAUCCAAAAUUCAAUACCUUAGUUGAAUGAAAGAACUUAAAAGUGAGGGAACAUAGGGAAUUAAAAAAACGAAUGAGGGGGAACCUUGAGAAAUUGUUGAUCCGGUCAAAAUCGUGUGACCCAGUUCUAAAUUAAGGAACACAAUUAAUUAUGAGACCUUAAAAAUUAGGACGCACAGUGUAUAGUAUAAAAAAAUUGAAUGAAAAAGUUUGAGAAAUUGAUGAUCCGGACCCAAUUCUAGUUAAAGACCACAAUUGAAUGUGGGCUCUUUAAAAAUAAGAAUUUCUAUUUUCAUGCCCUUGGUUCCUUACUUCUAUUCGGUUUUACACAACCCUCUAAGUUGUCCUCAGUUUUGUCCUACUCCAUCUAGCUAUAUCUUACAUAUGGCCAAAUCAACAUUUCCCUCGGAUCAACCCCUUUGACUGUUACAUGCAUGACUAGGCCAAUGUAAACUUUGGCCACGUCAGCCAACCGGUGGUUUGUCGCCGAUGCAUAGCAGGGUAGAGCAGAGUUGUUGUCUAACCGACAUCAACGAUGGUUAGUCGAUAUCUUGGCCUCUACCGGUUGUUGGUGAUCAGGCGUGUCGAGGGGUGGCAUCAGGGUGGCCAGUGAGUACCAUCAUGGUCGGGGUUUGGUGCUUGUACGCAACAAAACUAUAACACGGUUUCAAACGAGUUUUUGUGCUGGUAUUGUUCUACAUCUGCUUGCGGUGUAGUUUGACAUGGGCACAUAAUCAAAUGGUCACCAGAGCGUCUUCAUGGGCUCAUGUGGGGGGGAAGCAAAGGGAGCUUGUGAUUAAUGUCACUACGCCUGAAAAUGUUGGCAAUGAGAGCGGGAAAAUCUGUCUAGAUCACGCUAAGGAUAUGGAGAACUAUGGAGAACAUUAGGGAGCUUGGGGAUGGGUUGUCGAUGAUCUGAAGACUCCAUCGCCUCUGCCAUUGUCCACAGGAAAAUCUCAAUUGGAACUGCCCCCUUUCCUUUACGAAGUAUCGUCCCUCGUCACUUCCAACGUCAUUUUCAUCGAGUGGAUCACCAGAGAUUUCACACUCGGACACCAGGAGCAUAUCUCCUUGCACUUGGCCAACAAGAGCUCAUUGUUGGGGCAAAACAAAUCCAUCGCAUUCUUCCAACUCGGACCUGCUAGCCAUCAAUCAAAGACCAAAUUGACAAAUCAAAAUUUUUAAAUGGGCUCCAAAAUCGCUCAAUCGCCAAUUCAGCCGACUUAUAAAUGAAUCCAAAUUGCGGCAGCGUGGGGCUGGGUGAGGGAUGCGGCGACUCACUCGGGGUAGGGCUAUUUUAGGUAAAAGAAAGUGAUGGCUCACCUAAACCAGGUCCCAAUCGUCAAAAGUGGUCACGGCCACGGCCCACCUGUCAUACACGGCCCACCUGUCCUAAGAUACCUAGCCCCACUGUUCAGUACCUGAGCAUAUAACGGUCAACUGCUUUGAACUGACGACAAGGCUCGGUUUGAUUUUUUGUGAGAGGACGAGUGGUGGAGGGGGAAAUGAAGAAAGUUAAAUGCCUUUAAAAAAGCACUAUUAAACAACCAGGGAUACAUAAAUAGAACGCCUUUAAAACUAGAAAGCAGAGUGUUAUAGAGAAUGAGUUGUGCUUUCAAGAGACGGCUUCAAUUAGCCGGUGGACUCGAUUGAUUUUGCAAGCUUUCAAAAAAUGGUAGAUAACCCCGUGAAUAUGGAAAAUCAAAAUCUCUAGAGUGUCAUAUAAAUUAUAUUAUAUCAUUUUCUGGCUGAACAUAUUCAGCACUUUGGCCUAAAUGGAAAAUUUAAUUGGCAACUGCCUAGUAGUGUUGUAGUCUUUUGCAAAAUAGCAUUCCAGGUGGAGUGGAGAAGGGAUCCAGAGGAGCUACGCAUCAUUUAUGUAUGUUUUCUUCUUCAGGUGAGAAUAGCGUUGCUAUCAUCUUUCCUAAUUGUCUGUGUAGAUUUUUAAACUUAUCUUAAAGUUGCUGCAGAGGCCACGAGCUAGGAUAUUCUUUUUUUUUNNNNNNNNNNNNNNNNNNNNNNNNNNNNNNNNNNNNNNNNNNNNNNNNNNNNNNNNNNNNNNNNNNNNNNNNNNNNNNNNNNNNNNNNNNNNNNNNNNNNGCUUGAGAGCCAAGGCAGGGGAGCCUCAGUGCCCCACAAGCCCCCACCCCGUGACCAGUGGGGAGGCCGCGGCCCACAGGCUUGUGGGCCCCCUGAGCGCCCCCUAAUCUAGGGGUUGCGCCUAUAAAUUCCCUAAAAAUCCCAAAAAAAUUAGGAGAUCAUCGAAAUUACUUUUCCGCCACCGCAAGCUUCUGUCUCCGCGAGAUCCCAUCUGGGGCAAGUUCUGGUGCCCUAUCGGAAGGGAGAUUCGGAUACGGAGGGCUUCUUCAUCAACACCAUGACCUCUCCGAUGAUGCGUGAGUAGUUCACCAUAGACCUACGGGUCCAUAGCAAGUAACUAGAUGGCUUCUUCUCUCUCUUGGAUCUUCAAUACAAAGUUCUCCAUGAUCUUCAGGGAGAUCUAUCCGAUGUAAUCUUCUUUUGCGGUGUGUUUGUCGAGAUCCGAUGAAUUCUGGAUUUAUGAUCAAAUUAUCUAUGAAUCUUAUUUGAGUUUCUUCUGAUCUCUCUUGCUAUUAUGAGAGAAGCCUCUAGUGAACACUAUGGCCCCCGGGUCUACUCCACACCACAUUUUCAGCCUUACACUUUUUACUUCGUUGCACUUUCCGCCUUCAGAUCUCACUUUGCAAACAAUCAUGAAGGGAUUGACAACCCCUUUGAAGCGUUGGGUGCAAGCUUGUUUGUGUUUGCGCAGGUACUCUGGACUUGACGAGACCCUCCUUCUGGAUCGAUACCUUGGUUCUCAAACUGAGGGAAAUACUUACUGCACCUGUGCUGCAUCACCCUUUCCUCUUCAAGGGAAAAACUGACGCAAACAAGAGAAGUAGCAAGAAGAAUUUCUGGCAUUGCCGGGAAGGACUUUUGUUGCCGUAGCAGAAGAAUUUAUGGCGCCGUUGCCGGGGAGGAAGAUCAAGUCAAGGACUCAUCGAAGUAGGCGUCGCAAACUCAUCUCUUGCAUUUAGUUUGUUUGCCAGUUGACUCUCGUUUUCCUCUCCCCCACUUCACAAUUUGCCUUUUUCAUUUGCCUUUUUCGUUCGCCUUUUCGUUCGCCCUUUUUCUCGUCUGUACUUUGUUUGCUUGUGUGCUUGCUUGCGUGCUGAAGUCACCAUGAAUGAAAACACCAAACUUUGUGACUUCUCGAAUACUAAUAAUAAUGAUUUUAUUAGUACUCUGAUUGCUCCCGCCACUAGUGCGGAGUCAUACGAAAUCAAUGCCGCUUUACUGAAUCUUGUUAUGAAAGAGCAAUUCUCUGGCCUUCCUAGUGAAGAGGCCGCAUCCCAUCUUAAUACCUUCAUUGAAAUUUGUGACAUGCAAAAGAAGAAAGAUGUGGAUAAUGACGUGAUUAAAUUGAAGCUUUUUUCCUUUCUCGUUGCGAGAUCGCGCAAAAACUUGGUUUUCUUCUUUGCCCAAAAAUAGUAUCGAUUCUUGGGAUAAGUGCAAAGAUGCUUAUAUAUCCAAGUAUUUUCCGCCGGCUAAGAUCAUCUCUCUCUGUAAUGAUAUCAUGAAUUUCAAGCAACUUGAUCAUGAACAUGUUGCACAAUCUUGGGAGAGAAUGAAAUUAAUGAUUAGAAAUUGUCCCGCUCAUGGCUUGAGUCUUUGGAUGAUUAUUCAAAUCUUUUACGCUGGCUUGAAUUUCGCUUCUAGAAAUAUCUUGGACUCCGCCUCGGGUGGAAUGUUCAUGGAAAUCACGUUAGGAGAAGCCACAAAGCUCUUAGACAACAUCAUGACGAACUACUCUCAGUGGCACACUGAAAGGUCACCUACUAGAAAGAAGGUACACGCUAUAGAAGAAAUUAAUUCGUUGAGUUCUAAGAUGGAUGAGUUAAUGAAUUUGGUUGCUAGUAGAAGUGCUCCUUUGGAUCCUAAUGAUAUGCCUCUGUCUUCUUUGAUUGAGAGUAGAAACGCUAGCUUGGACGUUAAUUUUGUUGGUAGGAAUAACUUUGGCAACAACAUUGCUUUUAGGGGAAACUGUGUUCCUAGGCCUUUUCCUAGUAACUCCUCUAAUAAUUUUGGCAACUGCUACAACAAUACCCAUGGAAAUUACAAUAGAUUACCCUCUGAUCUAGAGAGUAAUAUCAAAGAGUUCAUCAACUCUCAAAAGAUUUUCAAUGCGUCCAUAGAGGAAAAGCUACUCAAAAUUGACGAUUUGGCUAAGAGCGUUGAUAGAAUGUCUAGUGAUGUUGAUACUUUGAAAGUUAGAUGUGCUCCUCCAAAAAUCAACAUGGAUGAAACUUUGAAAGCUAUGCGUGUUUCCAUGAUUGAGAGCCAAAAAAGAACCACCCAAAUUCGUGCUAGACAUGAAUGGCUUAAAAAGGCGUGUUCUCGUGAUGAGAAUCACGAAGAUCUUAAAGUGCUUGGUGUGACUCCCAUUGAAUCUUUGUUUUAUUGUGUCAAACCUAAUGAUUAUGGGUCUGGAUAUGAAUCCACUUUGGUUGAUUAGAGCCCCGAGGAUUUGGAGUCCAUCUACCUUGAUGCCAAAAGCAUUGAAAGUGAAGUAGAAGAUGUUAAAACUUUGAGUAGUAAUGAAAUUACUACCAUGGAUUUCAAGGAAUUCAUUUAUGAUAGUUGCUCCUUGAUUGAAUGCAUUUCUUUGAUGCAAUCCAUGUUAAACUCUCCACCACGCUUAUAGCCAAAACAAGGCCUUUACCGAUCAUAUCGUCGAAGCUACGAUAAAAUCUCUUGAAGAGAAACAUGAAUUGGAAGUCUCUAUCCCUAGAAAGCUUCAUGAUGAGUGGGAACCUACCAUCAAAAUCAAAAUCAAAAACUAUGAGUGCAAUGCUUUGUGUGAUUUGGGUGCUAGUGUUUCUGCGAUUCCAAAGUCUUUAUGUGAUGUUCUGGGUUUUAAUGAGAUUGAAGAUUGUUCUCUUAAUUUGCAUCUUGCUGAUUCUACUGUCAAGAAACCCAUGGGAAGGAUCAAUGAUGUUCUUAUUAUUGCAAAUUGGAACUUUGUAUCCGUGGAUUUCAUUGUGCUUGACAUUGAUUGCAAUCCUACAUGCCCUAUUAUUCUUGGUAGACCUUUCCUAAGGACUAUCGGUGCUAUCAUCGAUAUGAAGGAAGGGAAUAUUAGAUUUCAAUUUCCUUUAAGCAAGGGCAUGGAACACUUUCCUAGAAAGAAAAUAAGAUUGCCUUAUGAAUCCAUGAUGAGGGCCACUUAUGGUUUGAGCACCAAAGACGACGAUACGUGAUUCUAUCGCCUUUAUGCCUAGCUAAGGGCGUUAAACAAUAGCGCUUGUUGGGAGGCAACCAAUGAAUUUAUCUUUUUCUUUGUGUUUUGUUGCAUCCACACCAUCACAAUUCUGUUGUGAUUGUAUUUUUUGUGUUUGAGCCAAGCAAAACCUUUAUGACUAGUCUUGGUAAUGGUUGUUUGAUCCUGCUGGAAAGAGACAGAAACUUUUCGCUCACGAGAUGAUUUUUCAUGUUUAUUCAGAAAGAUAUUUUGGGUUGAUUCUUUUUGCUUCUAGUAGAUAUGGUUUUUUCCCAGGCCGUCGUAAUUUUUCAGAUUUGUUGAGGUACCAGAAGUAUACGAAGUAUACAGAUUGCUACAGACCGGUCUGUUUUUGACAGAUUCUAUUUUUGUUGAGUUGGUUGCUUGUUUUGAUGAAACUAUGGUUAGUAUGGGGGGGGGUACUAGCCAUGGAAAAGUGAGAAUACAGUAGCCCAACACCAAUAUAUAUAGAAUUCAAGUUUGCUACAGUACCAAAAGAAGUGGUACAUUGUUUUCUUGUUCUAAUGUUAUCACGAGUUUCUGUUUAAGUUUUGUGUUCUGAAGUUUUCAAGUUUUGGGUGAUGUUCUCAUGGACGAUGAGAUAAGGAGUGGAAAGAGCUCAAGCUUGGGGAUGCCCAAGGCAUCCCAAGCCAAAUUCAAGGACACCAAAAAGCCUAAGCUUGGGGAUGCCCUGGGAAGGCAUCCCCUCUUUCGUCUGCAAUCCAUCGGUAACAUUACUUGGAGCUAUAUUUUUAUUCACCACAUGAUAUGUGUUUUUGCUUGGAGCGUCUUGUAUCAUAGGAGUCUUUUCUUUUUUUGUGUCACAGUUAUCCUUGCUUCACACCUUUUUGAGAGAGAGAGACAUGCACUCAUCGUGAUUUUGCUAGAAUGCUCAUAGUGCUUCACUUAUAUCUUUUGAGCUAGACACUUUUGCUCUAUGUGCUUCACUUAUAUCUUUUAGAGCACGGCGGUGCGUGAUUUGGUAGUUGGAUUAUGCUAUGAAAGUAGUCCCAAAGGUGAUAGAUACCCAAAUAGGAUGCAAAAACCUCCAUCUUCAUGUGCAUUGAAUAGAAAGAGAAGUUUUGAUUCCUCUCAAAUAGUUUUGAGACGUAGAUUUGGUAAUAUUAAGAGUUAUGUUAGUAGGGUGUUGUGAUCUAGAAAUACUUUUGUUGAAGUUAGUGAUUCCCGUAGCAUGCACGUAUGGUGAACCACUAUGUUAGGAAGUCGGAGCAUAAUUGAUCUAUUGAUUGUCAUUCUUUGUGUUGAGGUCGGGAUCGUGCGAUGGUUUACACCUACCAACCCUUCCCCUCGGAGUAUGCGUUUAGCACUUUGUUUCGAUUACUAUUAAAAACUUUCGCAACAAUUAUGUGAGUUCUUCAUGACUAAUGUGAGUCCAUGGUAUAGAUGCAAUUUCACCUUCCACCAUUGCUAGCCUCUCUAGUGCCGCGCAUUUCUCGCCGGUGCACAAACCCACCAAAUUCCUUCCUCAAAACAGCCACUAUACCUACCUACUAUGGCAUUUUCAUAGCCAUUCCGAGAUAUAUUGCCAUGCAACUCCCACUGCUCCGUCUCAUGACUUGUGCCGUCACUAUCAUAUUGUCGUUGCAUGAUCGUAAGAUAGAUAGCGAGAUGUUUCAAUGUCAUAGGCCAUGCUAGAUCGUUGGAUAUCCCGGUACACUGCCGGAGGAAUCUCCUAUGGAGUCAUCAUCAUUGUGAGCUUUGAGCUGUGAGUAAAUAAAAGUGUGAUGAUCAUCAUUAUUAGAGCAUUGUCCCAUGUGAGGAAAAAAAGAGCCCAAAGAUCCCAAAAACAAAAAAAAAGAGAAACUGUCUCUUAUACACAUNGAGGCCUAAGAGCCCAAAUGAAAAAAAAGGAGAGAAAAAGAGAGAAGGGACAAUGCUACUAUCUUUUUCCACACUUGUGCUUCAUAAUAGCACCAUGUUCUUCAUGAUUGAAAGCUUCCUGCUUUGUCACUACCAUAUGCUAGUGGGAAUCUUCAUUGUAUAACUUGGCUUGUAUAUUCCAAUGAUGGGCUUCCUAAAAAUUUCCCUAGGUCUUCGUGAGCAAAGCAAGUUGGAUGCACACCCACUGGUUUUCCUUUUGAGCUUUCACAUACUUAUAGCUCUAGUGCAUCUCUUGUAUGGCAAUCCCUACUCAUUCACAUUGAUAUCUAUUAAUGGGCAUCUCCAUAGCCUAUUGAUAUGCCGAGUCAAUGUGACCAUCUCCUCCUUUUUUUUGUCUCUCAACCACCACCACACUCUAUUCCACCUAUAAUGCUAUAUCCAUGGCUCACGCUCAUGUAUUGCGUGAUAGUUAUAAAAAGUUUGAGAAAGUAAGAGUGCAAAAACAAUUACUUGGCCAAUACCGGGGUUGUGCAUGAUUUACUUUAGUUGUGUGAGGAUGAUGGAGCAUAGCGAGACUAUAUGAUUUUGUAGGGAUAACUUUCGUUGGCCUUGUUAUUUUGAAAGUUCAUGAUUACUUUGCUAGUUUGCUUGAAGGAUUACUGUUUUCAUGUCACUAGCAAACUAUUGUUUCGAAUCUUACGGAUCGGAACAUUCAUGUCACGUGAAAAAAGUUGCAAAGGACAACUAUGCUAGGUAGUAUUCCACAUAAAAAAUUCAUUCUUUAUCACUUCCCUACUCGAGGACGAGCAGGAGUUAAGCUUGGCGAUGCUUGAUACGUCUCCAACGUAUCUAUAAUUUUUGAUGGUUUCAUGCUAUUAUCUUGUCAAACUUUAAAUGUUUUGCAUGCCUUUUAUAUAUCUUUUGGGACUAACUUAUUAACUCAAUGCCAAGUGUGAGUUCCUGUUUUUCCAUGUUUUUGACCCCUUUCAGAGGAGAUUUUGAAACGGAGUCCAAACGGAAGAAAAUCCCCGAAAAGAUUUUUUUCGUAACGGAAGAAGAUCGGGAAGCUUGAGAGCCAAGGCAGGGGAGCCUCAGGGGACCCACAAGCCCCCACCGCUUGGCCAGGGGGGAGGCCGCGGCCCACAGGCUUAUGGGCCCCCUGAGCGCCCCUUGACCUAGGGGUUGCGCCUAUAAAUUCCCUAAAAAUCCCAAAAAAAUCAGGAGAUCGUCGAAAUUACUUUUCCGCCACCGCAAGCUUGUGUCUCCACGAGAUCCCAUCUGGGCACGUUCUGGUGCCCUACCGGAGGGGAGAUUCGGAUACGGAGGGCUUCUUCAUCAACACCAUGACCUCUCCGAUGAUGCGUGAGUAGUUCAUCAUAGACCUACGGGUCCAUAGCUAGUAACUAGAUGGCUUCUUCUCUCUCUUGGAUCUUCAAUACAAAGUUCUCCAUGAUCUUCAUGGAGAUCUAUCCGAUGUAAUCUUCUUUUGCGGUGUGUUUGUCGAGAUCGGAUGAAUUGUGGAUUUAUGAUCAAAUUAUCUAUGAAUCUUAUUUGAGUUUCUUCUGAUCUCUCUUAUGCAUGAUUUCAUAUCCUUGUAAUUCUCUUCUAGUUAUGGGUUUUGUCUGGCCAACUAGAUUAUGAUUCUUGCAAUGGGAGAAGUGCUUGGUUUUGGGUUCAUACCGUGCGGUGACCUCACCCAGUGACAGAAGGGGUAGCGAGCCAUGCAUCGUGUUGUUGCCAUCAAGGGUAAAAAGAUGAGGUUUUCAUCAUUGGUUUGAGAUUAUCCCUCUACAUCAUGUCAUCUUGCUUAAGGCGUUACUCUGUUCGUCAUGAACUCAAUACACUAGAUGCAUGCUGGAUAGCGGUCGAUGUGUGGAGUAAUAGUAGUAGAUGCAGAAAGUAUCGGUCUACUUGUCUCGAACGUGAUGCCUAUACGUAUGAUCAUUUCCUUAGAUAUCGUCAUGACUUUGGGCGGUUCUAUCAAUUCACUACUGGAAUCUGCUGGUUUGCGGACAGCAAGAGCUGACGGCAAAGGACAGUUUAACGGACGGCAAAGGCUUUGCCGUCAGUGUGCUGUCGGCAAAAGAACCGGCCAAGAUUUUAUCGGCAAUCACCUUCUUUGCCGUCAGCUGAAGGUCGACCGACGGCAAAGACUUUGCCAUCAGCUUUGUGGCACGGGCUGACGGCAAAGAGCAAUGGCGGCAACCGCGCAGGCCGAGUCCCGUUAGAAGGUUAACAGCAUGCUUUGCCCACAACCGUAGAAAAGCUGACGGCAAAGCCGAAACCCUGGGUCCCCUGGGUCCCCUCUUUGCCCACAACCGUAGCAAAGCUGACGACAACGCCGAAAACCUGGGUCCCCUUGGUCCCCUCUUUGCCGACAGCUGGAGCACAGCUGAUGGCAAAGCCGAAAAUCUGGGAAAAUUUGGUAUUCCUAGAGUUGCCAGGAUACACAGGCUGCCGCCACGUGUCUUCUUUGCCGUCAGUCCACCGACGGCAAAGCCGUUGCCGUCAGUAAGCUGUAGGCAAAGACCCUCUCUGCUUUUUUCAUAUUUGUUUUCUAUUAAUUCCCUGCAUUUGCAAAACAUAGAUACAAACAGCAACAUAUAUAUAUAUUUGCCCAGCCCCUAAACAGCAGCACAAGUGCAUCACAAAGUGCAAACAACACAACACAAGUGCAUCACAAAGUGCAAACAACACGAAUAUAUGUAAUUAAAGUGCAAACAAGAUCACAAAGUAUUACAAAGCAUCACAAGUGCAUCCGCAAAUACAAGUGCAUUACAAAGUUCAUCUAAGACUACACAAGUGCAUUACGAAGUCCCUCGAGCAUCCAUCCAUAUGCCAUGCUGCUUUAUCAAAAUCUGCAUAAUGAGAAAGAAGUUAGAAGAAGAAUACAAUAAGAAAGAAGUUAUCUAAAUUAAGCUAAGCAAUUAGAAGAAGAAGUGGAAGAAGAAGAACAAGAACAAGAACAAGAACAAGAACANACCAGCAAGCUCGAGGCGCAAAAGAAGAAGAAGAAGAAGAUGGAGAAAAAGAAAGAAGAGAAGUUAUCUUUUUCUCCUCUUUCUUCUUCUCUUAUUUCUUCAUCUCUUGUUUGUUCUUCUCUUCUGGUUUCUUUUAAAACUUUCUAAACUAAUUAUGUCAUUUUUGAGCUCUAAUAUCAACUAGAAUUUACUAAGCUAACUAAAGCAUGGCUAAUAUCAACUAGAAUUUACUAAGCUAACUAAAGCAUGGCAUAAUCUAAGUUGAUCUAAACAAUAAGAAGAAUAAGAAGGAGAGGAAUAACUUACCAAAUGCCAAGAAACAGAGGAGAAGCUCCAUCUCCGUUGGUCGCUGGGUUGCUAGGGCUCUCACCAGGAGAAGUAAAGGGAUCGUGGGAUUCAACUCUGGAAUGAUGCUGCAACAAGGCAAGAGUUAAAAUAUGUGGUUAGCACGGCGACAGACAAUGGUAUAAGACCGUGCAAGGUUGGUCAUUGAUAGGGAACUCACCAUUCCCACCGGAGAAGGCAUCGGCGGAGGGGGCGGCAAACCUUGCUUCUCACACAUAGCCUGCAAAUUAGUUUUCGAGGAGUCAAAGAAAUAGCCUUGUUGCGUUUCACACAUAGCCUUGCUUCUCACACAGCUGACUUACCGCAACGAAGUCGUGCAUGGCCUUCGCAUGGGCAUUAUUGCGUGCCCUCUCCUCCUCAAGCAAACUCUGCGUAUUCCGGCCCCUCUCCUCCAACAAGAGCCUGGUGGCCUCCCUCUCCUUCAUAAGUGCGGCAUGCAACCACUCCUCAAAAGGAAUUUUCAUCAUCCAUCCAGGGACAAAAGAACGAAAGAAAUAAUGAAGAAAACUAACCUCGAUGGCAAGAUCAACUGGCCACACACGUUGUCGUAUUACACGGGCGGAGCUCGUUUGCCUCGCCUUUAUCUGAGAUAGAGUCUCAGUGAUAGGGACGAAGCCAUCACACAUGGCCAGCGUGCCAUGACUCUUACCGCCACCAGAGAUCAUCAACGCCUCUGGAUCGAUAGGAUUCUGGCUCGGGUCAAAGUCAGGCCCGCGCAGCUGUUUGACCACCUCAGAAUAAGACUUCAUCUUGUUGUAGGCGGACAGGCUUGUGUACGCCGACGGCCCGUCCCCCUCAGAAUAUGCCUUCGCCAUCUUGUAAGAGCCCUUAUGGGCCAUGCUAAACGCGGCGUAUCCCUGAGGCUCGGGCUGGUUAUUGUGUUUGGCCUACACGAAAAGACAAAGAAUUAGUACAACAAAAAUCAUGAACGAAUGAAUUAUUGAUGAAACAAAACAAGGCACACAUAUCCAUUUUUUGGCGUAUUGCUUGAUGUUGGCAUUGCCUUGGUGGUGUGGCACACCAACCAAUUGGGCACGACGGUCCUUGGCCGUAGUGUGGGUGCUCAACCAAGCCUCUGUGCACCACCUGUCCACUAUCAUCUCCCAACAAUCCAUCUUAUCGGCCAACCAUCUCGGGGGCACCUAUGAAUGUAAGUUAAUGAAGAAUGACACUAAGUAUUAUAACUAAAUAGACCUAACUAGCCCUAAGAAUUGAUCUUUGGAAUGUACAUACCUCCAUGUACUCGGUCUUAUCAAGGUAAAUCUUUCGACAUUCAAUCUUUGUCUUCGGCUCCCCUUGCUUGGCGUACCAAUCUCGAAAAGGCAUGUGCAAAUACAGAGCAUGUGUGAGUACGGUGCAUGGUUUGUGUCUAGCCCAGUUUGGGGCGAUGCAUGAUUUCUUUACUAAACAAUGCAUUCCUUUGUUCUCAGUUCCUCCAUUUCAAACGUUUCAUUUGUUUCAUAUUCCUGUACUUUCCCUCUGUUUUUCAAUCCUCAGUUCUACACAUGCAUUCCCAUAGUUUUCCUACAUUUUUCCUAUUCCUAUGUUUUUGCGAUCCUGUAAAUCAAAGAGGCCCUAACAUAGAAAAAUAAACUAAAAAAAGAAAAAAAGGGAGGAGGAGCUCACCGGCGAGUCGGGGCAGGGCUGGCGCGGGGCAGAGGCGAGUAGGGGCGGCGCGGGGCACAGGCGGGUAGGGGCGAGCAUGGGUCAGAGGCAAGUAGGGGUGGCGCGGGGCGGCACCGGCGAGUACGGGCGGGCGCUGGGCCUGUCUCUUAUACACAUCUGACGCUGCCGACGACAACCGGUUGUNUGGGUCGGGAGAGCAGGGUGGGAGAGGUGAGAGAGAAGAGGGGUUAGGUCGUGGCCUGCACGGGGGGGAUAACCACCCGACUAUGCCGUCAGCUGGCUGCGGGCAAAGACAGCCGUUAGGCUUUGCCGUCAUCUGGCUGUCGGCAUAGACGGGUCCCGUUAAGCCGUGGCCGAACGUGGGACCGAGAACCUCCCUAUGCCGUUAGCCGCCCUUUGUCGUCAAUCUGUUGCUCCUUUGCCGUCAGCUGGCUGACGACUUAGAUAGAGCGGACGACAUGGCGUUUCUAUGCCGUCAACCGCGCCUAUGACGUCAACAUUAUUUUCGGCUGAGGGUAAAGCCUCUAUGCCGUCAGCCCCGUGAAAAUGCUGACGGCAAAGCCAAAAGCUGUCGGCAAAUUAGGUUUUUCCAGUAGUGAUUGUUGGACAGUAAUUUGUUCACCCACCAUGAUAUUUGCUAUUUUGAGAGAAGCCUCUAGUGAACACUAUGGCCCCCGGGUCUACUCGACACCAUAUUUUCAGCUUUACACUUUUUACUUCGUUGCACUUUCCGCCUUCAGAUCUCACUUUGCAAACAAUCUUGAAGGGAUUGACAAACACAUUGAAGCAUUGGGUGUAAGCUUGUUUGUGUUUGUGCAGGUACUCUGGAAUUGACGAGACCCUCCUUCUGGAUUGAUAUCUUGGUUCUCAAACUGAGGGAAAUACUUACUGCUCCUGUGCUGCAUCACCCUUUCCUGUUCAAGGGAAAAACCGACACAAACAACAGAAGUAGCAAGAAGAAUUUCUGGCGUUGCGGGGAAGGACUUUUGUUGUCAUAGCAUUGUGCUACUCAUCCAUUCUUGCUUACUGUGCAUGCUAUGCUUAGAGUCGUGUCGGGUCUGAUCCAUCUGGAUGAUGAAUCAGAAUGGUUUUGUUCAUGUCCUACGGUGUGACAGUAAAGUGUGUAAGCAUGAUUUGGUAAAGCUAGCGAUGAGAGGCCAUGUAGGAGUACAUGGUGGGUUGUCUCAUUGGGACCAUCCUUAAGAACUGAGUUAUGUGUAUGUUAUCCAAGACAACAUACUACCACACAUUGGGAUCUGAUACGUCUCCAACGUAUUGAUACGUCUCCAACGUAUCUAUAAUUUUUUAUGGUUUCAUGCUAUUAUAUUGUCAAACUUUGGAUGUUUUGUAUGCCUUUUAUAUCUUUUUUGGGACUAAAUUAUUAACUCGAUGCCAAGUGCCAGUUCCUGUUUUUUCCGUGUUUUUGACCCUUUUCAGAGGAGGAUUUUGAACGGUGUCCAAACGGAAUAAAACUUCUGAAAAGAUUUUUUUUCCGAAACAGAAGACGAUCGGGAAACUUGAGAACCAAGGUAGAGGGUCACCAGGGACCCCACAAGCCCUCAUGGCGCGGCCAGGGGGCCCGCGCCUCCCAGGCUUGUGGGCUCCCUGGGCCUCCUCUGCCCUAGCUCCUUCGCCUAUAUAUUCCCUAAAAUCCGAGAAAAAAUUAGGAGAUCAUCGAAAGUACUUCUCCGCCGCCGCAAGCUUCUGUCUCUGCAAGAUCCCAUCUGGGGUACGUUCUGGUGCCCUGCCGGAGGGGGAUUCAGAUACGGAGGGCUUCUUCAUCAACACCAUGACCUCUCCGAUGAUGCGUGAGUAGUUCACCAUAGACCUACGGGUCCAUAGCUAGUAGCUAGAUGGCUUCUUCUCUAUCUUGGAUCUUCAAUACAAAGUUCUCCAUGAUCUUCAUGGAGAUCUAUCCGAUGUAAUCUUCUUUUGCGGUGUGUUUGUCGACAUCCGAUGAAUUGUGGAUUUAUGAUCAGAUUAUCUAUGAAUCUUAUUUGAGUAUCUUCUUAUCUCUGAUAUGCAUGAUUUCAUAUCCUUGUAAUUCUAUUCGAGUUGUGGCUUUUGUUUGGCCAAUUUGAUCUAUGGUUCUUGCAAUGGGAGAAGUGCUUGGUUUUGGGUUCAUACCGUGCGGUGCUCACCCAGUGACAGAAGGGGUAGCAUGGCACGCAUCAUGUCGUUGCCAUCAAGGGUAAAAAGAUGGGGUUUUCAUCAUUGGUUUGAGUUUAUCCCUCUACAUCAUGUCAUCUUGCUUAACGCGUUACUAUGUUCGUCAUGAACUCAAUACACUAGAUGCAUGCUGGAUAGCGGUCGAUGUGUGGAGUAAUAGUAGUAGAUNAGUAGCUAGAUGGCUUCUUCUCUAUCUUGGAUCUUCAAUACAAAGUUCUCCAUGAUCUUCAUGGAGAUCUAUCCGAUGUAAUCUUCUUUUGCGGUGUGUUUGUCGACAUCCGAUGAAUUGUGGAUUUAUGAUCACAUUAUCUAUGAAUCUUAUUUGAGUGUCUUCUCAUCUCUCGUAUGCAUGAUUUCAUAUCCUUGUAAUUCUUUUCCAGUUCUGGCUUUUGUAUGGCCAAAUGGAUCUAUGCUUCUUGCAAUGGGAGAAGUGCUUGGUUUUGGGUUCAUACCGUGCGGUGACCUCACCCAGUGACAGAAGGGGUAGCCGGCCAAGCAUCCUGUAGUUGCCAUCAAGGGUAAAAAGAUGCGGUUUUCAUCAUUGGUUUGAGGUUAUCCCUCUACAUCAUGUCAUCUUGCUUAACGCGUUACUUUGUUCGUCAUGAACUCAAUACACUAGAUGCAUGCUGGAUAGCGGUCGAUGUGUGGAGUAAUAGUAGUAGAUGCAGAAAGUAUCGGUCUACUUGUCUCGGACGUUAUGCCUAUAUGUAUGAUCAUUGCCUUAGAUAUCAUCAUGACUUUGCGCCGUUCUACCAAUUGCUCGACAGUAAUUUGUUCACCCACCGGAAUAUUUGGUAUUUUGAGAGAAGCCUCUAGUGAACACUAUGGCCCCCGGGUCUACGUCACACCAUAUUUUCAGCCUUGCUCUUUUACUUCAUUGCACUUUCCGCCUUCAGAUCUCACUUUGCAAUCAAUCUUGAAGGGAUUGACAACCCUUUUAUAGCGUUGGGUGCAAGCUCUUUUGUGUUUGCGCAGGUACUCUGGACUUGACGAGAUUCGCCUACUCGAUUGUUACCUUGGUUCUCAAACUAGGGAAAUACUUACAGCUCAUGUGCUACAUCACCCUUUCCUCUUCAAGGGAAAAACCAACGCAAGCCCAGUCCCCGUCAACGUGCCAAUCUCUGGCGCUGUUGUCUGUUGCCGUAGCAGAAGAAUUUCUGGCACCGUUGCCGGGGAGGAUCAAGUCAAGAACUCAUCCAAGUAAGUGUCGCAAACUCAUCUCUUGCAUUUACUUUUUUGCCUCUCAUUUUCCUCUCCCCCACUUCUCAAAAACAAAAAUUUACAAAAAUAUUUGCCUUUUUCGUUUGUCUUUCCUUUGCUUGUGUGCUAUGUGCCUUCAAUAUGCUUGCAUCUUCUCUUGGUGAAAAUCUAGUGAUAUGGAUUCUCACCGACUUGCUAAUCUCUUUAAGAGAUCAAAUUAUGUGGAACAAAUUGCUAGUAAGUUGAGUGCACUUGAAUUUCUCUAUGAAGUUUUGCUUGAGAUGCGUGAAUCUGAAAAUCGUGAUGAAUAAAUUCAUGAAGUGAUUCACGAGGGCUCCUUGAAUGAAAAGCUUGAUUGCAAUGAUUUCACUAUGAAUUCUAUUAGUGAUAAUCAUGCUAAAAAUAUGCAAAACCCUAAGCUUGGGGAUGCUACUUUUGCUAUGUCCACUACUUGUUGCAAUGAUCAUGAUUGGGGUAAUGAUUUUUCUUAUGAUCUAGAAAAUUUGUUUAAGCCUCAUGAUGAAUAUGAUAUUUGCAUUAAGAUUGAAAGUGGGUUUGGAGAAGUCAUGACUUUAGUUGAUGAUAAUCCCACCAUUUUUGAAGAGCGUCAACUUUGCAUGCUUGUGGAUCAUGAAAAUAAUAUCCUUUGUGAUAGCUAUAUUGUUGAAUUUGAUUAUGAUCCCACAUGUAAUUGCUUUGAGAGAGGAAAAUAUUGUGGUAGAAACUUUCAUGUUACUAAAUUACCUCUCGUUAUGUUGAGAUUGCUUUUGUCUCUUUCUUCUUCCUUGCAUUUGGUAACUAUUGGUUGUUUUGCCAAUUUGUUUUCCUAUAAAAUUCCUAUGCAUAGGAGGUAUGUUAGACUUAGAUGUGAUUUUCAUAUGCUUUAUGAUGCUCUCGUUGUGCUUCAAUUCUUGUCUUUUAUGAGAGCAUCAUUGAAUUGUCAAUGCCUAGCUAACGGCGUUAAACAAUAAGCGCUUGUUGGGAGGCAACCCAAUGAAUUUAUCUUUUUCUUUCUAUUUUGUUGCGUUCACACCAUCAUAAUUCUGUUAUGAUUGUGCCUUUUGUGUUUCUUUUUGUGUUUGAGCCAAGAAAACCUUUAUGACUAGUCUUGGUAAUGGUUGUUUGAUCCUGCUGGAAAAAGACAGAAACUUUUCACUCACGACAUUAUUUUUCAUUUUUAUUCAUAAAGAGAUUUUGAGUUGAUUCUUUUUGCUGCUGGUUGAUAUGCCUUUUUCUCAGGCAGUCGUAAUGUUUCAGAAUUUUUGAGGAACAGAAGUAUACUAAGUAUACAGAUUGAUACAGACUGGUCUGUUUUUGACAGAUUCUGUUUUUGUUGAGUUGGUUGCUUGUUUUGAUGAAACUAUGGAUAGUAUCGGGGGGGGGGUGGGGGGGUACUAGCCAUGGAAAAGUGAGAAUACAGUAAUCUAACACCAAUAUUAAUAGAAUUCAAGUUUUCUAUAGUACCUAAAGAGGUGGUAGUUUGUUUUCUUGUGCUAAUGAUAUCAUGAGUUUCUGUUUAAGUUUUGUGUUGUGAAGUUUUCAAGUUUUGGGUGAUGUUCUCAUGGACAAAGGGAUAAAGAGUGGAAAGAGCUCAACCUUGGGGAUGCCCAAGGGAUCCCAAUCUAAAUUCAAGGACACCAAAAAUCCUAAGCUUGGGGAUGCCCCUGGAAGGCAUCCCCUCUUUCGUCUUCAAUCCAUCGGUAACUUCACUUGGGGCUAUACUUUUAUUCACCACAUGAUAUGUGUUUUGCUUGGAGCGUCAUUUUAUUUUACUAUUACUUGCUUGCUGUUAUUUAUAUUAAUGUUUUGCAUCAUUUAUUUCAAUAAAAAUGUCAAGGAUAGCCUUUAACACGCUUAAUUUGCAAGUUUAGGAGUUGCUGUUCCAAAACAGAAAGUUUGCUUGCAGUGGAAAAAUUCCCUAGAAUUUUAUGCAUGUCAGAAUAAAUUGAAAUUUGGACACAGUAUGCUAUCAUAAAUUAUCUAAUGUGUGGAAUGUUAUCAGAUUUUUUGGAGUUAAUUAAGUAUGGAUCUUGCUGCAUUCUUCACAGACUGUUCUGUUUAGGCAGAUUGUUGUUAUGUUUGCAUUGUUCGCAUAUGUUUGGUUGUUUAAUGAUUCCAUUUGAGGAUGGGAGUUUUAAAUAUGCAGAGGAAUUUAGUAUGCAAUGUCAAAUAAUGAUUUUAGUGAUUUUCUACAGUAGAGGAUGAUAAAGUUUUCCAUUGAUUUCUACUAACCUAUCUCACGAGUUCUUGAUUGAGUUUUGUGUGGAUGAAGUUUUUAAGAUUUCGGAAACCGUCAUAUGAGAGGAAUUAAGGAGACACAAAAAGCUCAAUCUUGGGGAUGCCCAAUUCAUCCCCAAUCCAUAUUUCAAGAAGUCUCAAGCGUCUAAGCUUGGGGAUGCCCCGGUUGGCAUCCCACCUUUCUUCUACAACAAUUAUCGGUUAGUAUCGGUUGAACCUAAGUUUUUGCUUCUUCACAUGUUUCGUGCUAUACUUGAAGUUGGGGGGGUAUUUUAUUUUGUUUGAAUAAGGUACUUAGGAUCUGAAAUUCUUAGAUGGGAGAGUCUUCACAUAGCCAAAUAAUUAUUCAACUACUCAUUCAGCUUCACUUGUAUCUUGUGGAGUAGUUUGUCUUUUGCUCUAGUGCUUCACGUAUAUCUUUGUAGAGCAUUGAAAUGGUUUUAUUUUAUAGAAAUAGUUGAACUCUCAUGCUUCACUUAUAUUAUUUUGAGAGUCUUAAACAACAUGGUUAUUUUCUUAGGUUAUGAAUCUAGUCCUAAUAUGAUGGGCAUCCAAGAGGGAUAUAAUAAAAACUUUCAUAUAGAGUGCAUCGAAUACUAUGAGAAGUUUGAUUCUUUGCAUAUAGUUUUGAGAUAUAAAGAUGGUGAUAUUAGAGUCAUGCUAGUGAGUAAUUAUGGAUUGGUAGAAAUUCUUGUGUUAGAGUUUGUGAUUCCCGUAGCAUGCACGUAUGGUGAACCGCUAUGCUAGGAAGUCAGAGCAUGAUGUUUUUAUUGAUUGUCAUCCUUUGUGUGGCGGUCAGGAUCGCGCGAUGGUUAACUCCUACCAACCCUUCCCCUAGGAGCAUGCGUCUAGCACUUUGUUUUGCUUACUAAUAAAACUUUCGCAAGAAGUAUGUGAGUUCUCUCUGACUAAUGCUAGUCCAUGGUAUAUACGCACUCUCACCCUUUUCCACCAUUGCUAGCCUCUCUAGUGCCGCGCAAUUUUAGCCGGUGCAUAAACCCACCAUAUACCUUCCUCAAAACAGCCACCAUACCUACCCAUCAUGGCAUUUCCAUAGCCAUUCCGAGAUAUAUUGCCAUGCAAUUUCCACCGUUCCGUUUAUUAUGACAUGCAUCAUCAUUGUCAUAUUGCUUUGCAUGAUCAUGUAGUUGACAUCGUAUUUGUGGCAAAGCUACCAUUCAUGUCUUUCAUACAUGUCACUCAUGAGUCAUUGCACAUCCAGGUACACUGCCGGAGGCAUUCAUAUAGAGCCAUAUCUUUGUUCUAAGUAUCGAGUUGUAAGUAAAUAAAAGUGUGAGGAUCAUCAUUGUUAGAGCAUUGUCCCAUGUGAGGAAAGGGCGGAAGCUAUGAUUCCCUCACAAGUUGGGAUGAGACUCCGGACUUAAAAUAAAAUAGGCCAAAGAGCCCACCAAAAAAUGAAAAAUAAGAAAAAUAAAAAAAGAGAGGCCAAAGAGCCCAAACAAAAAAAUGAGAGAAAAAGAGAGAAGGGACAAUGCUACUAUCCUUUACCACACUUGUGCUUCAAAGUAGCACCAUGAUCUUCAUGACACAGAGUCUCAUAUAUUGUCACUUUCAUAUACUAGUGAGAAUUUCAUUAUAAAACUUGGCUUGUAUAUUCCAAUGAUGGAAUUCCUCGAAAGUGCCCUAGGUCUUCGUGAGCAAGCAAGUUGGGUGCACACCCACAAGUUCCCUUUUAAGCUUUCAUACACUUAUAGCUUUAGUGCAUACGUUGCAUGGCAAUCCCUACUCACUCACAUUGAUAUCUAUUGAUGGGCAUCUCCAUAGCCCGUUGAUACGCCUAGUUGAUGUGACCAUCUCCUCCUUUUUGCCUCACAACCUCCACCAUAUUCUAUUCCACCUAUAGUGCUAUGUACAUGGCUCACGCUCAUGUAUUGCGUGAGAGUUGAAAAGGUUUGAGAAAGUAAAAGUGUGAAAACAAUUGCUUGACUAAGACCGAGGUUGUUCAUGGCCAGACUAUAUGAUAUUGUAGGGAUAACUUUCUUUGGCCAUGUUAUUUCGAGAAGACAUGAUUGCUUUGUUAGUAUGCUUGAAGUAUUAUUGUUCUUAUGUCAAUAUUAAACUUUUUUUUGAAUCAUAUAGAUCUGAAUAUUCAUGCCACAAUAUAUGUUAGGUAGCAUUCCACAUCAAAAAUUCUGUUUUUAUCAUUUACCUGCUCGAGGACGAGCAGGAAUUAAGCUUGGGGAUGCUUGAUACGUCUCCAACGUAUCUAUAAUUUUUUAUCGUUCCAUGCUAUUAUAUUAUCAACUUUGGAUGUUUUAUAGGCAUGAAUAUGCUAUUCUAUAUUAUUUUUGGGAACAACCUAUUGACCUAGAGCCCAGUGCCAGUUCCUGUUUUUUUCCUUGUUUUUGACCUUUUUCAGAUAGGAAUAUCAAACGGAGUCCAAACGGAAUAAAACUUUCGCUGUGAUAUUUUAUGGGAAAUAUCAAAAAUACCAGAAGAAAAAGAUACCGGAGAGGAGUCCCGAGGAAGCCAAGAGCCAGGGAGGCGCGCCCACCCCCUGGGCGCGCCUGGGGGCUCGUGACUCCCUCGUGGGUCCCCCUGACUUGUUCUCGAUGCCAUAUGGUCUUAUAAAUACAUAAACCUCCAGAAAUAAACCUAGAUCGGGAGUUCUGCCACCGCAAGCCUCUGUAGCCACCAAAAACCAAUCGGGAGCCCGUUCCUGCACCCUGCCGCAGGGGAAUCCAUCUUCGGUGGCCAUCUUCAUCAUCCCGGCGACCUCCAUGGCGAGGAGGGAGUAGUUCUCCCUCGGGGCUGAGGGUAUGUACCAUUAGUUAUGUGUUUGAUCUCUCUCUCUCUCUCGUGUUCUUGAGAUGCAUGAUCUCGAUGUACCGCGGGCUUUGCUACUAUAGUUGGAUCCUAUGAUGUUAUUCCCCCUCUCCCUUCUUGUGAUGUAUAGAGUUUCCCCUUCGAAGUUGUCUUAUAGGAUUGAGUCUUUAAGAACACUUGAUGUAUGUCUUGCACGUGUCUAUCUGUGGUGACAAUGGGAUAUUCAUGUGAGUACUUGAUGUAUGUUUUGGUGAUCAACUUGCGGGUUUCGUGACAUCGAGAACCUACGCAUAUGGGUUGGCACACGUUUUGACUCUCCGGUAGAAACUUUGGGGCACUCUUUGAAGUUCUAUGUGUUGGUUGAAUAGAUGAUUCUGAGAUUGUGUGAUGCAUAUCAUAUAAUCAUGCCCAUGGAUACUUGAGGUGACAAUGGAGUAUCUAGGUGACAUUAGGGUCUUGGUUGAUGUGUGUCUUAAGGUGUUAUUCUAGUACGAACUCUAGGAUAGAUUGAUCAGAAAGAAUAACUUUGUGGUGGUCUCGUACCCGACAAUAAUCUCUUCGUUUGUUCUCCGUUAUUAGUGACUUUGGAGUGACUCUUUGUUGCAUGUUUAGGGAUAGUUAUAUGAUCCAAUUAUGUUAUCAUUGUUGAGAGAACUUCACUAGUGAAAGUAUGAACCCUAGGACUUGUUUCCACGCAUUGCAAUACCAUUCGUGCUCACUUUUAAUAUUAAUUACCUUGCUGUUUUUAUAAUUUCAGAUUACAAAAACCUAUAUCUACUAUCCCUAUUGCACUUGUAUCACCAUAUCCUCGUCGAAGUAGUGCACCUAUACAACUUACCAUUGUAUAGGGUGUAUUGGGGACACAAGAGACUCUUUGUUAUUUGGUUGCAGGGUUGCUUGAGAGAGACCAUCUUCAUCCUACGCCUCCCACGGAUUGAUAAACCUUAGGUCACCCACUUGAGGGAAAAUUGCUACUGUCCUACAAACCUCAGCACUUGGAGGCCCAACAACGUCUACAAGGAGAAGGUUGCGUAGUAGACAUCACGAUCCUUAAUUGACUCUCUCGGCUUAUUAAUCACCUAGAUCUAUGUCCACGAGUUGCAACUAGUUUCUGUUGUAGGAAAAGUGUUGGCGGUCGUGCUUAGCUCUGCCCGAUGGGGUAGGCUUCAGUGCAGUAGAUACAUAGUGGCCCGGUGUACCAAGCGUAGUACCAUCCGUCGAGGUGGGCUUGGGAACCAUGUACACAUCGUUUGGGGCUGUAGAGGAAAUUUUGGCCGGACUUCCUUGCGGAUUCAGUCUCAAAUAGGCGAUAAACCUCGACUAGGGUCUUGUGUGGUUAACGGUCGUGGCCGACACCCACGCCAGUGAUUCCGCUUGAAGGUUGUCGAGAUGCAUGACAUGCAUAUGGUGAUCAGUGGUGAGAGCGUGUGUGAAUAAGUAUACCCCUGCAGGGUGAAUUAAUCUGUUCGAAUAGCCAUAUCCUCGGAUAUGGAGUACUUGGAAACAUUACAUGGUACAUAGACAACUUGGAAUAGAUACUCUAAAAUACGCAAGAUAAGUGUGAGUGCUAUGGAUGGCCUUCUCGUAGGGAGACGAGAGUGGAUCCAUAGUGGUGUAUUGAAUUGGUGAAUAUGUGGACUCGCAUGCGCUAUUCCACCUCAAAGAAAGAACUUGAAGUCGUAGUAUAGGUCAGCCAAGAGUCAAAGCUGGCUUGUUGCAAUUAAACUCCACAACCCCUUUACUGAUAUUGAUGCAUAUGUAGAUAGUUCUGACGUAAGUCUAGGUGAGUACCUUUGUACUCACGGUUGCUUAUAUAUGUUUUUGAGAGGAGACCUUAGUCUCAUUAAAGGUUUCUACGCGAUGUGUUCGAUGUUGACCGGAAUAGCUUGGGAAUCCCAGACAGACGUCUGGCUCCUUUGGUAGGGUCGUUGUAGCUUUUCAGGCUCCUCUAGCCAUUUUGGUAGAUGUCUGUACCCGCACAUGUUUUUCUUCCGCUUGAUGCUUGUAUGACUUGAGUGCUGGGUCAUGUGACCCCUGUUUGUAAUAUCAUACUAUCUUGACUCUUAUGAGUCUUUAAUAAAUGCUUGAGUCAUAGAUUUAUGUUGUGAUGCCAUGUUGUAUCUACACAUAUCGUGCAUAUUGUGUGUAUGUUUUGAAAAGUGUUGUAUGUGUGGGAUUCGACACCUAGUUGUGUGCCUUUAGUAGUACUCUUUACGGGGAAAUGCCUCUUUGUGCUUCCACCGAGCCUUGGUAGCUUGCUACUGCUCCAGACACAUUUAUUGACCGGCAUGUAUCCUUCUUUGCUGUUGUGUCUGUUCCUUCGGGGAAAUGUCACGCGGUGUAAUGGAGUCCCCAUAGCUUACUACGACUCGUUUACACACGUUGUUGACUGACACCUGCUUUGCUGGGUUAUGUAUGUCUGUCCUUGUACGUAUGUGCCACUUGGGUUUAUAACUAGUCAUGUCGAUCCGGGUUCUCUGUCAUUUGAAUGCCCGCGACAUAUACACAUACGUGAGCCAAAAGAAGCAAACGGUCCCGCCCCAGGUAAGGUGGCAGCCGUGGAGUUAACCGUGCAUGAGGACGCAAAGUGAUGUGUUAUGUUACAUGCUGGGUUCUUAUGACUUAGGAUCGGGGUCCCGACAUACACCCUUGUAUGCGAAAGUUAGAGUCUAUCACACCCGAUCAACACGUGGUGCUUCGAAACAACGAACCUUCGCAAUGGUGCACACUUAGGGGAAUACAUAUCUUGAAAUUUUAAUGAGGGAUCAUCUUAUCUUUGCUACCGUUGUUCUAAGCAAUAAGAUGUAAAACAUGAUAAACAUCACAUGCAAUCAUAUAGUGACAUGAUAUGGCAAAUAUCAUCUUGCUCCUUUGAUCACCAUGUUCGGGGCACCAUGAUCAUCAUCAUCGCAUGCAUGACACCAUGAUCUCCAUCAUUCUGUCGUCGCGAAGUCGUCUCUCCAACUAUUACUUCUACUACUAUAGAAAAUUGUUAGCGAUAAAGUAAAGUAAUCAUCAUGGCGUUGCAUCUCAUACAAUAAAUUAAGACAAUUCAUAUGGCUCCUGCCGGUUGUCAUACUCAUCGACAUGCAAGUCGUGAAUACUAUUACAAGAACAUGAUCAAUUUCAUACAUCACAUAUGUAACAUCACAUCCUUUUGGCCAUAUCACAUCCCAUAGCAUACCCUGCAAAAACAAGUUAGACGUCCUCUAAUUGUUGUUGCAAGUUUUACGUGGCUGGUUAGGGUUUCUAGCAAGAACGUUUCUUACCUACAUGACAACCACAACGUGGAUAUGCCAAUGCUAUUUACCCUUCAUGAGGACCCUCUUCAUCGAAUCUGAUCCAACUAAAGUGGGAGAUUGCUACUGCAACAAAAGACCUUCCAACGGCGCCAGAAAUAGGUGUGUCGAUGGCACCAGGAAUCCUUCUGCUACGGCUACGCCUUAAUGCACUUCCUAGGCAAAUAUCCAAAGAAUUUCCCCCGUGGCCUUGGAGCCUUGUGUUGGUGUUCCCUCGAAGCGGAAAGGGUGAUGUAGCGCAGCGAUGGUAAGUAUUUCCCUCACUUUGAGAACCAAGGUAUCGAUCCAGUGAAGGAGUACCACAAGAGCAUGCACAAACACAAAGAACCUGCUCCCAACGCUGUGAAGGGGUUGUCAAUCCCUUAUAGAUUGUUCGCCAAGUGAGAACUGAAAGCAACAAAGUAACAAAGCAAAGUAAAAGCGGAGGUGUAAACGAUAGAUGUGAAUAGACCCGGGGGCCAUAGUGUUUACUAGUGGCUUCUCUCAUGAAAGCAAGUAGUUGGUGGGUGAACAAAUUACUGUCGAGCAAUUGAUAGAACCGCGCAAAGUCGUGACGAUAUCUAUGGCAAUGAUUAUAUCUAUAGGCAUCACGUCCAAAACAAGUAGACCGAUACUUUCUGCAUCUAGUACUAUUACUCCACACGUCGACCGCUAUCCAACAUGCAUCUAGUGUAUUAAGUCCAAAAGAACAGAGUAACGCCUUAAGCAAGAUGACAUGAUGUAGAUGGACAAUCUCAUAUCAACGACAGAGCCCAUCUUGUUACCCUUGAUGGCAACUACUCAAUGUGUGCCUUGCUGCCCCUACUGUCACUGGGAAAGGUCACCACAUGGUAAGAACCCAAAACCAAGCACUUCUACCAUUGCAAGAAUCAUAGAUCUAGUUGGCCAAACAAAACCCAAGACUCGGAGAGAUUUACAAGGAUAUCAAAUCAUGCAUAUAAGAAAUCACAAAGAAUCAAAUAUAUAUCAUAGAUAAUCUGAUCACAGAUCCCCAAUUCAUCGGAUCUCGACAAACACACCGCCAAAGAAGAUUACAUCGGAUAGAUCUCCAUGAAGAUCGUGGAGAACUUUGUAUUGAAGAUGCAAGAGAGAGAAGAAGCCAUCUAGCUACUAACUACGGACCCGUAGGUCUGAAGUGAACUACUCAUGAGUCAUUGGAGGGGCGAUGAUGAUGAUGAAGAAGCCCUCCAACUCCAAAGUCCCCUCCGGCAGGGCGCCGGGAAGGGUCUCCAAAUGAGAUCUCGCGGAAACAGAAGCUUAUGGCGGCGGAAAAGUAUUUUCGUGCAUUCCCUGGUUUUUUGUUGUAUUUUAGGGAAUAUAUAGGCCAAAGAUCUAGGUCAGGGGGGCGCCAGGGAGGCCACAAGCCUGCCCACCGCCGCCUCCCCCUGGUGGCGGAGUGGGGGCUUGUGGGCUCCCUGUAGCCCUCCUGGCUUGGCCCACAGGCCCCCUGAUCUUCUUCCCUUCGGGAAAAAGUCAUUUCGGGGAUUUUAUUCCGUUUGGACUCCGUUCCAAAAUCAGAUCUGAAAAGAGCCAAAAACAUAGAAAAAACAGGAACUGGCACUUGGCACUGAAUUAAUAGGUUAGUAUCAAAAAGGAUAUAAAAGGUACAUAAAACAUCCAAAGAUGACAAGAUAACAGCAUGAAACCAUAAAAAGUUAUAGAUACGUUUGAGACGUAUCAAGCAUCCCCAAGCUUAACUCCUGCUCGUCCUCGAGUAGGGAAGUUAUAAAGAAUGAAUUUUUGAUGCUUUCAUGCUACCUAGCAUAGAUGUCCUUUGUAAUUCCUCUUAUGUGACAUGAAUGUUCAGAUCCAUUAGAUUCAAAACAAUAGUUUGCUAUUGACGUGAAAACAAUAAUAAUUCAAGCAAACUAGCAAGGUAAUCAUGAACUUUCAAAAUAACAAGGCCAAAAGAAAGUUAUCCCUACAAAAGCAUAUAGUCUGGCUAUGCUCUAUCAUCAUUGCACAAUGAAUUUAAAUCAUGCACAACCCCGGUAUUGGCCAAAUAAUUAUUUCACACCUUUACUUUCUCAAACCUUUUCUACUCUCACGCAAUACAUGAGCGUGAGCCAUGGUUAUAGCACUAUAGAUGGUGUGGAGUGUGGUGGAGGUUGCAAGACAAAAAAGGAGAAGAUAGUCACAGUAACUAGGCAUAUCAAUGAGCUGUGGAGAUUCUCAUCAAUAGAUAUCAAUGUGAAUGAGUAGGGAUUGCCAUACAAAUGAUGCACUAGAGCUACGAGUAUGUGAAAGCUCUUAAAGAAAACUAGUGGGUGUGCAUCCAACUUGCUUGCUCACGAAUACCUAAGGCAAUUUUGACGAAGCCUAUCAUUGGAACAUACAAGCCAAGUUAUAUAAUGAAAAUUUCCCACUAGCUAUAUGGUGGUGACAAAACGAGAGACUCUCAAUCAUGAAGAUCAUGGUGCUUAAUAUGCACAAGUGUGGAAAAUGUGGUAGCAUUGUCCCUUCUCUCUUUUUCUCUCAUUUUUUUGGUGGGCUCUUUGGCCUCUUUUUUUAUUCUAUUUUGUUUUGGUCGGCUUCUUUGGCCUCUUUUAUUUCCUCACAUGGGACAAUGCUCCAUUAAUGAUGAUCAUCACACUUUCAACUCAAAACUUAGAGCAACAAUGACUCUAUAUGGAAUGCCUUCGGCAGUGUACCGUGGCAAUGAUCUAGCAUGGCAUAGACAUUAAUGGAAACAUCAUGCUAGCUAUCUUACGAUCAUGCAAUGGAAAUGUAGACGUGGUGGCACAUGUCAUGGUGGUAGUUGCAUGGCAAUAUAUCUCGGAAUGACUUUGAAAAGGCCAUAGUAGGUAGGUAUGGUGGCUGUUUUGAGGGAGGCUAAUGGUGGGUUUUGUGCACCGACGAAAGUUGCACGGCACUAAGAAGAUAGUGAUGGUGGAAGGUGAAAGUGCAUCUAAACCAUGGACUCAACAUUAGUCAUGAAGAACUCAUAUACUUGUUGAAACUUUUUUUAUUAGUAAUCGAAACAAAGCAUUCAACGCAUACUCCUAGGGGAAGGGUUGGUAGGUAUAAACCAUCGCGUGAUCCCGACCGCCACACAAAGGAUAACAAUCAAUAGACUAAUCAUGCUCAGAUUUCAUCACAUAGCGGUUCACCAUACGUGCAUGCUACGGGAAUCACUAACUUCAACACAAGUAUUUCUAGAUCCACAACACCUUACUAGCAUGACUUCAAUAUUACCAAAACCACAACUCAAAACUAAUUGAGGUGAAUCAAACUUCUCUAACUAUUCAAUGCACAUGAAGCUGGAAGUUUUCGUAUCCCUUUGGAUAACUACCCCUUUUGAGACUACUUUCAAAGCAUAGAUCAACUACCAAGCCACGCACCGCUGCGCUCUAAAAUAUAUAAGUGAAGCACAUAGAGCAAAAGUAUCUAGCUCAAAAGAUAUAAGUGAAGCACAUGUGAGCUGAAUUGUCUACCAAAAGAUAUAAGUGAAGCUCGACAAAGUCACGGUGAGUGCAUGUCUAUCUCUCUAGGUGUGAAGCAAGGAUGAUUGUGACACAACAAAAACAAAAGACUCCUACGAUACAAGACGCUCCAAGCAAAAACACAUAACAUGUGGUGAAUAAAAAUAUAGCCCCAAGUAACGUUACCGAUGGAUUGAAGAUGAGAGAGGGGAUGCCUUCCCGGGGCAUCCCCAAGCUUAGGCUUUUACAACAUCCUUGAAUCUCUUGGGGUGCCUUGGGCAUCCCAAGCUUGAUCUCUUGCCACUCUUUAUCUCUUUUUUCCAUAAGAACUUCACCCAAAACUUGAAAACUUCACAACACGAAACCUAAACAGAAACUCGUGAUAACAUUAGUAUGAGAAAGCAAACCACCACUUCCUUAGGUACUGUAGCAAACUUAAAUUCUACUUGUGCUGAUGUUGGGUUACUGUAUUUUUCAAUCUUCCAUGGCUAAUACCCCGCGAUACUAUCCAUAGUUUCAUUAAAAUAAGCAACCAACACAACAAAAACAGAAUAUGUUAACAGCAGACUAGUCUGUAGCAAUCUGUAUAUUUUGUAUACUUCUGGUACUUCAAAAAUUCUGAAAAGUUACGAAAGUCUGAAGAAUUUGCGUAGAAAUCAGCAGCAAAAAGAAUCAACUCAAAAGCUUUUACAGAAAAAAAAUUCUUUUCGUGAGCAGAAAGUUUCUGUCUUUUCCAGCAUGACCAAACGAUCAUCCCCAAGACUAAUCGUAACGGUUUUGCUUGGCACAAACGCAAAAAGAAACACAAAAAACACAAUCGUAACAGAAUUAUGAAAGUGUGGAAAACACAAAACAGAAAGAAAAAGGAUAGAUUCGCUGGGUUGCCUCCCAACAAGCGCUUUUGUUUAACGCCCUUAGCUAGGCAAAAAGUGAUGGAACCACGUAUAGUCAUCUUUGGUGCUCCAACCAUAAGUAGCCCUCAUCAUAGAUUCAUAAGGCAAUCUUAUUUUCUUUCUAGGAAAGUGCUCCAUGCCCUUCUUCAAAGGAAAUUGAAAUCUAAUAUUCCCUUCCUUCAUAUCGAUGAUAGCACCAAUAGUCCUUAGGAAAGGUCUACCAAGAAUAAUGGGACAUGAAGGAUUGCAAUCUAUGUCAAGUACAAUGAAAUCCACGGGUACAUAGUUCUUAUUUGCAACAAUAAGAACAUCAUCAAUCCUUCCCAUGGGUUUCUUGACAGUAGAAUCCGCAAGAUGCAAAUUAAGAGAACACUCUUCAAUCUCAUGAAAACCAAGAAUAUCACAUAAAGACUUUGGAAUCGCGGAAACACUAGCACCCAAAUCACACAAAGCAUUGCACUCAUAGUUUUUUUAUCUUGAUUUUGAUAGUAGGUUCCCACUCAUCAUGAAGUUUUCUAGGUAUAGAGACUUCUAGUUCGAGCUUCUCUUCAAGAGAUUUCAUCAUAGCAUCUACGAUAUGCGCGGUAAAGGCUUUGCUUUGGCUAUAAGCAUGUGGAGAGUUUGCAAUGGAUUGCAUCAAAGAAAUGCAUUCAAACAAGGAGCAAUUAUCAUAAUUGAAUUCCUUGAAUCCCAAAGUGGGAGUUUCAUUACUACCCAAAAUUUUGACUUCUUCUACUCCACUCUCCACACCUUUAUCAUCAAGAUAGGUGGACUCCGAAUCAUUGGGGCGUUUUUCAACCAAAGUGGAUUCAUAUCCAGCCCCUCCAUAAAUAGGUUUGACACACGAAAAAAAGAUUCAAGAGGAGACACACCAAGCACUUUAAGAUCCUCGUGAUUUGCAUCACUAGAACGCACCCUUUUAAACCAUUCAUGUCUAGCGCGAAUUUGGGCGGUUCUUUCUUUGCUCUCAUUCAUGGAGAUACGCAUAGCUUUCAAAGUUUCAUCCAAGUUGACCUUGGGAGGAGCGCAUCUAACUUUCAAAGCAUCAAUAUUACAAGACAUCCUAUCAACGCUCUUAGCCAAAUCAUCUAUUUUGAGUAGUUUUUCCUCUAUGGACGCAUUGAAAAUCUUUUGAGAGUUGAUGAACUCUUUGAUAUUACUCUCUAAAUCAGAGGGUAAUUUGUUGUGAUUUCCAUAAGUGUUGUUGUAGGAAUUGCCAUAAUUGUUAGAGGAGUUACUAGGAAAAGGCCUAGGAACAUAGUUUCCUCUAAAAGCAUUGUUGUUGCCAAAAUUGUUCCUACCAACAAAAUUCACGUCCAAACUAGCGUUGCUACUCUCAAUCAAAGAAGAUAGUGGCAUGUCAUUAGGAUCUACGGUAAUGUUUCUACUAGCAACCAAAUUCAUCAACUCGUCCAUCUUAGCACUAGCGAGUUAAUUUCUUCUAUAACGUGCACCUUUUUGCUAGCAGGCGACCUUUUAGUGUGCCACUGAGAGUAGUUGGUCAUGAUAUUGUCUAGGAGUUUUGUAGCGUCUCCUAACGUGAUUUCCAUGAACGUUCCACCUGAGGCGGAGUCCAAGAUAUUGCGAGAAGCGAAAUUCAAGCCAGCGUAAAAGAUUUGUAUAAUCAUCCACAAACUCAAGCCAUGAGCGGGACAAUUUCUAAUCAUAAGCUUCAUCCUCUCCCAAGAUUAUGCAACGUGUUCAUGAUCAAGUUGCCUGAAAUUCAUGAUAUCGUUACGUAAGGAGAUGAUCUUAGCCGGCGGAAAAUACUUGGAUAUGUAAGCAUCUUUGCACUUAUCCCAAGAAUCGAUACUAUUUUUAGGCAAGAAGAAAACCAAGUUUUUGUGCAAUCUCGCAACGAGAAAGGAAAAAGUUUCAACUUAAUCACGUCAUUAUCCACAUCUCUUUUCUUUUGUAUAUCACAAAGCUCAAUGAAGGUAUUGAGAUGGGAUGCGGCAACUUCACUAGGAAGGCCAGAGAAUUGCUCUUUCAUAACAAGAUUCAACAGAGCUGCGUUGAUUUCAUACGAUUCCGCACUAGUGGCGGGAGCAAUCGGAGUACUAAUAAAAUCAUUAUUAUUAGUGCUCGAGAAGUCGCAAAGUUUGGUGUUUUCAGCCAUGAUGACUUCAACAAACAAACAAGCACACAAGCAAGCAAGAAAACCGGCAAAGGAAAACGGCAAAAGCAAGAGAAAACGGCAAAGGAGAAAGGCAAAUGAAAACGGCAAAUGUGAAGUGGGGGAGAGGAAAAUGAGAGGCAACUGGCAAAAAAAGUAAAUGCAAGAGAUGAGUUUGUGAGACCUACUUGGAUAGAUCUUGAUCUCUCCUUCCCCUGCAACGGCGCCAGAAAUACUUCUGCUACUGCAACAAAAUACCUUCCAACGGCGCCAGAAAUAGGUGUGUCGAUGGCACGAGGAAUCCUUCUCCUAUGGCUACGCCUUAAGGGACUUCCUAGGAAAAUAUGCAAAGGAUUUCCCACGUGGCCUUGGAGCCUUGCGUUGGUGUUCCCUCGAAGCGGAAAGGGUGAUGUAGCGCAGCGAUGGUAAGUAUUUCCCUCAGUUUGAGAACCAAGGUAUCGAUCCAGUGAAGGAGUAUCACAAGAGCUUGCACAAACACAAAGAACCUGCUCCCAACGCUAUGAAGGGGUUGUCAAUCCCUUAUAGAUUGUUCGCCAAGUGAGAACUGAAAGCAACAAAGUAACAAAGCAAAGUAAAAGCGGAGGUGUAAACGAUAGAUGUGAAUAGACCCGGGGGCCGUAGUGUUUACUAGUGGCUUCACUCAUGAAAGCAAGUAGACGGUGGGUGAAAAAAUUACUGUCGAGCAAUUGAUAGAACCGCGCAAAGUCGUGACGAUAUCUAUGGCAAUGAUUAUAUCUAUAGGCAUCACGUCCAAAACAAGUAGACCGAUACUUUCUGCAUAUACUACUAUUACUCCACACGUCGACCGCUAUCCAGCAUGCAUAUAGUGUAUUAAGUCCAAAAGAACACAGUAACGCCUUAAGCAAGAUGACAUGAUGUAGAUGGACAAUCUCAUAUCAACGACAGAGCCCAUCUUGUUACCCUUGAUGGCAACUACUCAAUGUGUGCCUUGCUGCCCCUACUGUCACUGGGAAAGGUCACCACAUGGUAAGAACCCAAAACCAAGCACUUCUCCAAUUGCAAGAAUCAUAGAUCUAGUUGGCCAAAAAAAUCCAAGACUCGGAGAGACUUACAAGGAUAUCAAAUCAUGCAUAUAAGAAAUCAGCAAAGACUCAAAUAUAUAUCAUAGAUAAUCUGAUCACAAAUCCACAAUUCAUCGGAUCUCGACAAACAAACCGCCAAAGAAGAUUAUAUCAGAUAGAUCUCCAUGAAGAUCAUGGAGAACUUUGUAUUGAAGAUCCAAGAGAGAGAAGAAACCAUCUAGCUACUAACUACGGACCCGUAGGUCUGAAGUGAACUACUCACGAGUCAUUGGAGGGGCGAUGAUGAUGAUGAAGAAGCCCUCCAACUCCAAAGUCCCCUCUGUCAGAGCGCCGGGAAGGGUCUCCAGAUGAGAUCUUGCGGAAAUGGAAGCUUAUGGCGGCGGAAAAGUAUUUUCGUGGAUCCCCUGAUUUUUUGCUAUAUUUUAGGGAAUAUAUAGGCCAAAGAUCUAGGUCAGGGGGGCGCCAGGGAGGCCACAAGCCUGCCCACCACCGCCUCCCCCUGGUGGCGGAGUGGGGGCUUGUGGGCUCCCUGUAGCCCUCCUGGCUUGGCCUACAGGCCCCCUGGUCUUCUUCCGUUCAGGAAAAAAAUCAUUUCGGGGAUUUUAUUCCGUUUGGACUACGUUCCAAAAUCAGAUCUGAAAAGAGCCAAAAACACAGAAAAAACAGGAACUGGCACUUGGCACGGAAUUAAUAAGUUGGCCUCAAAAAAGAUAUAAAAGGUACAUAAAACAUCCAAAGAUGACAAGAUAACAACAUGAAACCAUCAAAAAUUAUAGACACGUUUGAGACGUAUGAGAGAUACAGACACCCGCUAGCCACAUUAUGCAACAAGUGCAUGUCAGUCGGUGGAACCAGUCUCACAUAAGAGUAUGUGCAAAGUCGGUUCAGGCCGUUUCAUCCCACAAUGCCGCCGAAUGAAGAUAAGACUAGUAACGGCAAGAAAAUUGACAAAUCAGCGCCCACAUCUUUUGAGUUCUACUCGUGCAUAGAAUCUACGCAUAGAACCUUGGCUCGGAUGCCACUGUUGGGGAUCGUAGUAAUUUCAAAACUUUCCCUACGCCAUGCAAGGAUCUAUCUAUGGAGAAACCAGCAACGAUCAAAGGGGUAGAGCAUCUUAAUACCUUUGAAGAUCGCUAAGCGGAAGCAUUGCUAGAACGCAGUUGAUGGAGUCGUACUCGCAACGAUUCAGAUCAGGGUGGAUUGCGAUCUAUGCACCGAACAACGGUGCCUCCGCGUUCAACACACGUGCAGCCCGGUGACGUCUCCAACUCCUUGAUCCAGCAAGGAGGGAGGAGAGGUUGAGGGAGAGCUUCGGCAACAUGACGGCGUGGUGACGUUGGAGCUUCGUGGUAACUCUGGCAGGGCUUCGCCAAGCACUACGGAGGAGGAGGAGGAGUAUGUCUGCACCGUGGAGAGAUAAAUUGUGUGUCUCCAAAAGUCCAAAACCCUCCACUAUAUAUAGGAGGAGAGGGAGGAGGUGCCCACCCUAAAGGGUGCGGCAGCCCCAUCUAGGGAAAAUGGUCGGCGGCCAGGGAUGGAGGCGCUCUAGGGUGGGCCUUUGGGCCCAAGGGUGCCCUCCCACGCCUAUGGUUUUGCCCCUCCCCACCCUUGUGCGCCUUGGGAUGAGAGAGGGAGGCGCACCAGCCCACUUUGGGCUGUUUCCCUUCCAGCUUUUGGACCAUGUACCCCUUUGGGGCUGGUGGCCCUUCCCGGUGGACCCCCGGAGCCCUUCCGGUGGUCCCGGUACAUUACGGGUGACGCCCGAAACACUUUCGGUGUCCAAAUCCUCACUUCCUAUAUAUGAAUCUUUACCUCCCGACCAUUCCAAAACGCCUCGUGACAUCCGGGGUCUCAUUGGGGACUCCGAACAACCUUCGGUAACCACGUACACUAUUUCCCUAUAACCCUAGCAUCAUCGAACCUUAAGUGUGUAGACCCUACGGGUUCGGGAGACAUGCAGACAUGACCGAGACACCUCUCCAGCCAAUAACCAACAGCGGGGUAUGGAUAUCCAUAUUGGUUCCCAUAUGUUCCACGAUGAUCUCAUCGGAUGAACCACGAUGUCAAGGAUUCAAUCAAUCCCGUAUGCAAUUCCCUUUGUCUACCUGUAUGAUACUUGCCCGAGAUUCGAUCGUCUGUAUCCCCAUACCUUGUUCAAUCUCAUUACCAGCAAGUCUCUUUACUCGUUCUGUAAAACAUCAUCCCAUGUCUAACUCCUUAGUCACACUGAGCUCAAUAUGAUGAUGAAUUACCGAGUGGGCCCAGAGAUACCUCUCUGUCGUGGGUAUAAGUCUGACAGUAGAAGUAUGGGGUACGAAAGUAUAUGGGCAGAGCCUUAGCUACGGCGAGGAUGUAUGAGUUCAGGCCCCUCUACGGUGGAGGUAAAAGCCCUACGUCUCAGUGCUCUUGGGAGCUUUGUGUCGAGUGAAUUGUAGGAUUACAGCAAGUGCCAACCCCCGUACCAGUGGUGAAGGGCGGCUUAUAUAGAGUGCGCUACCCUUCAUAAUGGCCCGGAGGACAGGGGUCGAAUAGUGGCAAGUAAAUGCUUACGUUACAGGUAACAUAAUCUUUAAAUGCUAAUAAUGGUGUAUGAAAACGUAUGACCGUUGCCCUCCUGGGAGGUUACGAUGUACAGAGUGGAUUCCAGUCGGUACGUUAGAUAUGCUCCGAGUGGAUCGUCGCCGACUGGAUGAUGGGGGCGUCCUUAGUUCAGUCGGAACUCUCUAAGGGCCUUGUCUUCUAUGAAGGGUAGUCCUUGGGUAGGACCUAUAGGGCAGACCUAUGACCCUACCCUGGGACUAUAACCCCGUCAUUAGUCCCCGAAUGGAUCGGGGUUGGAACGAUGAAGUGAUGUCUGGAGUUUGGAACCGACUGGUAUUGAGGUGACUUUAGCGUUGUUUGCCUCGAUCCAUUUUAUCCUUUCAGCCAGUGAUCUGAGUGAAUAUGCCAAUGAAACGAACCGUCAGAGACCGUGUGCUUCUGUGGAAUUUAUCGACAUGACCGCUCAAACUGAGAGCGCCGGAUUUUCCGGGAUCCUCAAAUUUCGGUUGCCGCGCGCUCAGCGGGGAUGACGACAUCGCCAUCGAGUAGGUUUUGCCUCCUCGAUUACCGUGUCGUUAUCUUCUCCACUAAUCUUGCAACGGCCGGUUGGGGGGAUAAGAUCCUGGGCCCACAUGUAAGUGACCCAGUCGGAAGCCUAUUAAAGCCUCCCCGGCGGGAUUUCCUGUUGCGCUGCUCAUCCUCCUCCCAUUAAUCUCGCUCCUCCCGGAGCUCUAUGCACACCUCAAGCCACCUCCUUCUCCUCCUCCUCAGCGGAUCCGUCGCCCUCACCAUGACGAAGGGGCAAACCAGCAAGCUCGAGGCGCAAAAGAAGAAGAAGAAGGGGGGCCUCCACUCAGCGGCGGCAGCGGGCGCUGCCGGCGGGCUGGAUCCAGGGGGACUUCCUCCCCUCCUCGGUGACGGAGAACGACGUCCUGGAGCUGGUGCAGCACGGCAUGGUCGUCAACAAGUCCUGGAGGCUGCCGGAAGGCGAGUCAGAGCCCGCGCCGAAGGAGGGGGAGCGCGUUCUGCUGCUCAGCCACGUGGCCAGAGGCUUCUCCUUGCCUCCCCAUCCUUUCUUCCGAGGUAUCAUGAAUUACUUCGGGGCGCAGCUCCAUCACUUUCCUCCGAACGCGAUAGCUCACCUUUCUGCAUUCGUCACCCUCUGCGAGUGCUUCAUAGGAUGUCCUCCCCACUGGGGGCUCUUUAAAUAUGUCUUCUCCGCUAGAUCCCAAACUGUUAAAAAGCUUAGCCAGUCGGAUGAUAAGAUGCACAUCCUCCAGCUCUGCGGGGGUUUAGGCUUUCAGAAGAAAACAAAGAGUAGCUAUCCCUCCCUCCAGCUAUCCGAGUCAGUUAGGAACUGGCAAUCGUCCUGGUUCUAUUGCCAGGACAUUGCUUGCCCGAAUGCUUCGAGUGGGUUGCCACCUUUCAGUUUAGACCGUCCGGGCCCUCCCAGGAAGCUAGUGCUCUCUAAGGGAGAAAGAACCCAGAUCCAACCUUUGGUCGACGCGCUGAUAGCCGUCGUCCGGAGGGGAGUCACCGACAUGGACCUGCUGGAGACUUUUCUGGGUCGGCGCAUCCAGCCGCUGCAGGCCCGAGACCACGCUAUGUGGCAUUACACGGGGCCUUUGGAUACCACAAAGUCUCAUCCAGAGGACAUGAGCGGGGAGACUGUGAGUGCGUGGGUCCGCAGCAUCAGAGGCACGUGUGAUAACCCCGUGGGAGCUCGGCGGGUGAAGCCCUUCUGCGCUGAAAAUCCUCCUCCAAAUGAGGUGAGUACAUGUUGUCGAGUGCUUUUAACCUUCUCAGAUUUAUUGCUUUUCUUGUCUCGCUGCCUGACGUUGCCGACUGUGUUUUGUGCAGGAGUGGACAAACUGGCAUUCUGUAGUCUCGAACGGGAAUCCAGUCGAGGAAGAGGAGGGCGACAUGGAGGGCAGCGCGGAUAGCGCCGAGUACGUCUCUGACAGUGGGGAGACGGAGGAGGAGACGGAAGAGGAGGCGGAGGAGAGUGGAGAGUAGGGCUUGUCACCCUCACCACCACAGCACCGAACCAAGUGCCGUCAUGACCCCGCCGCUCCGCCGGCUCCUCCCGUGGCCCCGAGUGCUCCACCAGCUCCUCCCGUGGCUCCGAGUGCUCGGAGUGUGAAGAGAACCAGGGGUGCUUCCGCCGAGCCCGUGAACCAGCCGUCCAAGGUGGCUAAACCUAGUGGGCCUAAACCUCGGAAAGCCUUGCCCGGGAUGAGGAUCGCUGUUCCAGUCACCUCAGCGUAAGUAUCUUUACUCUUUCAUCUUCCUUCAGUAUCCGAUUGAACUCCUCUUUCUGGGAACUCAUGUUUAUCCGUCGAGUGGAUUUCACUCAACAGAGCUGCUACCUCCGCCACCUCUCUGCCGCGCCAGGACGAUGAUCCCAUGGACACGGAUAACGCCGCCACGUCCCAGCAAGGUACGUUGUCACGACUCCGAGAGUUGUAUUACUGUUUCGCGAGUGCUGUCUUUGAUCUUGACCUUUUUCUGUAAUUUUAUUUUGUUCAGUCGGGCUUCCUUCAAAGGUGAUCCAUCUGGACGACGACGACCAAAGGAGGUCGGAGCCAGCUUUGGCGCCUGUCCCUAGGGUUAUCCCAUCUGCUGCCAAUCCCACCUUGAACGUGCCGCCGGCUGAGACGGUGCCACCGACUGAGACGGUGGCCCUCACGACGGAACCGACUGGAGCAAAGCUCGGGAUGCCCAGGGAGUCUUCUGCCAUGCCGGGUCCGUCGACUGUUCAAUAUGACGCCCGACGCCUCCCGGAAGACCAGGUAGGAGCCUCCAAGGACGCCAUUGUGCAGGUGGAGCUGAUGGUGGGCGACGCCAAGGGAGCGUAUGACUCCAUCGCGUCUCUGUACAAGAAGAGCUUGGAGCUUCGGGAUGAUAUCCGAGUAAGUGCGCUAGUAAGUGUUUACAUUCCUCUUGGUACCCACUGGGGGUUUCAGCGAGGUACUCGGAUGCAAUAGAUUGGUUUUGCAGUGGGUUCGCUCCGAGUGAACCCAGUGGGUGUAGUCCCCGAGACUUCUGCCGAGUGCUUGCGCCGGCAGUUGUCUUGAUAUGUAUUUUCCAUAAUCUGUACAGAUCAGAGCUGAUCUGCCCGAAUGGAACCAGUGGGGGCACGCCGAGUGCACCCACUGGGUGUAGUCCCCGAGAGUAGGGUUACUCGGGUCGAGUAAUAGUAAUCUCAUAGUGUUGUUGGUUUGCUAUGGAGCUCAAUAGGGCCGACAUGUUCGAGCUUCAUACCAGUGGGGUCACUCUCAGUGGACCCACUGGGUGUAGUCCCCGAGACCGCUGUCGAUUGCUUGCAUCGGCACGGGUCUGAAGAAUUUUGAGCUUUGAUUGUUUUGUCAUAUCUGUCGAGACUUUUUCCUUGUUGAAUGUGGCUGAUCCUCCCUUUGUGUCUCUUUGGCAGAAGACUUGUGAAAUGGGAUCGGCCUAUAAUGCUCUGAAGGCCGAGAAGACUCAACUUGCUGCGGACUUGGAGGUGGCUGUGAAUGAUGUGACUGGCAUGAAGAAGGCUCUCGCUGAACAAGAGAAAUCUUUGGAGGAAUCUCUGGAGACCAACAAGGCACUUGUGGCCGAGGUAGAAAAAAUGAAGAAGGAGAGAUCUGACUAGAAGGCCCAGCUGAAGGUAAUGAACACUCGGUGGAGAGCGCAAGAGAACUACGUCGGCGAUUGGGCGAGGAAGAUGGUCGCACUGCUUGGUGGUAAGUUCUUGUCGAGUGCUUUUUGACUUUGGAGUUCACUCCGCGCUUAUUUUCUGCUUGUCUUUUCUUUGCAGAUUUCUGUCGGGACGUUGAGGCCGAAACAGCCGAAAUUGAACGGUCUCUUGUUCCGAAUGUCCCACUUGGCGACGAAGCUAACCGGGACAUGUUCCGAGUGCAUUCUCGCCUUAACAGGGUGGGCCCUUUCAUUGGUCGUCUGAGAAGAGUUGUCGGCCGAAUCGACAAGGAGCUGUGGCCUGAAGACGACUCCCGGAACGAGAUAGAGGGGUUGAUGACUUGACUGGAGGACGUCCCAAGCAGAGUGCAGACAUGGAAGAAGUUUGUCGCUCGGUGUGGUGCGGACGUGGCGCUGUCUCUGGUCCGAGUGCACUGCAAGGAAGCCCGCGAAGACAAGCUGAAGACGUUGCAGGUCACCAACACCAAGAAGCUUCGAUUCGAAGAUUUCAUGGAGACCUUCCUUCACACAGCCACUCGAAUUGCAGACGGAGUCGACCUCGACACCUUUGUGGAGCCUGCCAGUCCCGGCGACGCUUGAUAAACUUUAGGCUGAACGCACAUUUACCUCGGUAUGCCGAGUGGAAUUUGUAUUAUACUUUGGCCACUGCUGUUGGCCGGUACAUUCGUGGUUCGGUGUGGAUAAACAUGAUUCACACCGAGCCGACUAAUCGUAGAUCCAACUUCAAUUCGAAUCGGAUCUUUUGCUCUUCUUUCAUUGAGUUUUUUUACACGAUUUUGGCUCGUGGUUUUUGUUUGGGUGUCUCUUGGUGAAGCCAAUGGCAACUAUGCGGAGCAUGUAGUUGUCAGUUGUCUUCACAUCCACAUGAGCCUCAAUGAGGGUCUGCUAAGCCUCUGAGUGUAUCUCGAGUGCCCAUUCAGAGGAAGCUUUUUACUUAGGCGACUCUGGGUCGCGGCUAAGUCCCCGAGUGUGACUGUUAGUGCGCACUCGGAGCGGGGUGUUACUUAGGCGACUCUGGGUCGCAGCUAAGUCCCAGAGUGUAACUUUUCGUGCACACUCGGAGCGAGUUGUUACUCAUGUAGUUGCCAGUUGUCUUCACAUCCACAUGAGCCUCAAUGAGGGUCUGCUAAGCCUCCGAGUGUAUCUCGAGUAUACACUCGGAGGAAGCUUUUUUACUUAGGCGACUCUGAGUCGCAGCUAAGUCUCCGAGUGUGACUUUUCGUGCACACUCGGAGUGAGUUGUUUACUUAGGCGACUCUGGGUCGCAGCUAAGUCUCCGAGUGUGACUUUUAGUGCACACUCGGAGCGAUUUUGUACUUAGGCGACUCUGGGUCGCAGCUAAGUCUCCGAGUGUGACUUUUAGUGCACACUCGGAGCGAGUUUGUACUUAGGCGACUCUGGGUCGCAGCUAAGUCUCCGAGUGUGACUUUUAGUGCACACUUGGAGCGAGUUUGUACUUAGGCGACUCUAGGUCGCAGCUAAGUCUCCGAGUGUGACUUUUAGUGCACACUCGGAGCGAGUUUGUACUUAGGCGACUCUAGGUCGCAGCUAAGUCUCCGAGUGUGACUUUUCAUGCACACUCGGAGCGAGUUGUUUACUUAGGCGACUUUGGGUCGCAGCUAAGUCCCCGAGUGUGACUUUUAGUGCACACUCGGAGCGAGUUUGAACUUAGGCGACUCUGGGUCGUAGCUAAGUCUCCGAGUGUGACUUUCCGUGCACACUCGGAGCGAGUUGUUUACUUAGGCGACUCUGGGUCGUAGCUAAGUCCCCGAGUGUGACUUUUAGUGCACACUCGGAGCGAGUUUGUACUUAGGCAACUCUGGGUCACAACUAAGUCUCCGAGUGUGACUUUUCAUGCACACUCGGAGCGAGUCGUUUACUUAGGCGACUUUGGGUCGCAGCUAAGUCCCCGAGUGUGACUUUUAGCGCACGCUCGGAGCGAGUUUGUACUUAGGCAACUCUGGGUCACAACUAAGUCUCCGAGUGUGACUUUUCAUGCACACUCGGAGCGAGUCGUUUACUUAGGCGACUUUGGGUCGCAGCUAAGUCCCCGAGUGUGACUUUUAGCGCACGCUCGGAGCGAGUUUGUACUUAGGCAACUCUGGGUCACAACUAAGUCUCCGAGUGUGACUUUUCAUGCACACUCGGAGCGAGUCGUUUACUUAGGCGACUUUGGGUCGCAGCUAAGUCCCCGAGUGUGACUUUUAGCGCACGCUCGGAGCGAGUUUGUACUUAGGCAACUCUGGGUCACAACUAAGUCUCCGAGUGUGACUUUUCAUGCACACUCGGAGCGAGUCGUUUACUUAGGCGACUUUGGGUCGCAGCUAAGUCCCCGAGUGUGACUUUUAGCGCACGCUCGGAGCGAGUUUGUACUUAGGCAACUCUGGGUCACAACUAAGUCUCCGAGUGUGACUUUUCAUGCACACUCGGAGCGAGUCGUUUACUUAGGCGACUUUGGGUCGCAGCUAAGUCCCCGAGUGUGACUUUUAGCGCACGCUCGGAGCGAGUUUGUACUUAGGCAACUCUGGGUCACAACUAAGUCUCCGAGUGUGACUUUUCAUGCACACUCGGAGCGAGUUGUUUACUUAGGCGACUCUGGGUCGCAGCUAAGUCUCCGAGUAUGACUUUUCAUGCACACUCGGAGCGAGUUGUUUACUUAGGCGACUCUGGGUCGCAGCUAAGUCCCCGAGUGUGACUUUUAGCGCACACUCGGAGCAAGUUUGUACUUAGGCGACUCUGGGUCGCAGUUAAGUCUCCGAGUGUGACUUUUAGCGCACACUCGGAGCGAGUUUGUACUUAGGCGACUCUGGGUCGCAGCUAAGUGUCCGAGUGUGACUUUUCGUGCACACUCGGAGCGAGUUGUUUAUUUAGGCGACUCUGGGUCGCAGCUAAGUCCCCGAGUGUGACUUUUAGCGCACAGUCGGAGCGAGUUUGUACUUAGGCGACUCUGGGUCGCAGCUAAGUCUCCGAGUGUGACUUUUCGUGCACACUCGGAGCGAGUUGUUACUUAGGCGACUCUGGGUCGCAGCUAAGUCCCCGAGUGUGACUUUUAGCGCACACUCGGAGCGAGUUUGUACUUAGGCGACUCUGGGUCGCAGCUAAGUCUCCGAGUGUGACUUUUCGUGCACACUCGGAGCGCGUUGUUACCUAGGCGACUCUGGGUCGCAGCUAAGUCUCCGAAUGUGACUUUUAGUGCACACUCGGAGUUGGUUUUUAGAUUGGAGUCUGCAAACGCGGAAGAAUUUUGGGUCGGCAAGAAAUCAAUCUGCUUUGUAUUACUUCGAUGAUACUUGUUCUUUACAUUGUCUCCGUCGACGGUUAUGUGUAGAAGCGCUUCAGUAGAUCUCCAUUCCAUGCUCGCGGCUCGUCCGUUUCCCUGUCGAGGUUGUAGAGUCGAUAUGCUCCGUUGUUCAGCACCUUAGAGAUGAUGAACGGUCCUUCCCAGGCGGGAGCCAACUUGUGUGGUCUCUGCUGAUCCACUGGGAGCACCAGGUCGCCUGCUUGGAAUGUGCGGCUCCCGACGUGCCGCGCAUGAAAUCGCCGCAGAUCUUGUUGCUAAAUUGUUUAACGGAUCAGCGCCAUCUCGCGCUCCUCUUCUAAAAGGUCCACUCCGUCUUGCCUGGCUUGCUCUGCUUCGGCUUCGGAGAAGAGUUCGACUCGUGGAGAGUUGUGAAGCAAGUCACUCGGAAGGACUGUCUCUGCUCCAUAAACGAGGAAAAACGGGGAUCACCCUGUCGAUCUAUUCGGAGUUGUGCGGAGGCCCCACAUCACCGAAGGCAGCUCGGUGACCCAUGCGCCGGCGGCAUGUCCAACUUCUCGCAGGAGUCGAGGCUUCAACCCUUGAAGAAUGAGUUCAUUCGCCCGCUCCGCUUGUCCAUUUGUUUGGGGGUGCAUGACGGAUGCAAAAUCCACUUUGAUACCUUGGCCUGCGCAAAAACCUUUGAACCUGUCCGAGUCAAAGUUUGUGCCAUUGUCGGUGAUUAUGCUAUGCGGAACCCCAUAUCUGGGGAUGAUGUCUGUGAUAAAUUUGAUGGCCGUAAGGGCAUCAAGCUUCUUGAUAGGCUUGGCUUCAAUCCACUUGGUAAACUUGUCGACUGCUACCAGCAGAUGAGUGAAUCCUCCUUGGCCUGUUCUGAAUGGUCCGACUGUAUCUAAUCCCCACACGGCGAAUGGCCAAGCAAGAGGAAUUGUCUUCAGCGCAGACGUUGGCUUGUGGGACUUGUUUGAAUAGAACUGACAACCUUCGCAACGGUCGACCAUAUCUUUUGCCAUUUCAUUCGCCUGCAAUCAGAAGAAACCAGCUCUGAAUGCUUUGGCGACGAUUGCCCUUGAGGAGGCAUGAUGACCGCAGGUUCCCGAGUGAAUUUAUUCCAAGAUUAACUGUCCCUCCUCAGGAGAGAUACACCGCUGAAGGACGCCUGAAACACUUUCCCUGUACAACUGGUCAUCAAUGACGGUGAAGGACUUCGACCUGCGAACGAUCUGCCUAGCUUGGACUUCGUCUUCUGGUAACUCUUGCCUCAUGAUGUACGCAAUGAAUAGCACAGUCCAUUCGGGAAUGACAGCAAGAAGCUCCAUGAUCAAAACAACCACAGCGGGGACCUCGACUUCAAUCUGAUCUGUUGAGCUCUUCGGUUGUACUGGUUCCUCUGUAAAAGGAUCUUCUUUUACCGAGGGGAGUUGUAGGUGCUCGAGGCAGACAUCCCUCGGGACCGGUCUCCGAGUGGAUCCAAGUUUUGCCAAUUCAUCUACUGCUUGGUUUUUCAGUCGGGGAACGUGCUGAAGUUCCAGACCUUCGAACUUUUAGUGCACACUCGGAGCGAGUUUGUACUUAGGCGACUCUGGGUCGCAGCUAAGUCUCCGAGUGUGACUUUUAGUGCACACUUGGAGCGAGUUUGUACUUAGGCGACUCUGGGUCGCAGCUAAGUCUCCGAGUGUGACUUUUAGUGCACACUCGGAGCGAGUUUGUACUUAGGCGACUCUAGGUCGGAGCUAAGUCUCCGAGUGUGACUUUUCAUGCACACUCGGAGCGAGUUGUUUACUUAGGCGACUUUGGGUCGCAGCUAAGUCCCCGAGUGUGACUUUUAGUGCACACUCGGAGCGAGUUUGAACUUAGGCGACUCUGGGUCGUAGAUAAGUCUCCGAGUGUGACUUUCCGUGCACACUCGGAGCGAGUUGUUUACUUAGGCGACUCUGGGUCAUAGCUAAGUCCCCGAGUGUGACUUUUAGCGCACACUCGGAGCGAGUUUGUACUUAGGCAACUCUGGGUCACAACUAAGUCUCCGAGUGUGACUUUUCAUGCACACUCGGAGCGAGUUGUUUACUUAGGCGACUCUGGGUCGCAGCUAAGUCCCCGAGUGUGACUUUUAGUGCACACUCGGAGCGAGUUUGUACUUAGGCGACUCUGGGUCGCAGCUAAGUCUCCGAGUGUGACUUUUCGUGCACACUCGGAGCGAGUUGUUACUUAGGCGACUCUGGGUCGCAGCUAAGUCUCCGAAUGUGACUUUUAGUGCACACUCGGAGUUGGUUUUUUAGAUUGGAGUCUGCAAACGCGGAAGAAUUUUGAGUCGGCAAGAAAUCAAUCUGCUUUGUAUUACUUCGAUGAUACUUGUUCUUUACAUUGUCUCCGUCGACGGUUAUGUGUAGAAGCGCUUCAGUAGAUCUCCAUUCCAUGCUCGCGGCUCGUCCGUUUCCCUGUCGAGGUUGUAGAGUCGAUAUGCUCCGUUGUUCAGCACCUUAGAGAUGAUGAACGGUCCUUCCAAGGCGGGAGCCAACUUGUGUGGUCUCUGCUGAUCCACUGGGAGCACCAGGUCGCCUGCUUGGAAUGUGCGGCUCCCGACGUGCCGCGCAUGAAAUCGCCGCAGAUCUUGUUGCUAAAUUGUUUAACGGAUCAGCGCCAUCUCGCGCUCCUCUUCUAAAAGGUCCACUCCGUCUUGCCUGGCUUGCUCUGCUUCGGCUUCGGAGAAGAGUUCGACUCGUGGAGAGUUGUGAAGCAAGUCACUCGGAAGGACUGUCUCUGCUCCAUAAACGAGGAAAAACGGGGAUCACCCUGUCGAUCUAUUCGGAGUUGUGCGGAGGCCCCACAUCACCGAAGGCAGCUCGGUGACCCAUGCGCCGGCGGCAUGUCCAACUUCUCGCAGGAGUCGAGGCUUCAACCCUUGAAGAAUGAGUUCAUUCGCCCGCUCCGCUUGUCCAUUUGUUUGGGGGUGCAUGACGGAUGCAAAAUCCACUUUGAUACCUUGGCCUGCGCAAAAACCUUUGAACCUGUCCGAGUCAAAGUUUGUGCCAUUGUCGGUGAUUAUGCUAUGCGGAACCCCAUAUCUGGGGAUGAUGUCUGUGGUAAAUUUGAUGGCCGUAAGGGCAUCAAGAUUCUUGAUAGGCUUGGCUUCAAUCCACUUGGUAAACUUGUCGACUGCUACCAGCAGAUGAGUGAAUCCUCCUUGGCCUGUUCUGAAUGGUCCGACUGUAUCUAAUCCCCACACGGCGAAUGGCCAAGCAAGAGGAAUUGUCUUCAGCGCAGACGUUGGCUUGUGGGACUUGUUUGAAUAGAACUGACAACCUUCGCAACGGUCGACCAUAUCUUUUGCCAUUUCAUUCGCCUGCAAUCAGAAGAAACCAGCUCUGAAUGCUUUGGCGACGAUUGCCCUUGAGGAGGCAUGAUGACCGCAGGUUCCCGAGUGAAUUUAUUCCAAGAUUAACUGUCCCUCCUCAGGAGAGAUACACCGCUGAAGGACGCCUGAAACACUUUCCCUGUACAACUGGUCAUCAAUGACGGUGAAGGACUUCGACCUGCGAACGAUCUGCCUAGCUUGGACUUCGUCUUCUGGUAACUCUUGCCUCAUGAUGUACGCAAUGAAUAGCACAGUCCAUUCGGGAAUGACAGCAAGAAGCUCCAUGAUCAAAACAACCACAGCGGGGACCUCGACUUCAAUCUGAUCUGUUGAGCUCUUCGGUUGUACUGGUUCCUCUGUAAAAGGAUCUUCUUUUACCGAGGGGAGUUGUAGGUGCUCGAGGCAGACAUCCCUCGGGACCGGUCUCCGAGUGGAUCCAAGUUUUGCCAAUUCAUCUACUGCUUGGUUUUUCAGUCGGGGAACGUGCUGAAGUUCCAGACCUUCGAACUUUUUCUCGAGCUCGCUUAUUGCGUUGCAGUAUGCAGUCAUGGUGGGGUUCCUUACAUCCCAUUCCUUCAUUACUUGAUUAACCACUAGAUCUGAGUCGCCAUAGACCAUCAGUCGACGGACGCCGAGUGUGAUGGCCACGCGCAACCUGUAAAGGAGAACUUCGUACUCUGCUUCGUUGUUGGAAGAAUCAAAAUGGAUCUGCAACACAUACUUGAGUUUAUCACCUUUUGGGGAUAUGAGCACUACACCGGCGCCGGAGCCAUUCAACAUCUUGGACCCAUCGAAGAACAUGGUCCAAUGAGCCGAGUAGAUGUGAGUCGGUUGCUGUUGUUCUACCCAUUCUGCUAUGAAGUCAGCAAGAGCUUGAGACUUUAUAGCUUUCUUGGCUUCGAACUUGAUGUUGCAGUAUAGCAUCUCCAUUGCCCACUUUGCCACUCGGCCUGAUGUGUCCCGAUUGUGGAGAAUUUCUGACAACGGAGCAUCAGAUAUGACAGAUACCGAGUGGUCUUGGAAAUAAUGAGCCACCUUCUUUGCAGUCAUGUAGAUCCCAUAAAUAAGCUUCUGAUAAUGGGGAUACCUCUGCUUGGAAGGAGUCAGGACUUCGGAAACAUAAUAUACUGGUCGCUAAACCUUGUACGCUUUGCCUUCUUCUUCGCGUUCCACUGUCAGAACGGUGCUGACGACUUGAUUUGUAGCCGCGAUGUACAGAAGAAGGGGUUCUUUACUAAGCGGGGCAGUAAGAACCGGUUGGGUGGAAAGCAGGGCUUUGAGGUCGUCGAAUGCGAUUUGGGCUUCGUCUGUCCGCUCGAAGGUAUCGGACUUCUUCAUGAGUCGGUACAGAGGUAACGCCUUCUCGCCGAGUCGAGCGAUAAACCUGCUCAAAGCCGCUAGGAAACCCGUGAGCUUUUGAACAUCAUGUACUCUUACCGGCCGCUCCAUUCGAACAAUGGUCACGAUCUUUUCGGGGUUGACAUCGAUCCCUCGUUCGGAGACGAAGAAACCGAGUAACUUCCCGCUGGGAAUGCCGAAUGAACAUUUGGCUGGGUUGAGCUUGAUAUCGUACCUACGUACGUUGGUCAAUGUUUCUGCCAAGUCAGUCAGUAGGUCGGAACCUUUGCGUGACUUUACUACGAUAUCAUCCAUAUAUGCCUCCACAUUUCGACCGAUCUGGUCUAGGAGGCAUUUUUGGAUCAUGCGCAUAAAAGUUGCUCCUGCAUUCUUCAAACCGAAUGGCAUAGUGAUGUAACAGAAGCACCCGAAUGGGGUGAUGAAGGCUGUUUUUAAUUCAUCUGGACCAUACAGACGGAUCUGAUGAUAGCCCGAAUAGGUAUCAAGGAAGGAUAAACGCUCGCAACCCGCAGUCGAAUCAACGAUUUGAUCAAUGCGGGAGAGCGGGAAGUGAUCUUUCGGACAAACCUUAUUGAGAUGCUUGAAAUCGAUGCACAUACGGAGAGACUUGUCCUUCUUGGGCACCAUGACAACAUUAGCGAGCCACUCAGAGUGGUGCACCUCGCGAAUGAAGUUGGCUGCCAAAAGUUUAGCCACCUCCUCUCCGAUUGCUUUCCUCUUGUGCGCGACGGACCGACGCAGGCGUUCUCGGACGGGCCGAGCGGCAGGAUCCACAUGCAGUCGGUGCUCAGCCAACUCCCUAGGUACACCUGGCAUGUCAGCAGGCUUCCAUGCAAAAAGGUCCCUGUUCUCACGGAGGAAUUGGAUGAGCUCGGCUUCCUAUUUUGGAUCAAGGGUGGUGGAGAUGUUUGUCGGGGAGGCGGCGGCGUCCGUCGGGUGGAUGCUGACUUUCUUCGUGUAUCCCGCCGACUGGAAUGCGGACUCGGAAGCUGGCUUCUUUGAACGCAUCAGGUCAGCGGGGUCGGCGGUCUUGUUGUACUCAUCCAGCUCAAGUACAGCCAUCUGAUGAUCGGCAAUUCUCGACCCCUGCUGCAGACAAUCCUCGGCCCGCUGCCGAUUGCGUGUGGCAGUAAUCUCACCUUUGGGACCGGGCAUCUUCAGCUUCAAAUAGACAUAACAUGGACGGGCCAUGAAACGCGCAUAUGCCGGACGGCCCAGAAUCGCAUGCUAUGCACUCUAGAAGUCUACCACCUCGAAUGUCAGCUUCUCCUUGCGGAAGUUCUUAUCAGAGCCGAAGACGACAUCCAACGCAAUCUGGCCGAGUGAUUUGGCCUUUCUUCCUGGGACGACUCCGUGGAACUGCAUACUGCUCUCGCUAAGUUUGGACAUCGGAAUGCCCAUUCCCUUGAGAGUGUCAGCGUAUAUGAUAUUCAAGCCGCUGCCGCCGUCCAUGAGGACUUUGCGCAGCCUAACUCCUUCCACCACCGGGUCGACGACCAGAUCUUGCCUCCCUGGGGUGGGUACGUGUGCUGGGUGGUCUGACUGAUCAAAGGUGAUCGCAGUCUGUGACCACUUGAGGAACGUGGGAGUGGAUGGGGUUGCCAUGUUUACCUCCCUGUUAACCAGCUUCAGUCGACUUUUGCUUUCCACAUCAGCAAAAAUCAUCAACGUUGCAUGGACAUGGGGGAACGGAUCCUCCUUGUCCUCAUCAUCCUGGUCGGUGUCCUUCUCACUCGGUUGUCCUUCACCGAAUCCUUGGAUCAGGAGGCGACACUGCCGAGUGGUAUGCUUCGGCAAUAUCACAUUGCCUUCUUCAUCCGUCUUCAUGUGGAUUGGACACGGUUGAUCCAGGAUGGAAUUUCCUGACUGCCUCUUCUUGGGGGUGUACCGUGCUUUCCCCUUGCCUUUGAACUUGGCAUUUGUAACGGCUCCUGCAUCUGCCUGCGGAGUGGAUUGAGCUUUGUGCUUCUGCUUCCGAUUGUUGUUCCCAUCUCCAUCGGCGACUGACUUAUGCUUGCCGCUACGUAUGCGGUCCUCCUCUUCGACAUUUGCAUAGCGCGUGGCUAUCUCCAUCAUCUUGCUCAUGGAGAUGUCGCCUGUCCGAUCGAACUUCAGGUACAGAUCUCUGUACCGCAUGCCUGCCUUGAAGGCGUAGACUGCUUGGUGCUCUGUGACGUUCUCCACCGUGUGGUAGAGGGUCGUCCAGCGCUGGAUGAAAUCGCGCAAGGGCUCGUUCUGCUUCUGGACACAAUGCUGGAGCUCUACGAGACCAGCAGGGCGUUUGCACGUACCCUCGAAGGUCCUGAUGAAGACUCGGGACAGAUCUGCCUAGCUGUAGAUGCUUGACGGAGCUAAAUGGUUUAGCCAAGCUCGCGCCGAACCGUCGAGCAUCAGGGGGAGAUGUUUCAUGGCAGCAUGGUCAUCUCCGCCACCGAUCUGGACCUCCACUCUGUAGUCGUCCAACCAAGUUUCUGGUUUGGAUUCUCCCAUGAAUUUGCUGAUUCCCGUCGCCAAUCGCAAGUUGGGAGGGAUGUCAGCUGAGCGGAUGGCCCGACUGAAGCACUCGAGGCCAGAAACGACGGUCCUGCUUCCACUCGUACGGUCUCUAUCGUGACCAUCACGGUGGGCUCGACUUCUGUCGACCAUCUUCUGGGCAAUGUACCCUCUUGCAUCAGGCCUUGGAUCAUGCGCGCCAUCGCACGAACGACGAUCAUCGUAAUGACGGGGCCCAUAAGGCCCACUCCGUGGAGGAGAACGCGAACGGCGACGAUCUUCGGGAUGAGACCGAUCUUGGGGAACGUCGCAUGGGAAACAAAAAUUUUCCUACGCGCACGAAGACCUAUCAUGGUGAUGUCCAUCUACGAGAGGGGAUGAGUGAUCUACGUACCCUCGUAGACCGUACAGCAGAAGCGUUAGAGAACGCGGUUGAUGUAGUGGAACGUCCUCACGUCCCUCGAUCCGCCCCGCGAACAAUCCCGCGAUCAGUCCCACGAUCUAGUACCGAACGGACGGCACCUCCGCGUUCAGCACACGUACAGCUCGACGAUGAUCUCGGCCUUCUUGAUCCAGCAAGAGAGACGGAGAGCUAGAAGAGUUCUCCGGCAGCAUGACGGCGCUCCGGAGGUUGGUGAUGACCUUGUCUCAGCAGGGCUCCGCCCGAGCUCCGCAGAAACGCGAUCUAGAGGAAAAACCGUGGAGGUAUGUGGUCGGGCUGCCGUGGAAAAAUCGUCUCAAAUCAGCCCUAAAACCUCCGUAUAUAUAGGUGGGAGGGAGGGGACCUUGCCUUGGGGCUCAAGGAGCCCCACGGGGGUCGGCCGAGUCCAAGGGGGGAGGACUCCCCCCCAAACCGAGUUGGACUUGGUUUGGUGGGAGGGAGUCCCCCUUCCUUCCCACCUCCUCCUUUUUUUUUCUUUCUCUUUGAUUUUUAUCUCUAUGGCGCAUAGAGCACUUGUGGGCUGUCCCACCAGCCCACUAAGGGCUGGUGUGCCUCCCUCAAGGCCUAUGGGCUUCCCCGGGGUGGAUUGCCCCCCCCCCGGUGAACUCCCGGAACCCAUUCGUCAUUCCCGGUACAUUCCCGGUAACUCCGAAAACCUUCCGGUAAUCAAAUGAGGUCAUACUAUAUAUCAAUCUUCAUUUCCGGACCAUUCCGGAAACCCUCGUGACGUCCGUGAUCUCAUCCGGGACUCCGAACAACAUUCGGUAACCAACAAUAUAACUCAAAUACGCAUAAAACAACGUCAAACCUUAAGUGUGCAGACCCUGCGGGUUCGAGAACUAUGUAGACAUGACCCGAGAGACUUCUCGGUCAAUAUCCAAUAGCGGGACCUGGAUGCCCAUAUUGGAUCCUACAUAUUCUACGAAGAUCUUAUCGUUUGAACCUCAGUGUCAAGGAUUCAAAUAAUCCCGUAUGUUAUUCCCUUUGUCCUUCGGUAUGUUACUUGCCCGAGAUUUGAUCGUCAGUAUCCGCAUACCUAUUUCAAUCUCGUUUACCGGCAAGUCUCUUUACUCGUUCCGUAAUACAAGAUCCCGCAACUUACACUAAGUUACAUUGCUUGCAAGGCUUGUGUGUGAUGUUGUAUUACCGAGUGGGCCCCGAGAUACCUCUCCGUCACACGAAGUGACAAAUCCCAGUCUUGAUCCAUACUAACUCAACUAACACCUUCGGAGAUACCUGUAGAGCAUCUUUAUAGUCACCCAGUUACGUUGCGACGUUUGAUACACACAAAGCAUUCCUCCGGUGUCAGUGAGUUAUAUGAUCUCAUGGCCAUAGGAAUAAAUACUUGACACACAAAAAACAGUAGCAACAAAAUGACACGAUCAACAUGCUACGUCUAUUAGUUUGGGUCUAGUCCAUCACGUGAUUCUCCUAAUGACGUGAUCCAGUUGUCAAGCAACAACACCUUGUUCAUAAUCAAAAGACACUGACAAUCUUUGAUCAACUGGCUAGCCAACUAGAGGCAUGCUAGGGACUGUGUUUUGUCUAUGUAUCCACACAUGUAAAUGAGUCUUCAUUCAAUACAAUUAUAGCAUGGAUAAUAAACGAUUAUCUUGAUACAGGAAUUAUAAUAAUAACUAUAUUUAUUAUUGCCUCUAGGGCAUAAUUCCAACAGUGUCCCACUUGCACUAGAGUCAAUAAUCUAGCCCUCACAUCACCAUGUGAAUUACAUUGUAAUAAAUCUAACACCCAUACAGUUCUGGUGUCGAUCAUGUUUUGGCCGUGGAAGAGGUUUAGUCAGCGGGUCUGCUACAUUCAGAUCCGUGUGCACUUUGCAUAUAUUUACGUCCUCUUCCUCGACGUAGUCGCGGAUGAGGUUGAAGCGUCGUUUGAUGUGUCUGGUCUUCUUGUGAAACCGUGGUUCCUUUGCUAAGGCAAUGGCACCAGUGUUGUCACAGAACAAGGUUAUUGGAUUCAGUGUGCUUGGCACCACUCCAAGAUCCGUCAUGAACUGCUUCAUCCAGACACCCUCCUUAGCCGCCUCCGAGGCAGCCAUGUACUCCGCUUCACAUGUAGAAUCUGCUACGACGCUUUGCUUGGAACUGCACCAGCUUACUGCACCCCCAUUAAGAAUAAAUACGUAUGCGGUUUGUGACUUAGAGUCGUCCGGAUCUGUGUCAAAGCUUGCAUCGACGUAACCUUUUACGGCGAGCUCUUCGUCACCUCCAUACACGAGAAACAUCUCCUUAGUCCUUUUCAGGUACUUCAGGAUAUUCUUGACCGCUGUCCAGUGAUCCACUCCUGGAUUACUCUGGAACCUACCUGCCAUACUUAUGGCCAGGCUAACAUCCGGUCUAGUGCACAGCAUUGCAUACAUGAUAGAACCUAUGGCUGAAGCAUAGGGGACGGAGCGCAUAUGCUCUCUAUCUUCAUCAGUUGUUGGGCACUGAGUCUUACUCAAUCUCGUACCUUGUAGAACUGGCAAGAACCCUUUCUUGGACUGUUCCAUUUUGAACCUCUUCAAAACUUUAUCAAGGUAUGUGCUUUGUGAAAGUCCUAUCAGGCGUUUUGAUCUAUCCCUAUAGAUCUUAAUGCCUAGAAUGUAAGCAGCUUCUCCUAGGUCCUUCAUAGAGAAACUUUUAUUCAAGUAACCUUUUAUGCUCUCCAAAAACUCUACGUUGUUUCCAAUCAGUAAUAUGUCAUCCACAUAUAAUAUUAGAAACGCCACAGAGCUCCCACUCACUUUCUUGUAAAUACAAGAUUCUCCAACCACUUGUACAAACCCAAAUGCUUUGAUCACCUCAUCAAAGCGUUUGUUCCAACUCUGAGAUGCUUGCACCAGUCCAUCAAUGGAUCGCUGGAGCUUGCACACCUUGUUAGCAUUCUUAGGAUCGACAAAACCUUCGGGUUGUAUCAUAUACAACUCUUCCUCAAGGAAACCGUUAAGGAACGCCGUUUUGACAUCCAUCUGCCAGAUUUCAUAAUCGAAAAAUGCAGCUAUUGCUAACAUGAUUCUGACGGACUUAAGCAUCGCUACGGGUGAGAGAGUCUCAUCGUAGUCAACUCCUGGAACUUGUGAAAAACCCUUUGCCACAAGUCGAGCUUUAUAAACGGUUACAUUGCCGUCAGCGUCCGUCUUUUUCUUAAAGAUCCAUUUGUUCUGAAUAGCCUUGCGGCCCUCAGGUAGUAUCUCCAAAGUCCACACUUUCUUCUCAUACAUGGAUCCUAUCUCGGACUUCAUGGCUUCUAGCCAUUUGUUGGAAUCUGGGCCCACCAUUGCUUCUUCAUAAUUUGCAGGUUCAUUGUUGUCUAACAACAUGAUUGACAAGACGGGAUUACCGUACCACUCUGGAGCAGCACGUGAUCUCGUCGACCUGCGUGGUUCAACAGAAACUUGAACUGGAGUUUCAUGAUCAUCAUCAUUAACUUCCUCCUCAACCGGCGUCGCAAUGACAGAGGUUUCCCCUUGCCCUGCGCCACCAUCCAGAGGGAUGAAAGGUUCGACAACCUCGUCAGGUUCUAUCUUCCUCCCACUCAAUUCUCUCGAGAGAAACUCCUUCUCGAGAAAAGCUCCGUUUUUAGCAAUAAACACUUUGCCUCGGAUUUGAGAUAGAAGGUGUACCCAACUGUCUCUUUUGGGUAACCUAUGAAGACGCACUUUUCCGCUUUGGGUUCCAGCUUUUCAGGCUGAAGCUUUUUGACAUAAGCAUCGCAUCCCCAAACUUUAAGAAACGACAACUUUGGCCUUUUGCCAUACCACAGUUCGUAUGGUGUCGUCUCAACGGAUUUUGAUGGUGCCCUAUUUAAAGUGAAUGCAGCUGUUUCUAAUGCAUAACCCCAAAAUGAUAACGGCAAAUCAGUAAGAGACAUCAUAGACCGCACCAUCUCUAAUAGAGUACGAUUACGACGUUCGGACACAACAUUACGAUGUGGUGUUCCAGGCGGUGUUAACUGUGAAACAAUUCCACACUGUCUUAAGUGAGCACCAAACUCGAAACUCAGAUAUUCACCCCCACGAUCAGACCGUAGGAACUUGAUCUUCUUGUUGCGAUGAUUUUCCACUUCACUCUGAAAUUGCUUGAACUUUUCAAAUGUUUCAGACUUGUGCUUCAUCAAGUAGACAUAACCAUAUCUACUUAAAUCGUCAGUGAAGGUGAGAAAAUAACGAUAUCCGCCGCGUGCCUCCAUGCUCAUCAGACCACACACAUCGGUAUGUAUGAUUUCCAACAAGUCACUUGCACGCUCCAUUGUUCCUGAGAACAGAGUCUUAGUCAUCUUGCCUAUGAGGCAUGGUUCGCACGUGUCAAGUGAAUCAAAGUCAAGUGACUCCAAAAGUCCAUCAGCAUGGAGUUUCUUCAUGCGCUUUACACCAAUAUGACCUAAGCAGCAGUGCCACAAAAAUAUGGCGCUAUCAUUGUUAACUCUAACUCUUUUGGUCUCAAUGUUAUGUAUAUGCGUAUCGCUAUCAAGAUUCAAUAUGAACAAUCCUCUCACAUUCGGUGCAUGACCACAAAAGAUGUUACACAUAGAAAUAGAACAACCAUUAUUCUCUGACUUAAAAGAGUAACCGUCUCGCAAUAAACAAGAUCCAGAUAUAAUGUUCAUGCUCAACGCAGGCACUAAAUAACAAUGAUUUAAGUUCAUCACUAAUCCUGAUGGUAGUUGAAGUGACACUGUGCCGACGGCGAUUGCAUCAACCUUGGAACCAUUUCCUACGCGCAUCGUCACUUCAUCUUUCACCAGCCUUCGUCUAUUCCGCAGUUCCUGUUUCGAGUUGCAAAUAUGAGCAACAGAACCGGUAUCGAAUACCCAGGCACUACUACGAGAGCCGGUUAAGUACACAUCAAUAACAUGUAUAUCAAAUAUACCUGAUUUUUCUUUGCCCGCCUUCUUAUCUGCCAGAUACUUGGGGCAAUUGCGCUUCCAGUGACCCAUACCCUUGCAAUAGUAACACUCUGUUUCUGGCUUAGGUCCAGCUUUGGGUUUCUUCGUCGGAUUGGCAACAGGCUUGCCGCUCUUCUUCGAAUUGCCCUUCUUGCCUUUGCCAUUUCUCUUGAAACUAGUGGUCUUAUUCACCAUCAACACUUGAUGCUCUUUACGGAGUUCAGACUCUGCGACUUUCAACAUCGCAAACAACUCGCCGGGAGACUUGUUCAUCCCUUGCAUGUUGUAGUUCAACACAAAGCCUUUAUAGCUUGGUGGCAGUGAUUGAAGGAUUCUAUCAGUGAUGGCUUCUUGCGGGAGUUCAAUCCCCAGCUCAGCUAGACGGUUUGAGUACCCAGACAUUUUGAGCACAUGUUCACUGACAGACGAGUUUUCCUCCAUCUUGCAAGCAUAGAAUUUAUCGGAGGUCUCAUACCUCUCGAUCCGGGCGUUCUUCUGAAAGAUAAACUCCAACUCCUGGAACAUCUCAAAUGCUCCAUGACGCUCAAAGCGACGUUGAAGUCCCGGUUCUAAGCCAUACAAGACUGCACAUUGAACUAUUGAGUAGUCCUCCUUACGUGCUAACCAAGCGUUCUUAACAUCCUGAUCGGCCGUAGCGGGUGGUUCAUCUCCUAGCGCAGCAUUAAGGACAUAAUGCUUCUUCCCAUCUUGUAAGAUUAGCUUAAGAUUACUAGCCCGGUCUACAAAGUUGCUUCCAUCAUCUUUCAACUUAGCUUUCUCUAGGAACGUAUUAAAAUUCAGGAUGACUGUCGCAUGAGCCAUGAUCUACAACACAAAUAUAUUCAAAGUGGACUUAGAUUAUGUUCAAGAUAAUUAGAGUUUAACUUAAUCAAAUUAUUCGCUAAACUCCCACUCAAAAAGUACAUCUCUCUAGUCAUUUGAGUGGUUCAUGAUCCACUUACACUAGCUCAAGUUCGAUCAUCACGUGAGUUGAGUAUAGUUUCAGUGGUAAGCAUCCCUAUGCUAAUCAUAUCAUCUAUAUGAUUCAUGAUCGACCUUUCAGUCUCAUGUGUUCCGAGGCCAUGUCUGCACAUGCUAGGCUCGUCAAGCUUAACCCGAGUGUUCCGCGUGCGCAACUGUUUUGCACCCGUUGUAUGUGAACGUUGAGUCUAUCACACCCGAUCAUCACGUGGUGUCUCGAAACGACGAACUGUAGCAACGGUGCACAGUCGGGGAGAACACAAUUUCGUCUUGAAAUUUUAGUGAGAGAUCACCUCAUAAUGCUACCGUCGUUCUAAGCAAAAUAAGGUGCAUAAAAGGAUUAAGAUCACAUGCAAUUCAUAAGUGACAUGAUAUAGCCAUCAUCACGUGCUUCUUGAUCUCCAUCACCAAAGCACCGGCCCGAUCUUCUUGUCACCGGCGCCACGCCAUGAUCUCCAUCAACGUGUUGCCAUCGGGGUUGUCGUGCUACUCAUGCUAUUACUACUAAAGCUACAUCCUAGCAAAAUAGUAAACGCAUCUGCAAGCACAAACGUUAGUAUAAUGACAACCCUAUGGCUCCUGCCGGUUGCCGUACCAUCGACGUGCAAGUCGAUAUUUCUAUUACAACAUGAUCAUCUCAUACAU